RNAcentral lists this long non-coding RNA (96466 nucleotides) under Physcomitrium patens. RNAcentral's name for it is "long non-coding RNA (PPAT_LNC006603)". Lineage: Eukaryota; Viridiplantae; Streptophyta; Bryopsida; Funariales; Funariaceae. The record is from RNAcentral.
GAGAGGGAUCAUCGAAGGGAUGAUGUGAUAUGAUUUGAAGGAAGGUGUGUGGCGAUGGGUAGGAUGGCAUGGCGUGUGCCGAAGUUAAGUUAAGGAGGUUGUGUGGACAUUGAUGGCGAAGUCUGGGUUGCCUAUGUAAUUUACAGCAUUUUACACAUGAGAUGUGGAGGUUGAGGUGGUGUGUGUGGGAUUUGAGUGGAUGUGGGAGGCGUGGAUGGGAGUGGUUUGUAGCUGUGAUAUGCGUAGUUCAACGAUGAGGUUGUAUGGAUUCUUUAAUGGGUGGGAGUGAGAGCACGAAGCAUGUGGAUCGGGGUGCGUGAAUUUUUGUAUGGUAUGGAUGGUGGGCAGCAGGCAUUGUUGCGGUGGUAGCAAGGGUUGGUCAGCUAGUGGGCAGUGAGUCGGGGAGGCGGUAUGCUCGGGUUCGGAGAUGUUGAUGCAGACCGGUACUGGAAUAUGGUCCAGAAAAGGACGGACGAAUCACUGACAGUGCACGGGGGAGAGUGAGAAUGAGAAUGGGCGCGAUAUGUAGAUGAAUUUCCGCCUGGCAGUAGGAAAGUUAAGCGCAGAUCGGUUGCAUGAGCGUGUGGGAGUGACGAAGAAUAUCUAGAGAUAUGUAGGUGUGGAGGGCAUAAGGAGUGUGGAGCUUGUUGUGAUUGCAAAGGAGUGAACGGAUGGAUUGAUGCGAAGGAUGUGUAAAUGAAUGUGUCUGUCUCCGUUUUGUAUCGUGUUUUGUGGUGGACACGAUCAGAGGGGAGGGAUGAUAUGAUGGAUGAGACGGAGCAGAAGAGGGUGUUGGUUGUUGCAGAGUUGCAUUGACGUGAUGCGGAUAUGGCUUGCGAUUGGCAGUUGAUGGAGCUGUUCUUUGCAUAGUUGUGGAAUAUAGAUCCCGAGUCGGCAUCCUAAAAACCUGAUUGAUGGACAGACUCCAGCUACCCAAAACCUAAAUUAGUUGGACAUCAAGAAGCACGUCGGAAUGUUGAGUUCAGACAACUUUGUUACUGAUGUACUUAAUUGUGGACAUAAAUUCAAGGUGGGAAAAUUGAGCUUGAGAAGCGGCUGAUACCUUAACAUUUCGUCCACGAAUACAUCGAAAGAGGUUCGCUCUACGCAUCACUAUUCCAACGUGUGAAAUCACGGCUUUCUGUCCUGGAAUGGCGCACCCGCUUCGUCGGUCUUCCAAACCGCCAGAGGUUUACCUCCACGAACCAUUGUGGAGGUAAUCAAUAUACAUUGUUAGAACUUAUGGUUUCAUGGAUCUAUAAAAACUACUCUAGAAAUUGAACAUGUUGAACAGAUCUUUAUUUUUAGAUUCACAACAUAAAAUAUAAUAGAAAACAACUUAUUUUUCAUACUAUUCAAUUUGUAAUAAAUGUAUAUAUCACCAAAAUUCAUAGAAAUAAAUAGUAGCUUGAAACAUAUUACUUAGUUAUUAUCUUUCUCAAGAAAUUUUGAGGAAGAUUUCUAGAUGUAGAUUAGAUCUUCAGAUUCUUUAAGAUAAGCUAAAUGGCUAUUAAACCUUGUUCCACAUGUUUCUUAUUUUUUAAAAAAUGCACUAUAAAUAAUCUAUAAUUUGGAUUAUAAGCUUCAUGAUCUUUAAGAAAUUUUCACCAAAAUCUUCUUGGUAGCUAAUAUAUAUAGAGACAUGAUUGAAGCCAUUUUUACUCUCAUUAAUGCUAUUCUUAUUAUGGUCUUAAUAGAACAUGUCUUCUUACUGUGAUAUAAGACAUUUUUGAUAGGUGAAAGGAUCUAUCAACCACCUUCAUGUGGAACAAAAAUCAGAAUUUGUUACUAACACUAUCCAAUGGAUCUUUGAAUUUAUCAACUUAUGAAGUAAUUUCCCAAUCUCUUGAAGAACUUGUUGCCUAAAAGAGGAGUAAUGUCUUAAAUUUUAUUAAGAGCAGACUAAUAUUAGUCAUGUUGUAAUGCUGUUUGACUUCCAAGGUUCCAAUUUGUUAUUGUAUUGCUAUCAGUUUGGACCGUUAAUACUACAAUUUGGUAUUGAUGAGCUACACUAGUAUUUUGUUAUAUAAAAUUUGGCUUGUGAAUGUAUAAUGCAUUUUACCAUAGAAAGAGAUUAUCUAAAUUCUAAAGUUCUUCUCAUAAUUCAAAAAUAAAUGAAGUAUUUAGAAACACAUGAUUCUUGAAGAAAUUCCAAAUUUAAUUUAAUUUUAAUUUUAUCAACUCUAAAUUAUAAAUACAAAAUACUAUAAAGAAUCUGAAUAAAAUCCUAAGCAAGUCCUAAAAAAAAAUCUAAAAAAAUCUAAAAUAUAUUCCAAAAAAUCCUAAAUAUAUUUUAUCAUUCCUAGAAAAACCUUAAGUAUAUCCUAUUAAAUCUUUAUCAAAUUCCAUAUAAAUUCUAAAUAAAUCUUAAAAAAAUUCUACCAAAUCAUAAAAUAAUUCUAAAUUAAUCUUAAAAUACUUGUAUCAAAUUCUAAUAAAAUCCUAAAUAGAUUUUGAAAACAUUUUAAGCAAAUCUUAUUGAAAUCUAAAGAAAAUCUAAGUAUACUUUAAUUAAAUGCAAUGAAAUUUAAAAACCCAUUAAUAAUUCCCUAAUAAAUCUUUAAAAAUUUUAACUAAACUCUGAUCAAAUUAUACUAAAACUUAAUAAAAUCCUAAGUACCAAAUAACAACUUCAAAGCCUUAUAAUUGUUUAAUUAAUUGUUGUUAUUGUUAUUUUUUUGUUUUGUUUUGUUUUGUUUUUUUUUUUAUUUUUAAGUUUUAUAUGUUUUAAUGUUUUUGUAAACAAUACAUUUAAGAAAUUUAAGAAGAUUUGAACUUAUAAAUUGAGAAAAAAGAUUUAAGUAUUAAAUAAAUUAUUUUUUAAACUUUAUUAUUAAACUCCUAGCAUUAAGAUCUCCAUUGUUAUGUCCUAGAAAUUGGUAUCAAUCUUGCUUUUAGUCUACAUCUAAUGGAUAUUUGUAAAUUGCUCAUAUGUUUAUUGAUCUUCAAAAUACCAACUACGAAGAUUUUUUUAAAGUAUGUUAACACACAUAAAUUAAAACGAUCUUAAGUCUACUUAACAAAAUGAUCUAAAAAUUAAAGCAUACAAUAAAAUCAAGUACUUCCACAAACUUACAAAAAUCUGAUUGUGGAUUUAUUAAAAAAAUUACAAUAUUGCCAAAAAUAUAAAUACCAAUUUAUUUUAUAAAAUCAAUGUCAUCAAAACAAAACCUUAACUUUGAUUAGUUCUUACAAAUCUAACAUAUUAGAUGUAUACAAAUAUAAUAUUUAUUGAGCCUUUCUAAUGCCUCUUUUCUAUUGUCACUUUCUAGUCAAGAAAAGAACUCAUAUGCUAUAGGUGCUUGUUUUUGUUCCUUAAGAUCUGAUUUUGAUCUUGUUUUAUUAAGUGUCUUCUUUGAGUAUUAAUCUAAUCUUUUUUCCAAAAACAUUUUCUAGAAAUCACUCUUAUGUUUCAUCCUAAGGAAUUUGUAGUGAUAUUAUGUCUAUUCUACUAUAUCAUAUCUUAUAUAUAGAACCACAAUGCAAGUAUUUUUUUAAUUUAAAUUAAUCGUAUAUAAUCAUAAAAUUACAUACUUUCUCUAAUAUAUUAUCUAUGAUUUUUAAUCAAAUUUCUAUUUAUUUUUUAACUAUGUUUUAAAUAUGUAUUUUUUUAAUAUUUAAUUUUUUACCAAAUAUUUGUGGUAUAAUAUAAUACCAAUCAUUUUUUUUUUUUGUACAUUAAUUAUCAUUAAUUAAAACAAACAUAAUAUUCUUUUUUAAUGGCCAAAAACUAGAUGUGAUACCUAAGAUUGCUAUAAAUAAUAUUUAAGGCAUUAUUGACAUUUGAAAAGUAGUAAAAUAUUUAAUGCUAAUAUAUAUAUAUAUAUAUAUAUAUAUAUAUAUGAUAAAAAUGAAUUCUACUUAUAGUACAUUAAUUUUACAUAUAAGUAAUAUCUGAAAAUGACUUCUACUUAUACUACAUUAAUUAAAAAUAAAAAUGACUUCUACUUAUUUUGUGAGAUUGUAAAGAAGACAAAAAAGGUAGAUUAGGAAAAAUAAUAUUAUGGAUAUUUUUGGAUAUAAGUAAGGAACACCUUUUAGAUUUUUUUUUAGAAAAAUCUUAAAUUAAUACUCAAAGAUGAUCACUUGUGAAUUAGAGUAGAAAAAAAACUCCAAAAAACCAAAUUAUAUACCUAUAAUAAGUAAAGAUUUUUUCAAUUGAUUAGAGGAUAGAUUUAAAAAAAAUAUAUUAGAUAAUAUUUCUCUGAGUAUUAAUCUUGAGAUCUUUUAGAAGAUAAUGAUUUUGCAAGAUCUUUAUAAAAUCAAGGUUAUUUUAAAUUCAUCAAUUUAUUUAUAAAUUCAAUAAAGGAUUUAUAUUUUAAAAAAUUAUAUAGAUUUUUUACCAAAUUUAUAGAAUUUUUUUUUUUAAAUUUGUGAAUUUAAUUAUGUUGGGUGUAUAUUAUAAAUUUGAACUUAAGCUAACAUUUAACUUAAAGAACAUUCAAAUUAAAGAAUAUUAAAUUUAAAAAAUUGAAUUUUGAAGAUUAAUAAGGAUUUCUAUGAUUUUAAAGAAUCUAUUAGUUUUGAAAAGUAUCAAGGAUAUGAAUCUCAAUAAAAGAAAAUCCUCAAUACACUUUUCUAUCACUGAAGAGAAUUAAAAAGUCACUUAAAGGUGAUAUAAUAUUAAACUAGAAUGACUAUUGCCAAAAAUAAGAAGACUAGAAAGGCUUAAAAUAAGACUAAGGACUAAGAAGGCAUUGAAAAGAGUGAAGAAGGCUUCACUCUUGCUUCUAUAUAUACUCUUAAAUAGGAGCUACAUGACAAUGUCCUAUAGGACCUCCAAAAACGUGUUGACUUUGCAAGACACGUAUCUUAAUUUGCAAGGCAAGUUUUCUAUAUGUGUGCCAUAUAGUUAGUUUGUUCUGCAAGCUAUCAACAUGUAGUUGACUUGUUGACCAAGUUUCUAACCUACUAAUCAACUACAAACACAAUUAAAAUCAAAGCAGUAUCUGUGAAGCUUCUAGAAAGCAUUUCUAAAAGAUAUUAUGAAAUUAAUAUACUUUUAUUUAUUUUUAUCUACUUCUAUCUAAUCAUAUAAGUAUUUAUUAAUAUAUCUAUAUAUAUCUAUGAUAUUACUCCAUCUUUUAGGGACGAGUUCAAUGAAAAGCGAUCUUUAUAUAUUGAAGAAAUCCAAAAUGCGGCAAAUUGUAUUUGCCACAUACUCUGAUCUUUGUUUCCUUUCAAGAUGGUUGAUAGUUCUUCUCAGCCAUCGAUAGUACCUUAUAUGAAGGUAAAAAGACCACCUUGUUAUUUGGUCAUUGUUGAGACCUUUGUAACUUCCUUCAAAUAAAAAAUUUGAAAUAUCAUCAAGAAUUGUUCUUAUUUCUAAUAAAAUCAACAAACAUCGAGAGUCUCGUCUAAGGUCAUGAUAUCAAACACGUUGUAUCUUGCCAUCUAUUCAAGGAAGGACAUGUUGUUCUUGAGGAUCUUCAUCUUGAUUUUGUCAACUUGAAGGUUGUGAUAAUUGUAAUAUUUUUUCUGGUAAGUCCACAAAUAAAAGCUCUCAAGUUGAAUCUGUUAAUUGUUGGUUCUCCAUCUUUUUAGUACUUCAAAUACUUAGAAGCUAUGAUGAAGGAUAGAAGGUAUAGUGUUAUUUUUUCUUUAUCUUGUUUCUUUUAUAAUAAAGAUUUACUAUUUUUAAUCUUAAUUUUGAUAGAUGUCAUUGAUAAAAAGUUUCAACUCUCUUUGCUCUAUUUGCAAGAUUCUUUGCUGGCUUCCAUGUAUGUUCAUUAAUAUCAUAUCUAUGCCAAUGAACAAGAUAUUUCAACCUAUUUUGGCACCGCCUUGAAUUUAAGAUUUCUUUCACUUUAAACUCUUGAUUAUUACCCACUUUUAUAGAAGGAUGUGGCAUUUGUCUUCUUCCUAAGAUAUUCACUAUCUUAUAUGGCUCAAGGAAAGAUACAUGAAAUAUAAGGUGGAUCUUCAUGGACUUCGGUAGAUAUAAUCAAUAAGCAAUAGGAUUGACCUGUCACGAAUACAAAAAGGUCGAAGCCUAUAAUAGUCCAACUUGUCACAAGGACAAGUAGUCCUAAUAUUAUAACAAAGUAGCCAUAUCUUGUCACCUACAUUUGAAAUUUCUAUAAGAAAAGUCUCACUUAUUUAUUUGUCUUUAUCAUGUUCUUGUCCUUGAUAGAUAUAAAGUUUUUUUUAGCUUUUUACCUUCAAACUAAUGACCAAACAAAAUUGAUGAAUCAAGUUUUGUAGCAGUACUUGAACUAUACCAUCAACUAUCAUCAAGAUGAUUGGACAACUCUUUUAUCAUUGGUAAAGUUUGCAUAGAAUAAUUUAGUACAUUUUUCUUCUCAACAAAUACCUUUCUUUGCUAAAAAUGGUUAUCAACAUACCCAUACCUUAUCACCUGCAUAAUCAAGUGAGACUUCUCUCAUAAAAAAUAGAAAUAACUUGAUAUAUAAAUUAAAAAAGAAACUGGAAUGGCUAUUGCCAAAAGCCAAGAAAACUAGAGACCCUUGAAACUAGACUAGAAGCAAGAAAGGAAUUGACAAGAGUGAAGAAGGCUUCACUCUUGUCUCUAUAUAUACUAUCUAACUACGGGCUACGUGGUGAUAUUCUAUAAGACCUCCAAUAUGUAUUGACUUUGUAGGAUACAUGCCUUGACUUACAAGGCAAGUUUUUCUACGUGUGGGCCACAUAGUUAGCUUAGUCUUCAAGCUAGAAACAUGUGUGGCACAUGGCCAACUUGUUGACCACUUUUUUAAUCCCAAAAAGUCAAUUAAAGAUACCUAUAAAGUCAAAGCAAUGUCUAUGAAGCUUCUAAGAAGCUUUCAUAUCAAAUACUAUAGAAUUAACUUACUUUUACCUAUUUUUACUUACUUCUAUCUAUUUAUAUAUGUAAUUAUUGGCUUACAUGCAUAUAUCUAUGACAUUACCCUCCCUUCUAGGAACGAGUUCCAUGAGGAGUGGUAUUCAUAUGUUGAAGAAAUCUAUAAUACGACGAAUUAUAUUCGCUACAUACUCUAAUCUUUGUUCUCUUCGAAGAUGAUUGAUAGGGCCUCUCAACCAUCAGUAGUGUCCAAUAUCAGGGCGGGAAGAUCACCCAGUUAUUUGAUCAUUGUUAAAGCCUUCAUAACUUCCUUCGAAUAAAAUAUUUGGAACACCAUCAAAAGUUGUUCCAACCUCUAGUAAAAUCUCCAAACAUCGAAAGUCCCUUCCAAGGUCUUGAUACCAAACACAUUGUAUCUUACCAUUUAUUUGAGAAAGAACAUGACGUUCUUCAGGAUCUUCAUCUCGAUUGUGUCGUCUUGAAGGUUGUGACAAUCGUAAUGUCUUGUCCGACAGAUCAACAAACGAAGGCUCUUGAAUCAAAUCUGCUAGUUGUUGGUUCUCUAUUUCCUGAGCGUCACAACUACAAAGAAGCUACAAACAAGGAUUGAAAGUAGAAUGUUAUCUUUCAUAGAUCUUGUUUCUUUUAUAAGGAAGGUUAUUAUCUUCAUUUUGAUGGAUGUCAUCGAUGAAAAGCCUCCAUUCCCUUUGCUACAUUUACAAGAUUCUUUACUAGCUCCCAUGUGCGUUCACUAAUAUCAUAUCCGUGCCAAUGGACAAGAUAUUAUAAUUUAUUUUGGCGCCGCCUUGAAUCUAAGACUUCUUCCACUUCAAACUCUUCAUUAUUGUCCACUUCUAUAGGAGGAGGUGGAGCUUGUCUUCUUCUUGGUAUGUCCACUAUCUUAUAUGGUUAAAGAAGAGACAUGUGGAAUAUUGGAUGGAUUUUCAUUGACUCUGGUAGAUGUAAACGAUAUGCAACUGGAUUGAUUUGUGCAAAAAUAGAAAAUGGUCCAAGCCUUCGAUAGUCCAACUUGUCACAAGGAUGAGUGGUCUUGAUAUUGCAAUGAAGUAAUCAUACCUUAUCAUCCAUGUGAAAUGAUAGUUGUUCCUUUCGAUAGACAUCCGCAUUGACAUUUUAUUGUUCUUGAGCUUCUUUUAGCUAUGCCUUCAUCGUUGCAUGCAGCUGUGACAAAUGAAUUGGUAAAUCUUUCGCAACAGGAUUAUCAACUUUUGAAAAGUCAGAAGUAUCAAGUUGUAGAUGAUAACCAUAAUUAGCAAAGAAAGGUGUUUGUUUUGUAGAAUAAUGUACCGUGUUAUUGUAAGCAAACUUUGCCAAUGACAAAAGAGUUGUCCAAUUAUCUUGUCGGUAGUUAAUGGUACAUCUUAAAUAUUGCUCCAAAACUUAAUUAACAUGCUCCGUUUGUCCAUCAGUUUGAGGAUGGAAUGUUGAAGAUAGUUUUAUAUCUACUUUUAGAAUCUUGAAAAGAGUCUGCCAAAAUCUUGAUACAAAUUGAGUUCCCCUAUCUGAUAUAAUAUCCUUGGAUAAUCCAUGAUAGCGAUAGAUAUUGUCAAGAAAGAGCUUAGCUGUUUCUUCACCUAUGAUAGAUUUUGUACAUGAUACAAAAUGUGCCAUCUUGGUAAAACAUUCUACUAUUACAAAUAUAGAGUCAUAAGAACUUGAGAUUGGAAGAUCUGUGAUGAAAUCCAUAGAAAUAGAAGACCGUGGUUGUUCUGAAAUGGGUAAUGGCAGAAGAAGUCCAUAAGGUCAAUGACGAGGAGUUUUUGAUCUCGAGCAAAUAUCACAAGAUUGUACAAAAUCUUUGACAACUUUCCACAUUUGAGGCCACCAAAAAUCCUUGGAUAUUAGUUCCAAAGUUUUAUUGUACCCAAAAUGUCAUGCUGCUGGAAAGUCAUGAUGAGCUUGAAGAACACAUAAUCGAGCUUCACCUUUUGGAAGAUAUGGGCAUUCCUCAAAAUAUAGUAGGUUCUUUUUAAAUUCAAACUUGGAAGUAUCAUGAGACUUUGAAGGAUUUUCCUUAAUAUCACGAAUAAGAGGAUCAAAAGACAUACUUGACUAAACUUGCUUAAUGAAAGUUGAAUCAACAAUUAGUGUUGAUUUCAUUGCUCGAAGAUGAAGAUGUUUUGGCUUCAAGAGAAUUAUUUGUUGUUGAUCGAAAGUAGCAUCUCCUUCCUUUGGUACAAGAUAAGAUUGUCUAGAAAGUGCAUUUGACAAACCUUAUUGUUUUUCUGGUCGAUAAGUGAUCUUGAAUUUGAAUCUUGACAAAGACAUACUCCAAUGGGCUUGGCGACGAUUCAAAACACGUGCUAACAUAAAAUAUUCAAGGUUCUUGUGAUCCGUAUACAUUGUGACUGGGCUAAAAGCACCUUCUAAAUAAUGGUGCCAUUCUUGAAAUAAAUCCACGAAUGUAAGAAGUUCUUUUUCAUGGAUCUCGUAGUUGAUCUUGGCUGUUGAAAAUUUUUUGGAAUGAAAAGCUACUAGAUUAAGUUUAUCAUCUGUUCCCAUUUGUGACAAUACGGCACCAAAAGCAAAGUUUGAUGCAUCUGUUUUCAUAAAAAAUGGCUUAGAAAAAUUGAUGCAAUACAAGAUUGGCCCUGAAACAAUGGCUGUCUUCAAAGCUUCAAAUGCUACUUGUACUUCUUGAUUCCAUUGAAGUUUGUCUUUACAAGUCAAACGUAUAAGUGGAGCUGCAACUUGAAAGAAGUCUUUGAUGAAGAUCCGAAAGUAGUUGGCAAAUCUCAAAAAGCAUUGGACAUCUCUUAUCGUUUUUGGGAUCUUCCAAUCCAUAAUAGUUUGAACUUUCUUAGGAUCCAUCAUAAGUCCUUCAUUUGAAAUGAUAUAUCCUAAGAAGUCGACUUAAGUAGUAUAAAAUAUACACUUUUCUAUAUUAGCAUAGAAUCCUACAUCUUUUAGUUUUUGUAAUACAUGACGAAUAUGAAGUUCAUGUUUUUCUAUGUUCUUAGAAUAUAUUAAGAUAUCGUCUAAGUAAUAGACAACAAAAUCAUCUAAAAACUCUCAAAAGACAUCAUUCAUUAGAUGUUGGAAUGCUCCUAGUGUAUUUGUAAGUCCAAAAGGCACGACGUUGUAUUCAAAAUGUCCAUACCUUGUUUGAAACGUAGUCUUUUAUUCAUCUCCUUCUUUGAUGCGUACUAAAUUGUAUGUGCCCCAUAGAUCAAUUUUUAUAUAGAUCUUAGCUUGAUUCAACUUAUCAAGAAGUCCAGAUAUCAAUGGCAACGGAUACUUGUUUUUUAUAGUGAUUUUGUUGAAUCCUCGAUAAUCAACACACAUCCGCAAUGAUUCAUCUUUUUUCUUCACAAAUAAAAUUGGAGCUCCUGCUCGAGAUUUUGAAUGGCAUAUGAAGUUCUUGGCCAAAUUCUCUUCAAUACACUCCUUGAGUUCAGCAAACUCAUUUUGAGAUAAAUUGUAGAUUGGUCCAAAUGACAGUUGUGCUCUUUCUUGAAGGUCAAUUGAGUAGUCAUACGAACGAUGUUUUGGAAGAGUAUCCACAUUCUAUUUUUUAAAUACAUCUUAAAAAUCUUGAUAUUGGCUUGGAAUGCCACUUGAAGUCUUUCCACCAGUAGAAACAGGUGUGGCAUAAAUGACACAAAGUAAUCCUUCUUUUACAGCAUACAAGAAAGGUCUUGUAUCUACAAAUAUAAGUUUAAUUAUACUAGACUUAUGACUUUCUACUUGAUUAACUAUGCUCUUAAUUAUACUUUUAGAAAAUUCAAGACUACAAGAAGUCCAAUCUAUUUUAGGAUUAUAAUUUUUUAGCCAUGAUAAAUGUAAAAAUGACUGGAUUAGAAGGAGAUCUAAUGAUAUUAAAUAUUAUAAAGCUACUAUGACCAUUAGUUGCUAUUUCUAUAGGAAGGAUUUUAUGAGUAACAUCUCUUAAAGACAAUGGACGAUCAUCUAUGACUUCUACAUGAACAGGUUUAGUUUUCUUUAUUAAAAGUAUGCUAUGUCUUUUAGCAAAUUUUUCAUCCAAGAAACAUGUUGAGGCUCCUACAUCUAGCAAGGCAGAGGCAUUGAGAUGUUUAGGUCCUAGAAUAAUAUUUAUCGUAAAACGUGGAGAGGGUACUGAGCAGAUGAUAGGAGCUUCACUAGGCGUUGUACAUAGUUCGAGCCGCACGGUGUCGUAUUACGUGCUUUCCUGCUCGAGAACGCACCGGACGUUUGGCUGUAGAAGGUAGUAUGGAGAUUCGCUAAUAUUGAAACAGUCUAUCGGUUUUUGACUGUUGGAAUAUAAACAACCACAAGAAUACAGCGUAAAUCUAUACGGAUUCCCUUCGACUACUCGCCAAAGUUCUUUUUGUCCCAGCCGGUAGGUCUCUAGACGUUACAGAGAACCCCGAACAACCCAAACUGCUAAUCCUUGAUACCGCUUUAUACUCACGAUCUUGUAUCUACUGACUGUCUUGUUAGAUUAACCCGAUAAAUUUCAUUCACUCCGCAUACUCAAUCCUAUAGACACCCUUUUAAUUCUUCAUCACAGACGUAACUCGAUUUCAUAAAAUAGUCAAGAGUAAUCAAACCCACUUCAUUAAAAAUCUCGAUUCACCAUUACAACAUUGACUUCAGCAACAAUUGCCUCAGUCUUCCUAAAACCCUAUGAAGAAAAAAAACCCCAAUCUCUGUCUUUUUUCCCCUUCCGAAGCAUGAAGCUAGCUCUCUAAUCCUUCAAAAACUCCCCCCCCCCCAAAACUUAUUCUCUCCCCUCUCUCAUUUCUUAACCUUAAUUCUGAAUUUCUUCAAUCCUUCGUCUUGGAUCCGGAAUUGGCUCCCACCGUCAGAGCUUGGAUCCAAAAUUGGCUCUUGCCGUCAAAGCUUUCUCCUCCAUUUUUACCUUUAAGAAAUCUUUUUACCAAAAAUAACGUUCCCUGAAACGGCACAGAGAACAGGACAACCUGAAACAGAAUCGAAACCCCGUAAUCGAGACCACAUUGAGUCGCCCGACCAAUUCAGGUCUCAUAUUGGCUAAGAGUCUAGUAGUAAGAUCCGGAUGUUUCCGUAAUUGGAUCAAAUUGGUCCUUCGCAUCAGAUUGGCUGAGGCCCGUAGUAAGACCUAGAUUUUCCCUUAAUUAGACUAUAUUGGAUUGUCCGACCAAUUCAAGUCUCAUAUUGGGUAAGAGGACCCGGAUUGGAUUCUUGAAAUUGGAUCCAAUUGGCUCUUCGAACUAGGCUCACCUGUCGUGUGAAUUGGUCCUUUUCCUUCCUGCUGACUCCCGUUAUUGGAAUUGAACGGAGUAUUUCAGUAUGCCCCGGCUAACUGUAACGAGGUGAUUGAACCUAGCCUCUCAGUAUUUGCACUGGAGUUGGUCGUUGCUCUCAAUAUUCGAGGUAACUGAACAUUAAUAAAAGUCUCCUUUCUUUAUAUUUUCACGGUAUACUCGUGUUACAACACGACAUCGACCCCCUCUAAACCUGUGCAUCCUCCGGUAUGCACCAAUUUACCCAAUUACUGUUUGAUUUAGAAUACAUCCUCUACGUCUUUGUCCAGUUCGUCUUCAUCACCUUCAUUAUCCAAAUCACUUUCAAUCUCUUGCUGUAGAAUCUCUAUACCUUCAUUAAGGUCUUCCAUAUUCAUCUCUGUGUGUCUUCGUUUAAUUAGUUUUACUCGCUUCCCUGCAAUUGGUAUUUUCAAUUUUGUACCAUCUAACUCCCGUAAUGAGUAAGUCGCAUUAUCAUGAACAAUUGUUACUACAUAUGGUCCAAACCAACGUUUUGAAAAUUUCCGCAAGGUACUAUGUUGAUUAUCUAGACUAUUGUCAUAAACAAGUAUCCAGUCACCUUCUUUGAUUGCUUUAGGUCUCAAUCGAUGUUGCUUAUCGAAUCGCGCCUUGUUUUGUAACCUUGCGUUUUUUAACCUUUCCAAUGCUAUUUGCACAUCUUCCGAUCUUUGCUCCAAUUGUCGAAUCUUAAUAGCCAGAAGUUCUUCUCUUGUCAAUCCAUCUUCCCAUAGUAGCAUACUCCAAGUAAGUACCUUUUCUUCAAUCGGCAUAAUUGGUUUUCGACCUGUCAUAAGUUCUACUGGCAUAUAUCCUGUCACCGAACUAUGUGUUGUUCGAUCAGUCCAUAAUGCAAAUGACAAAAGCCGUGGCCACUCUUUAACUUUUCCAUUAUAAGUUUUAACUAAUGCUUUCACAAUCGGUGGGUGACCGCAUUCGCUUUUUGCAUUCGCUUCCAGAUUAUAAGCAGGAGUCAGUGAUAGUUUAAUUCUACAUCUUUCAAAGAACUUACGAGCUUCUUGUGCAUUUAAUUCUCUACAAUCUGCAGUGAUUUUUUCUAUGCAUCCGUAGCGGCAAAUGACAUCUUCAAGCAAAAACCUACAAAUCCCCUCUGUAGAUUUUGUCUUCAAUGCUCUUCCUUCUACUUGAUUUGAUAAAUCUUCACGAGCUAAAAUCAAAUAUCUCAUCUGCCAUAAUCCAACUGGCAUAAUGACCAAAUCAACAACCCAUUUAAAAUGAAUAGCCAGAGGAUACAUAGGAUGAAGACCAUCUCGAUGUUGGAUAUUAGAAUACGAUUGACAGAUUUCACAUGACUCUACAAAUGAGAGCACAUCUCGAUACAUAUUUUUCUACCAAUAUCGUUCCUUGAGUUUAGCAAAAGUAGCCAAGAUUCCUCUAUGCCCUGCCCAUAAACUAUCAUGAAACUCCUUUAAUAAUUUUAGUUUUUCUUCCUUUUAGCCUAUCACUCGUUGUGGCAUCUCAAUUCCUUUCUUCGGUCUCUUCCAUAAGAAUCCAUCUCGAAGUAAAAAUCCAUAUGCUUUUUUUCUUAUUUGUUUGAAUUUUUCUGUAGACCAAUUUCCCUGCUUAGUCAAGGUAUUCAAGUAAUGACCAAUAUCCAAUAAUUCUCCUUCAUAAGAUUCUUCAAGAAAUAGCUUGUCCUCCCUGUUGAGAUUUGAUAUUGAAUAGAAUUUCAAUCUGACGUCAUCAAUGUCUUCAACCAUUUUGUCCUCCCUCUCGUAUCUUGCUCGAGAUAGCAUGUCUGCUACUAAAUUGUCCUUUCCAGUAAUAUGCUUAAAUUCUGGAUUUAGUGACUUAAUAUAAGCAAUCCAUCUCAACAUUGCAAUAUCUGGCGUUGAACAAUUAAUAAUCAUUCCAAGCAAUGGCAAGCAAUCUGUUUCAAUUACUACUACUGUCCCAAUCAAAUAGUUCUUUUUAGCUUUCAUAGCCAAAACAACUCCCCUAAGUUCCCUUUUGACUUGCGAAUAUGCACGCUAACGAAUACUUAAAACUUUAGCUCCAAAUCGAACUGCAAAUCUAUUCCCACUGGAAUCAUCUUCACCCACAGUCCAUCCAAUGGCAAUUGGACUAGCGUCCAUAGUAAGAAUCACUGGUCUAUUGCACUUAUAAUCAACCUUCCUCAAUAUUGGAGGUGACAUCAAUAAUUUCUUCAAUCUUUGCAUUACCUGAAUAUGCCUUUCUUCUCAUUUAAAUCGGUAACCCUUGCGUAACAGUUCAUAUAAUGGAUCCGCUAUGUGAGAAUAAUGAGGGGUCCAGAUUCCAUAAAAUACACAUGCACCUAAAAACUUGCGAACCUCUGUUAAAGAAUCACAAUCCUCUUUCAUCCUUCCAAUUGCAUCAACUUUAGUCGGAUCUGGUUUUCUUCCAUAAGAUCCACAUAAAUGUCCAACAAUCACAACCUCUCGUACUCCAAAUACGGACUUCAUACCCAAUAAUGUAAGAUGAACUUCUCCAAGCCGAGUUAAAAUCUUUUCACAAUCUUGUAUAUGAUCAACAACAUAUUUGCGACACCCCCUCGUAUCUAAAGUUUCAUCCUUGUCUCCUUUUCUACACCCUUUUAUAGGAACAUCAUCCAGAAAAGGCAUAGUCUUUUCCGGAAUAAAAUCUCUCAAUACCUUAUUCAUCCCAUUCAUCAUAUGCGCAACUGAGUUGGUCGCGCCUUGAGGAAGAGUGCAUAUUCUAACCAAUCCAAGUGGUGUCCUCAUUGUUGUCAUAUCUCUACUUCCUUCGGCAAGUUGAAAUUGAUCAUAAUGUGAAUACAAGUCACCCAUUGAAUAGAUCGCCCUUCCAGCAAACGCCUCAACAAAUUCAUCCACAAUAGGUCCAAUUCUUGUAUUCCUGACAGUUACUGCAUUCACCGGUUGCAUAUCUUGAAUAAACCGUAGUGAUCCAUUCUUAUUAGGUACCAUAAACCAUCGACUAGAAUACGGCGCAAAUGAGGGUUCCAAUAUUUUCAUCUUUAUAUUUUCUUUUAAUAGUUCAACCAAUUUAGGUAAAUAUGCACUCGGUACUGGAAUCGGUCUUAGAUUCCAAGGUACAUGCGGUACAGUGAAGAUAACCAUAGGUGUUAUAAUAUUCGGAUCCACACACCCAAUUUCAUGAGAUUCGAAAGCAAACGAUCUACCUUGUUUAGCCAACAUCUUUUUGAAACAAGUAAUUUCCUCCGGCAAUGAAGAACCAUCAGAAUCAAUCUUCAAUUCUUCAAAAGUCUCUUUAGUAAACUGAUGUCCAAUACUCAUUGGAUCUCUUAAACUUGCUUCUGUUGAUGCUUCUCCCAUUUGUUCUUUAGAAUCUCUUGGUAAUGGUCCGGCAAAAGGCUUUAUCUUCUUAUCUGCCGUUUUAUAUCUCGUCUCUACAGUGACUUCUGGUGCUUGAAAAGAUUCAAAUAUAGUAUAAACCUCUCUUGAAUGAAUCUCAACAAUCUUAUCAUUAUCCCCUAACCCAAUAGAUGUAAUCAAUUCCAAUGAAUCUUCCAGUCCAUUUUCUUCAUAAACACCUAAAAUCCUCUCAUGAUCUUGCAAUGUACCUAACUUGUGUAACUGUCCUUCAAUAUAAUAUAAUAUUUUUCUUCUUUUUCUUUUAAAAUCUUCAACUUUCUUAUACAUAAUAUUUCCAUUCUCCAAUAUACUAAUAAAACUCGCAUCAAAGGUACCUUCAUUAUGCGAGAGUACCUCCUCUUUUGUACCUCCAUAAUCUCGCUUUACAGUGGUACCUUCCCAAAAUCCUUAAAUCCUUCAACAAUCUUUGGCAAUGGUUUCUCCCUCAACCUAUCUCGAUUCCGUUCAUGGUUAGGACGUACUGUUAGAAAUUGUACAGUUUUCCUCCCAUCCUUGCUACGUACCCUUGCAUAAGCAGAACCAUCGUCAAGUACUUUUGUUUCCAUCCGUGUUGCCAUAAUAUAAGAUUGUCCUAAAAUCAACGUAUAAGACGUUGUAUCUUGAACAAAGAAAUGUUGCUCCAUCGCAACAUCCCCAAUCCAAAUUUUGACAUCUGGACAAGCUCGAUAUAAUUCACCCCGUGUGUUAUUAGCUGCUCGAAUUGCCCAUCCAUGUUCCAUAUCAAUUGGCCAUUUUUGCUUCUUAUAAAGAUCUUUAAACAUGAGAUUUAUUUCAGAACCAUGGUCGACUAAAGCAACUAUUGGUUCUUCUGUAUCUCCUACUUUUACCAAUACCUCAGUAGUUGCCCUUGCCCAAUCCUUUCGAGUAUAAUGGCACAAGGUUUCCAUUUCCUUAUCACUAUAAUCUUCGAAAUGUACUCGUUGAUCAUAUCCAUUCUUUUCAUUUGUUGGUUGCUUGUAACCAAUAUCAACCUCUUCUUCAUCUUUAUAUAUUCUUGCAUCAAUAGCAUGACUCAUUCCAAUUUUGUCUAUUAAUUGUCUCUUUUGCUUAAUGCUGUCAAUGAUAACAUCAUGAAACUCCUUCUUUGUAAUUCCCAAGACUUCUUUCAAUGUGAAUUCCACCUUAGCGUUUAAUGUACAUUCUUCCAACACCUCUUUCAAAUUUGUUGCGGCUUCAAUGUCACAAAGUAGCUAAUAAGCAGUUGAUUUGCCCUUAUCUUUUGUCUCCUUUGUUUUUUCUCCCAAUGAUGUUGAGGUAUCCUUUAUAAGCAAUUCUUGUGAAGCUGCCUCCCGAGCCUUGUCUCCUCGAGUUUGCCUCUUAGCAGAAUUUCCUUCUCUAGUAUCAUCAAAAUUUCCUCGUCUCUUUUCUUCCAUCAAAGCUUCAUGUUGGCUCUUAGCAAUAUAUGCAUGAACUAAAAGAGACUCAACAGGAUCCUCCUAACCUGUUCUACCUCGUAUUAUAGCUGCAGUCCUCAAUAACGCUUCUCAAGGUAAUUUCCCUUCUUGCAUUGUAGAAAUGGCAGAAGCCCAAAACUCACUAGUUUCCGUUCUUCCACCAAGGUCAUCAUCUACUCUAGCACCAUAACUUGCACUUUCUUGUGCUGCUGUUUCAUGCUCUUUUAGGUAAUCUUGAACCAAUGCUCUCAUUCUUCCCUUGCCAAAAUUGGUUUGAAGAAGAUCCUCCCUAUCUUUUAAUGCUAUCUUUCCAUCUUUCCAGCAAAUAAUUCCUUACCGUAUCAUAUUAUUAAAUUCAUUGCAAUCUUUUCUAGUGUGUGAAGUGUUAUCACACCAAAUGCAUCUUUGUACAUAUCCUUGUUUUGAAACAUUCUUCAUAUUAUUUGUAGAAGUAUUCUCUUCAAGUCUUGCUAAUUUGAUUUGAAGAUCUCGCAUUCCUCGUAUAAUUUCUUCCAUCUCCAUAUCUGCUUUCUUUGAUAAGGAUGUCGAAGGUUGAACUGUAGGCAUUGUUGGUAGUGUUGUACGUACUCGAGCUUUAGGUGCUUGUACUGUUUUUGGAAUAUUGUUCCCAUCCUUCCUCCUUUCUCUUUUUGUAAGUAGCUCCACUGCAUCUUCAACAUUCUUCCACUUUGUUGUCAAUCCUUCGUCUUCUUCUUUGUCUUCAAGAAGGAGUUCUAAUUUCCCUUGCAAUUCUCCAUCAGCAGCUUGAAGAAAUAGAUUAACUUUGUUCGACUCCAAUGUCAAUUUUUCUACCUUCGAUAAUUGAGAGGACUGCCUGUCAAAUUUCCUUAGUAGCUCUAUUUCUUGUAAAUUCUGAUUGGGCCAAUCAAUCCAUUCCAGAAAUAACUUCUUAGUAACGCGAUCAGCAUCUUCAAAGAAAUAUUCGUCUUUCAAUGUAUGUGAAAAAACCUCCCAUGAAUUUCCAUAACGAUUCGUAAUUGAUGUAAUAUGGUUUCUUAUCUCCGGUAUCAUAGCAAGUCCAAAUAAUUCAACCAUUUUCUUCUCAGAAACCCGAUUUAAUUCCAUUUCAUGAACUUAACAUCUUAAAUACCUUGAAUUAUUCCUCCCAUCAAAUUGAUCAAUCUUAUUGACCACUGCUUGCAAUGCUUUGGUUGCCAAAGCUUCCUUUCGAUCAUUGCUUUGCUGUUGCUGCAUUGAUAAUGAGAAGGCUUGAAACAUACUAGCAAUAGACGGAUCCAUGUGCAUACCUUGUCCUUUAGAAGAAUCCCCACUAGAAACUCCUCCCAAAAAUCCUUCAAAAUUUUUAUUUUUAUUUUCUAUAAAAUAAAAAUAAAAUCAAACGAAAUCCAAUACCUUCUACCUCAAGCUUUCACGUCGAGUUCACCACUUAUGUCGUAUUACGUGCUUUCCUGCUCGAGAACGCACCGGACGUUUGGCUGUAGAAGGUAGUAUGGAGAUUCGCUAAUAUUGAAACAGUCUAUCGGUUUUUGACUGUUGGAAUAUAAACAACCACAAGAAUACAGCGUAAAUCUAUACGGAUUCCCUUCGACUACUCGCCAAAGUUCUUUUUGUCCCAGCCGGUAGGUCUCUAGACGUUACAGAGAACCCCGAACAACCCAAACUGCUAAUCCUUGAUACCGCUUUAUACUCACGAUCUUGUAUCUACUGACUGUCUUGUUAGAUUAACCCGAUAAAUUUCAUUCACUCCGCAUACUCAAUCCUAUAGACACCCUUUUAAUUCUUCAUCACAGACGUAACUCGAUUUCAUAAAAUAGUCAAGAGUAAUCAAACCCACUGCAUUAAAAAUCCCGAUUCACCAUCACAACACUAACUUCAGCAACGAUUGCCUCAGUUUUCCUAAAAUCCUAUGAAGAAAAAAAACCCUAAUCUCUAUCUUUUUUCUCCUUCCGAAGCAUGAAGCUAGCUCUCUGAUCCUUCAAAAACUCCCCCCCCCCAAAACUUAUUCUCUCCCCUCUCUCAUUUCUUAACCUUAAUUCUGAAUUUCUUCAAUCCUCCAUCUUGGAUCCGGAAUUGGCACCCACCGUCAGAGCUUGGAUCCAAAAUUGGCUCUCGCCGUCAAAUCUUUUUCCUCCAUUUUUAUCUUUAAGAGAUCUUUUUACCGAAAAUAACGUUCCCUGAAACGGCACAGAGAACAGGACAAUCUGAAACAGAAUCGAAACCCAGUAAUCGAGACCACAUUGAGUCGCCCGACCAAUUCAGGUCUCAUAUUGGCUAAGAGUCUAGUAGUAAGAUCCGGAUGUUUCCGUAAUUGGAUCAAAUUGGUCCUUCACGUCAGAUUGGCUGAGGCCCGUAGUAAGACCUAGAUUUUCCCGUAAUUACACUGCAUUGGGUUGUCCGACCAAUUCAGGUCUCAUAUUGGGUAAGAGGACCCGAAUUGGAUUCUUGAAAUUGGAUCCAAUUGGCUCUUUGAACCAGGCUCACCCGUCGUGUGAAUUUUUCCUUUUCCUUCCUGCUCACUCUCGUUAUUGGAAUCGAACGGAGUAUUUCAGUAUGCCCCGGCUGACUGUAACGGGGUGACUGAACCUGGCCACUCAGUAUUUGCACUGGAGUUGGUUGUUGCUCCCAAUAUUCGAGGUAACUGAACAUUAAUAAAAGUCCCUUUUCUUUAUAUUUUCAUGGUAUACUCGUGUUACAACACGACAACGGUCUCUAUUAUAGCUGGAUAAAUUCGUUUUUCGACAUGCUAUCUUCUUUGAUCGCAGUACUCUUUAUUUUAUGGUUGCGUCACUUCUUUGGAUAAUGUUGAGCAUUGUGCUUAGGUUUUCUACAAUAUAAGCACAAUCCUUCUUGAUAAUGAUAAGUCUUUUCUUGCUCAAUAAGAGGUUUGAAACGUAUUGUAUCAAUUUACAUAUCCUCUACUUUUGAAUGUAUGUAUUGAAGAAAUGUUGGUGUUGCUAUUGAAUUAUAGUAACGUUGAGGUCCACUUGUACGGUUCUCUGAUCGUAAUUCAAAAAGGCAAUUGUCGUACUUCAUAGCUAAGUCAAUUGCUUGACUCAAUGUUUGAAGAUCAAGUAAGUUGAGCAUUAAUUUUUUUAUCUCAUAUUGUAAUCCGUAGAGAAAUUGGCUAAUAAGUGCAGCAUUAUCCCACUUGAUAUCAGUUGCAAGUUGUCAAAAUUGUAAAGCAUACAACGUUACUGAUUGAUUGCCUUGUCAUAAAAUAUGGAUCUUAUUGGUUGCAACUCAAAUUGCAUCAUGUUCUCCAUACAUGGAUCGAAACUCCACCAGUAAAGUCUCUAGAUUAUCCAAUAUUGAAUCUUGUCGUUCAAAUAAAGAUGAAAAUUAUAAUAGUGCUGAACUUGAAAGAAGCGUACUAAUGAAUCUAACUUGCGAUCAUGAAGUUGGAUAGCUUUGGGGUUGAAGUUCAAUCAGAAGUUGCCCUUGAUUGAUAAUUCCUCGAAACUUGGAUCUGGUGCCAUCAAACUUCUUGGGUAGGGCAAUUCUUAGUUUUCUAACAUUGAAAGGACAUUCCACUUUAGAAGAAGGGACAUGAUUUGGUGUAGAUGUUGAAGUAGCUCCAAUCAUUUCUAUAUCUUUACUUCUUGCCAAUCUUAUUGCUUUUUGUGGUAGUAAAUUGAGUUGAAGAAUCGCAAGCAUUAACUCUCUCAAUUGUUCUUGCAUUUGUGCCAUUGUACUCUUCAAUUCAGUAAGUUUUGCCAUGAUAACACUUAGAAAAGAAAAGAUGUCUAAUAUCGCUUAAGACAAAUAGAAGAGAGGACUUGAGAACAAAGAAAAUACUAAAGAUAAUAUUAGUUUAGAAGAGGAUAAUCCGCAAUUUCUAAUAUGCUUGUCUCUUAUCAAGCAAAAAAGAAUAAUCCACUCUUAAUCAAGAUUAGACAAAGCUCUGAUAUUGUAGGUGUGCUCUUGUCAAACUGUCAAAGAUAAGAACAUGAUAAAGACUAAUAAACAAUUGAGACUUCUCUUAUAGAAAGAUGACAAAAUAGAAAUAACUUGAUAUAUAAAUUAAAAAAGAAACUGGAAUGGCUAUUGCCAAAAGCCAAGAAAACUAGAGACCCUUGAAACUAGACUGGAAGCAAGAAAGGAGUUGAGAAGAGUGAAGAAGGCUUCACUCUUGUCUCUAUAUAUACUAUCUAACUACGGGCUACGUGGUGAUAUUCUAUAGGACCUCCAAUAUGUGUUGACUUUAUAGGAUACAUGCCUUGACUUAUAAGGUAAGUUUUUCUAUGUGUAGGCUACAUAGUUAGCUUGGUCUUCAAGCUAAUAACAUGUGUGGUACAUGGCCAACUUAUUGACCACGUUUCUAAUCCAAAAAGUCAAUUAAAGAUACCUAUAAAGUCAAAGUAAUGUCUAUGAAGCUUCUAAGAAGCUUUCAUAUCAAAUACUAUAGAAUUAACUUACUUUUACCUAUUUUUACUUACUUCUAUCUAUUUAUAUAUGUAAUUAUUGGCUUAUAUGCAUAUGUCCGUGACAAUAUCCACCUUUAAAAUCUUGAAAAAGGUUCUCCAAAAACUUGAUAUAAAUUGAGUCUCCUAUCCAAUAUAAUAUCUUUUGGUAAUUUGUGAUAGCGAUAGAUGUUGAUAAAAAAUAGCUUAACUAUUUCUUCAUAUGUGAUAGAUUUUGUAUAUAGUAUAAAAUUUACCAUCUUGAUAAAAAAAUCUACUAUAAUGAAUAUAAAAUCAUACAAACCUGAGACUAAAAGAUCUGUAAUAAAAUCUAUAGAAACAAAAAACUACAGUUGUUUUGAAAUAGAUAAAGGGUGAAGAAGUCUAUAAGGUUGAUGGCAAGGAAUUUUGGAUAUUGAAAAAAUAUCAUAUGAUUAUAAAAAGUCUUUGACUGCCUUUCACAUUUGAAGCCACCAAAAUUCUCUCAAUAUUAGUUUCAAUAUCUUGUUGUAUCCAAAAUGUCCGGCUGCUAAAAAGUCAUGAAAAAUUUGAAGAAUAUGUAAUCGUGUUCUAUCUUCUAGAACAUAUAAUUGUCCCUCAAAAUAGAAUAGAUUGUUCUUGAAUUCGAACUUGGAAAUAUCAUGAGACUAAGAAGAAUUAUUCUUAAUAUCAUAAAUAAGAGGAUCAAAAGACAUACUUGAUUGAAUUUGCUUAAUAAACAUUGAAUCAACAAUUAAUAUUGAUUUUUUUGCUCGAAGGUGAAAAUAUUCUAGCUUCAAGAAAAUUAUUCUUUGUUGAUCAAAAGAUCCAUUUUCUUCUUUUGGCACAAGAUAAGAAUGCCUAGAAAGGACAUUUGACAAACCUCGUUGUUUUUCAGGUCCAUAAGUAAUUUUGAAAUCAAAUCUUGAUAAUGAUAUGCUCCAAUGAGCUUGGCAAUGAUUUAAAACACGUGUUGACAUUAAAUACUUGAGGUUCUUGUGAUCUCUAUACAUGAUGACUAGACUUGAGGCACCUUCUAAAUAAUAGCAUCAUUCUUAAAAUGAAUCCACAAUUGUAAGGAGCUCUUUGUCAUGGAUUUUAUAAUUAAUCUUGGCUCCUAAAAAAUUUCUAGAAUAAAAAACUAUUAAAUGGGAGGAAAUAAAAAACUCUAUUUAAUAGCUUUUUAUUAUUAUGCCUAAUUUUUUGCAACAUACGACAAACAUAGACUUCAUGUUCUUUUAUGUUCUUAGAAUAGAUUAAGAUGUCAUCCAAAUAACACAUGACAAAAUUAUCAAAAAAUUCAUAAAAAUUAUCAUUCAUUAAAUGUUAAAAAGUAGCUAAUGCAUUUGUGAAUUCAAAAGGCAUGACAUUAUAUUCAAAAUGCCCAUACUUAGUUCAAAAUAUAGUUUUCUAUUCAUUCUUUUUUUUAAUGCAUAUCAUAUUAUAUACUCUUCAUAUAUCUAUUUUUGUAUAGAACUUUGCUUGAUUCAAUUGAUCAAGAAAUUUUGAAAUUAAAAGUAGAGGAUACAUAUUCUUAAUAGUGAUCUUUUUUAGUCUUCAAUAGUCUACACACAUCGAUAAAGAUUUUUUUUUUUUCACAAAUAAGAUAAGAGCCUCAAUUGGAGAUUUAGAAUCACGUAUAAAAUUCUUAAUUAGGUUUUCAUCAAUAGAUUCCUUGAGUGCAACUAAUUUAUUUGUCAUAGGCUAUAGAUUGGUCAAAAUGGUGGUUGAGCCCCUUCGUGAAGAUAUAUGGAACAAUCAUAAGGACAAUGCUCUAGAAGAAUAUUUACAUUCUUCUUUUCAAAAAUAUCAUGAAAAUCUUGAUACUGAUUGAGAAUACGACUUGACAUCUUCUCACUAUUAGAAAUGGAUGUGGCAUAUAAAGCAAAAAAUAACCCUUGUUUUAUGACAUGCAUAAAAGCUUUUGCACCUAUUAAUAAGGAUUUGGAUGUAUUUUUAUUUGAUUGAUGAGAUUUUGGAUUAAACUAUCAGAAAAUUAUGGUUACAAAAAAUCCAAUCUAUCUAUGGAUUACAUUUUUUUAAUCAAAAUAAUCUUGAAAUAACCAUAUUACAUAGAAAUCUUAUUACAUUAAAUAUUACUAUGCUAUUAUGAUCUUUAAUUGCUACAUCUAAAGGAACAGUCUUGUAAGUAACAUCUCUAAAAGAUAAAAAAUGACCAUCUAUGACUUCUAAAUAAAUAAGUUUAGUUUUUUAGACAAACAAUAUCUCUUGUUUUUUAAUAAAAUCUUUGUCUAUAAAAUAGACUCAAGCUCUUGAAUCUAACAAAGCUAAUUUUUUUUGAUUUUUUGGUUCUAAAAAAACUACUAUUGUAAAACAAGGUAAGGGAUCUAAGGAGAGAAUAGGACCUUUACUAGGAAUUAUAUAAGAUUCUAAUUGCAUGGUCUCUAUUGUAGCUGAAGAAACUUAUUUUCUAAUACCUCGUCUUCUUUAGCAAUCAUGCUUCUCAUUUUGUGAUUGCAUUGCUUCUUUGGACAAUGUUGAGCGGUAUGUUUAGUUUUUCUAUAAUAUAAGCAUAAGCCAUUUUGACAUCAUCAAUUCUUUUUUUGUUGUGUGAAAGAUUUAAAAUGUACCGUAUCAAUUUGCAAGUGUAAAUUUUUACUUCUAUUAAUCAAGUAUAAAUACUUUUAAGAAUGAAUUCAAAUCAUAAAGAAGUUGCAAAAUUUUUUCCAUUAAAAGUGCAAAAUAAGAGAGGGCAGUUCAUUAUAGAAGUAUGCUUAUGAAUCUGGUUUGAAUAAAUCCAUUAAAAUAUUAGAAAUGAUACAAAUUUAGAUAGAGCUUGACUUGUUGCAAAAAUCUUUGAAAUUUCAAUUUUAAUCCAUCAAACUUCUCAAGCAUAUUAAUCCUUGUCCUUGUCAUACUUCUAGAAGCAAAACUUCCUAAAUUUGGUUGUGAGGUCAGUCUACUUGCUUCCUUCAACUACACAACUUUUUGCCGCAAAUUCUAAACUUUUUCUAUAGGCAUAGGCAUAGACAUAGGUAUAGUACCUCCAUGAUUCAUAUUAAAAAUACAUGAGAUUUACAUUCUUAGAAUAUUGAUAAACUCAUGAAGUUCAACAAUAAUUAUAAAUCUAUUCUCACUUCUAUUAAAAAUAGCAUCUAUAAUCUUUCUUUACUUAGACAACUCAAAUAAAUUCAAAAAGUUAAAUUAGAGGAAGAUAAUCUGUAACUUCUAAUAAAAAAUUUCCACAAAGGGAUAAUUCACUUUCUUUAAGAAAAAAAAUCUUUUUUAGAAAAUCAGAUUUUUUUGUUUAAAGGUGGAUAGUCUACAACCUUCAAAACAUAACUAUAGAAGUGGAGUAAUUUACAUACUUCUAGAACAAGAUAAAAAUAUUAGGUUAGCACUCUUAUCAAACUAUCAAGGAUAUAAAUCUCAAAGAAAGAAAAUCCUCAAUACAUUCUUCUGUUACUAAAGAGAAUUAAAAAGUUACUCAAAGGUGAUAUAAUAUUAAAUUAGAAUGGCUAUUGCCAAAAACUAAGGACUAAGAAGGCAUUGAUAAGAAUGAAGAAGGCUUCACUCUUGCUUCUAUAUAUACUCUUAAAUAGGAGCUACGUGGCGAUGUCCUAUAAGACCUCCAAAAACGUGUUGACUUUACAAGAUACAUAUCUUAAUUUGCAAGGCAAGUUUUCUAUAUUUGUACUAUAUAGUUAGCUUGUUCUGCAAUCUAUCAAUAUGUAGUUGACUUAUUGACCAAGUUUCUAACCUACUAAUCAACUAUUAAUACAAAUAAAGUCAAAGCAGUAUCCAUGAAGCUUCAACGAAGUAUUUCUAAAAGAUAUUAUGAAAUUAACCUAAUUUUAUUUACUUUUAUCUACUUCUAUCUAAUCAUAUAGGUAUUUAUUAGUAUAUCUAUGUAUAUCUCUGAUACAAAGAUGGUUUUUUUGAAACUAUAGUUAAAUUUAUUUUUAACAUAUGUGAAGAUUUUUUAAAAAAAUAAAUGGUAAAAAAAUGAGUUAUUGACUUUGAAAAAUUGAUAUUAAGAUUAAAAAAAGAACAUAAUUAAUAUCCAAACACAUUAGAUUUUUUUUCAUUAUUAGUUUUAAUUCUUUUAAAAUCAUGUAUACUUGUUAUCAAUUAAAAAAUUAAAAAUUUUACAAAAUUUAAAUCAAUAUUAAUAGUUAAUUAAUAUUUUUUGAGAUUUUAAAUCUGAUAUAGAGAUAGUUAAGAUUAAAUUAGAAUUUAUUUUGGAUUUUUUUAAAGAUUUCUAGAAAUUUAUUGAAAUUACUUUAGAAAAUUUGAAAGGUUUCUUUAUGAUUUAUUUUAAAUGUCUUUACGGUUUUAAAAAUAUUUCUUUAAGUCUGUUUAGAAUUUCUUUAGGAUUCAUUUAAGAUUAUUUAAGAUUAUCCAAGGUAUUUUUGGAGUUGAGUAAAAUAUGAUAGGAUAUAUUUAAGAUUUUUCUGAGAUUGAUAGGAUGUACUUAAGAUAAUAGAAAGCUUAUUUAAAUUAUUCAAGAAUGCCAAAAGGAUAUUUUUGAACAUCUUCAUGUAUUAUUUUGGAUUGUAAAUCCAAUUCCAAGGUAAAAUCAAACCAUUUCAAACCAAAAUAUUUAAUGCAUUUUCAAGCUAAUUUUCACAUUACACAACAAUGUGAAUAUCUUGUAUUUUGAAAUUUAUUAAAUAUAUAUCCUUAAUAGUUUUUCAAAAUCACUAACUUGUUAAAUUUAUUUUAGUUAAGAAAUCCAUAGAUUAUUUAUUUAUUUAUUUUUAUUUUUUAAGAAAUAUUAUUUCAUUUUGAAAGAUUAUAAACUAAAUAAAUUUAAAUUAAUAUUUUUUAUUCUUUGGUUUUUUUUUUGGAAAAAAUUGAGUAAUCUCUUUUCGUAAAAAAAGUUAUUUAAUAUUAGAUAUUGUCAAUUAUCGUCUUCUAAUUUGACUUGGAAAUUUAUUUGAAUUUAUUUUUAUUUAGUUAGAAGAACAAUAAGUUUUUAAUUCUAUACUUAAUAUAAUUGAAAAUAGAUUUGCAACUAUUACAAAAAAAUUUAAACAUUUCAAUAAUUUUUGGAAUUUUUUUAUAUGUUAGCAAUCAACUAUAAAAGCCUUGUUGAUAUAUGUCUUGUAUUAUAUUACUAUAAGUUUUUUUAGCAAGUUUUUCUUUUUGGUUUCUAAUAGAUUCUUUGGAGAUUCUAAAAAAAGGAUAAGGAUUGUCUCUCUCUCCCUCUCUCUCUCCUCCCCUCCUUCCCUUCUUUUGUAUAGGGUAUGGAAUUACCUAAAAACUAAAUUUGUCUAGUUUUAAUUUAAAUCUAGUUUUGUGAAGGUUCUAAGGUUAGCAAUAAAUAUUUUUAGGAUUUUGUCUAGAUUUCAUAUAGACAUCAUUGUACAACACAAUGUUUAUACUUUCUUAUAAAAUUAAAUUCUUGUGUAUGUUUCCUAAUGGAUAUUACUUCAACUUUGAAAUAAAUAACUUUCAUUGUAUGUCAUUUCUAUUAGAUUGAAUAUAUUCUUUUUGUGCACAUUUCUAAUCCAUUACAAUAAGCACUAUUGUUAUGCCUGUAAAAAAAAGCAAUAAUGAGGUUUAUUAUUUAUACAAGAAUUUUCACAAUUGAGAGACUUUUUUUCAAGUAUAAAAGUAAUUCUUUAAAACAUCAAAUUCUUUAUCAGUUUAUAAUUUCAUAUGUGUAUAUAUUCUUUAUUAACAUCAUACAUUUUUAGAUGAUAUUGUAAAUGUUGACUUAUCUAUUUUUUUUUAAUUAAUUUUACUUUAAUUAAUUGAUUAAUAACAUAUGCAUUAAUCAACAUGGACAUAGCUGACUAUACCUUUGAAAAAACUCACUUAUAAGAAGAAUUUUAACUUUCAUUUUUAGAUUACUUUCUAUAUACUUUUUCUUUAUGAUGUACCAAAUUCUACUAAAAUAUUAUUGGAUCAGUCCUCUAAAAAUUCUUAGCACCCUCUUCUUAAUUACAGAUGGUAGUUUUGAAUUGAUUCAUUCCCUACCAUUGUUAUUUAUUUAUUUUCCUCUUCGAUUUUUAUUUUUAUUUUCUAGCCUUUUUUUAUAAAAUUAUUUAUAUAUAUAAAUACAAAUAUAUAGAUUCUUAGUUUUUUAAAUACAUGUAUUUUUAAUUAUAUACACAUUUGUAGUUAAAAAAUAUAUAAAUGUUAGAAAUACUUAUAUAUAUAUAUAUAUAUAUAUAUAAGACAUGCAUCUAAAAAAAAUAGAUUAUAUACAAAAAAAAAUCCUUCCAAGAAACAUGAUAGAAUUACCCGAUAUAAAGAAGGCCAAAAGAAAAGGGUAUUGGGGAUAAAAGUCGGAAUAUAAAUUGCAUUGCAGAGGAGAAUGCCAGACAUUGGUGCAAAGGGAGGCCUAUUACUUUUGAAAAACAACCUAAAGAAGAAUGAAGCAUAAUUUUAAAAAUUACGGAGGGAGAGGGAUGGAGGAUCAUAUUUAGAAGCUAAAUUAUAAAAGGCUCGGAUUGUUAAAUAUUCAAAAAUAGAACAAUUUAAUUGCAUAUCAAUUGUAAUUAUGAUAAUUAAUAAAAAUCCAUUGUGUGUGUAUAUAUAUAUAUAUAUAUAUAUAUAAUAGAAUUUUAUACUACAAUCUAAUUUUUUAAAGAAAAAAACUAUCGCCACCAUUUAUUAAAGUAGAUAAAAAAUUAAAUUAAAAAAUAUUUUUUUAUAAAUAGAUGUUUUUAAUGUUUCUAACAAUACAAAGAAUAUAUGAUUCUAAAUUGAUAAAAGUAAGUUUUAAUAUAUUUUUAAUGUUUCUAAAAAUAUAAAGAAUAUAUGAUUUUAAAUUGAUAAAAAUAUAAGUGAAUAGAUUUAUCUCAAAGAUGAUUUAUUUUUAAAUUUAAGGAUUUGAACCUCAUUAAGGCUCACAAAGUGUUGUUUAUAGUAUCUUAGAGAAGAAAUGAGGCCUUCAUUUCAUCUUCCUACCUACAUCCAACAUACUACAAUCCAUAUAGGAUAUAUGUACCUCCUUUUUUACAACUACAAUACUAGCUGCUCAUCACUAUAAUUUCUAUUAGUAAUACAUGUUAUUUUUCUUAUUUAAUUUCACCAUGGUAUUCAAAAAUACAAAAUUAACCUCAAAACCUCAAAGUAUCUUAAAAUCUUAUUUUAAUUCUUUAGUUUGGCCUCUCCAAAGUGGUAAAUUAAUUUAUACCUAAGUCUUCAAAAUGAAUUCCAAAAAUUCAUAAAAUCUCCUAAAUAAAUUCUAAAAAAUCUUAUAAUGUUUCUAAGAUAAUGAGAAAAAUUUAAGGUCACUUGAUGCUACCAUGGUGUUUUUUUAAAAAAUAUAAUCUAUUAAAUUAACAAUAUAUAUAUGUAUAUAUAUAUAUAUAUAUAUAUAUAUAUACAUAAAUUACUAAAAAUUCAUGAAAUUCUUAGUCAUACUUUUCCUAUCUACUAAUUAACAUUUCUAACCUUUUGAUAGAUAAUACAAAUGAAUAGAAGAUUAUAUAAGACAUUAGUCUUAAUAACUAAAUAAUAAUUAUUAAAAUUUAAAAAAUAUAUAUUAAGAAAAAUAAGGUAAUUGCCUCAAAGACUUACUAAAAUUCUAAUUUAAUAAAUUUUUGCAUAACAAGACUCUUUUAACUUAUAAAAGCUUCUAAAUCCUAAUAAAUUCUUAUAAAAUCAUAUUAACCCUCUAAUUUUAAUAUAUUUUUAUAUCAAAAAAUUAAAAAUAUAUUUUUAAUAAUUCUACCAAUUAAGAUGUAUUAGUAGAACAUACAAACAUAUAUGGAAGCAAUCCAAGAAUUUUGCAAAUGCAUUACAACUUAUUACUCUUUUUUUAUUAAUAACAUCUUUUAAAAUCAAGAAUUAAUUACUAAAAAUAUAAUAAUAUAAAUAAAGUAGAAAUAAAAUCAACAAUCAACUUAUAGAAUUUCUAUGAAAUAUAGAGAGGAUAAUAUUUUUAUUUAUUCAUUUUUAUUUAUAAAUUUUUAAUAAAUUUUCUUUGAUAUAGAUCAAAUAGUUAGAUUUUUAUAGAUAUGUCAUGUGGCUUUAUAAACGUGUCCUAGAUUUUUUUAUUUUUAAGAAGUUGUAUUUUACUAACCUACAAUUUGAUGUUUAGGUCACAAGCCUUACGAUCCUAAUAACCUUCUAUGAGACCUUAUUUAUAAUUAGUAUACAUAGAGAUAAGACUAACUCCAUCUUUGGUCUUAUUAACAAUUUUCUUGUGUUUUAAUCUUGGUUUAAGAAUCUUUAGUUUUUUCAUAUAUAUUAAUAGUCAUUUUAUAAUUUUUUUUUUUUUUUUUUUUUUUUUUUGGGGUUUAGGGAAUUUAAAUUUAAAUUAACCAAGGCAAGCUUAAAAUAUAAAAUCUUUUUUUUAAGAAAACCUAACUAUUGUGCAAUGAUACUAAUCAUCUUGCAAAACAAAUCCAUAUACAACUCUUUGUUAUUGCUACAACACUGAGGUCACUAAUAUUCUACCCUUCAUUAUUGAAGUCUGUCUCAUUCUUAUGCAACCACAAAAUUAAUGUUUCUUCCAAAUUGACUAUUUGAAAAUCAGUUCACUUUUGUAUUAGUGGUCCUUUUUUGGCAAUACAAACUAAACUUGUCAUCUUUCUCUUAAUUUUUGUUUUUUAAAUUUUUUGUCAAAACUUUUUGCAACAGAUUCUCAACAUAUCAACUUCCUAAUCAUUCAUUAGAAUGUGAUUAACCGAAGUGAUCAUUUUGCUAUCUAGAUUUUGUGAUCCUUUUGAAAUCUAGAUUAUUAAAAAAAAAUAAAAAUAAAAGACUGUUUCUGAACUUCUCAAAACCACAGGCGUACGAAAAUAUAUACUACGACAGGAGAUCCGAAAUCUAAGGAGAGCGGGGGGUGGACGAAUUGAGAAUGGAAUGUAACUGUUCAACCAACUUUUGACGUGACUGCUUCAGACCAUAUUCAGACUAAUUAGAGCUGGAAUCCGGUACCGACAAUUGACAACGGUAGAACUGAUGCUGGGUACCCAAGUUAACGUGACUCCGUGAUGUGCUUCAUCCCUCCACAUCUUCAAAGGUUGAAGCUCAGAGACAGAUAGGAGGAGUCUCUGUGUGUGUGUGUCCGAAGGUUUGAGGUUCCCAGAUGGUGAUUCUUCCUCGCACUCUCAAAUCCUAGCCUUGCCCACACUCUUAGAUUCCACGGUCUUCAGACUUUUUUCAUGGACUGUGCGCCAGUUUUACGAAGAGUUAUUAUUUUGAUGGGGUUGGAUAAACGAUAUAGCAUGAGCACCUUCUCGCAUGUGGUUGUGCUUGGAGGGAAUUGUCGAUUCGCGUCACAAACAGCCAUGAAGUGCAGGUGCUGCUUCGAACUUGCUUAAUGGGGGCGAGGGGGGGGGGGGGGGGGGGGUGGUGGGGAGAGGGGAUGCUGUACGAGGGGAACUUCGUCAGCUUGUGAGUGCAUCUUUCAGAAUAGGUCUUGCAAGGGAUCCCUCUGCUUCCUAAUAAAAAAAUACCUAUGGAGGGGGUUAUUAUUUCAAGUAUAACUCAGUCGCGGAACGCUACGUCGGCAACUAGCUCAGAGCUCGUUCCCAGUUGAGAAGGUCGAAAGGAUCUUGUUGAGCGGUUUUGUGUCUUUCCAUCUGAACUUAACUGCAUGCUCGAGUUCGUCAGGGUGGUGCAGGGUAACCUAGAGCGCAGGUGCGCAAAAUGCAUUGGAAAGGAAUCAAGGCAUAAGCAUGCAUCACGAGGACGAGAUAUUGUCGAAUUUCAAAAUGGCUCGCGUAUCUCUUCUUGGUGAUGAGCUUCAUCCUCUCCUGUGAUUGCCAGUCAGCAUCAGGAAGCACUCUUGCCUCAAAUUCCUCCAUGACGUCGAACAUGACAUUGGUAUCCCCCGGAGGAAUAUUCGAAUUGGGUUUCUUCUCUGGAAAGCGCCCUAAUCUAACCUCCUCAGUGUACGCUCGCGAUCCGGUAUGCUCAACCAAAAGCUGUUGAGGCGAAAACCGUCGUUUGGGUUGCUGACAGAUCCAUGGCUUUGACCGACGUCGAGAAUGCCACACUGCGGUUGUCGGCACAGGGGAGCAUUGAGGUCUACGACGGUGCCGUCCCAACUUCGAAGCGCAUGUGGAUGUCCAACACUGCAGACGUAAGCUUUCAUACACUACGUUCCGUUAACAGUAGCUACACGUUCACAAAGCUGAAUUGACUCUUCAUCAUCCUAAGUACGCUUCCCAACCAUGUCUGAUGCAAUUCUGGUGAACACUUAUCAUGCAGCUGAAUGUGACCAGUGCCAUCAUUCUGGACACGGGCUACUAAACUCAGGCAUGGGGAGUGGUUUGGCAGAGCUUCGACUAUCCCACAGACACGCUCUUGCCUAACCAAACUUUCCGAGCAAACACAGAGUACAACACCAUCGCCGCGUGGCAAAACGACGGCGACUGGACUCCUGGAAAGUAUAUCCUCGGAUGGACUUCUAUGAAUACAAUUUACGCAACCUGGCUGAACCCGUAUCCUUGGGACGUCGACAAAUCGAAAAACAUAUACUGGCAAAAUAAUACGCAGUUUUCUGAAAUCAAGCUGACACCGGAAGGAGAAAUCCGAAGACUUGACGGACAGGGGCAGUGGGUUCUCCAGGUGCCUGGUCAACUUCUUCGAUUGACGCUUGAUAAGGAUGGCAACAUUCGCUUGUACAGCUGGACAGUCCAUAACGCAAACUGGACGAUUGUAUGGAAACUAAUGGAUUCAGAAUGCUCCAUUUCAGGGUAUUGCGGUCCCUACGCAGUUUGUGAUCGGGGGGAGUGUUCUUGCCUCGAUGAAUUUGAGCUUGUCGACCGCACAGACCGAAGGCUCGGGUGUCGGGGGAAAACGCCGGCGGCAUAUUGCACCAACAAAGCAGCGCUUCCCGACACUUUCACCCGAGCUUUGAACAAUGACUGGCCACAAAACGACUUGGUCAAGUUUGAAAACGCAAAUCUGUCUUACUGCAAACAGCGUUGUUUUGAAUCUUGCGAGUGUGCAGCCGCUAUAUCCACAAUCCCGAGCAGCGAAGGGCUUGUGGAUGCGUGCUGGCACAAGAGAAGAACCCUUCUGAAUGGCGAAAUUCUCGGCACUCGCGAGGCGUACAUAUGAAUUGCAGCUCCGAGUCUACAGCCUACAGCAGCACCUCCGAGCUUGGUCGUCAAAGACAAUCAUCGUACUAUUACAUUUGUGGCUAUCGGACUUGGUGCGAUUGUAGGGAUUUUCUCCUUGAUAGCUUGCGCGUAUGGGGGUUUCUUCCUUGCGAGGAAGAUGCAGAACUGGAAGCGGAGCAGCCUACAUGACAAGUGGUUAGCAGCCAAAGGCACGAUUGUUCGACUCACAUAUACGGAGAUUGAGCUUAUUACUGCUAACUUCCAAACCAAGAUCGGAGAAGGUGGAUAUGGAACUGUUUUCAAGGGACACAUCGGACCCAAUCCGCGCCAGAUCAGUUCCGAUAGUAUUAUCACAGUCGCUGUGAAACAGCUCAAGAAAGAGCCAACUAGCCAGGUUGAGAAAGACUUUCUCAACGAGGUCGACAGCGUAGGACAGAUCCACCAUGUGCAUCUCGUCUCGCUUCUCGGCUACUGCUCCGAAGGGAACCACAGAUUGCUCGUCUACGAGUACGUCGAAAGAGGUUCCCUUCACGCAGCAUUAUUCAAACGUGUGAAAUUACGGCUUCCUGUCCUGGAAUGGCGCACCCGCUUCGCCAUAGCCAUCCAAACCGCCAGAGGCUUGGCUCACCUCCACGGUGACUGCAAACGACGGAUCAUCCACUGCGACAUCAAACCCGACAACAUCCUGCUAGAUUCAUUGUACUGUGCAAAGGUGGCGGAUUUUGGACCCUCCCGCACCCGGAACCGUAACCAAACCACGCAAGCGCAGAGCAAGACCAUGAACCUACGAGGCACAUUCGGCUACAUGGCCCCGGAGUACCAUAUGCCUAAUACCGUGAGCAUCACCGACAAGGUGGACGUCUACAGGUAGGAUUGGUGUUGCUGGAGAUUGUGAGCGGCUGUCGAAACUGCGACAUAACCAGGCUCAACGCGGCGGAUUUGUAUUUCCCAGUCUGGGCAUUCCCCAAACUGGAAACGGAUGAGUUCAUGGAAGUGGUGGAUCCGUCACUGACAGGAAUUGUAGAUCGGGAUGAAGUUAAAACAGCACUACGAGUCGCAUUUCUGUGCAUCAACGACAACCCACAAUUGCGACCUUCCAUGAGCGAGGUCGUGAAGCUGCUGCAAGGGGUUAGAGAUAUCUCGCUCCCGGUGCCAGCACCGCAAUUUCUCAGGUACAUGAACUUCGCGACACAAGAUAAUCAAAGUUCCUCCUCACAUUCUUCAACGCAGCGAACAGCAGAGAAAGUCAGUGAAAGAUUGCUCACGGAGGAACAGGAAUUUCGUGAAAUUGGGAGACGGUGGGAGAUACCUUCGAGUGGAAGUCGGCAUUCGAUGGUUUAGGGCCUCGGGGCUUGUGGGAAAAGUCUAACACUGAAGGCUGCUCAAAAGUAAGUUUGUACAUUGGCACAGAUAUGAAAUUAGUGAAUGGUAUCAUAUAAAUUCAAGGCUAUGAUAAAUCUCAUGAGGAAGAAGACUUUGGUCCAUCCUUUGGUUGCCCUCCUCUCAUUGUUAUGCAAUAGUGUAUAGUAAAUCCACAUUUACAUCAUGCAAAAACUCAACAUGUUCUACCAUCACAUGUCAGUUUUGUCAAAUUCUGAUAUUGAGAUCUCAUGGUUAAGUUUUUGACAUUUUUGUUUUCUAAUAUUAUGUUCACAUGUUGAAUAUGUAUUUUUAUUUUGUGAUAUGGGAUUUGAAUUGAUACCGUCUUUUCAUUGCAUACCUAAGUUUUAUGAGUUUCAAUUUCUUGGAUGUGCCAAAAAUGUUAUUCAAGCUAUGUCUUCAUAAUUUGGUUCAAUGGAACAAUAGCAACUACUUUUUGUAAAUAAAAAUGUUUCUGAUUUUUCUUAAAUUCAUAAUAAAAAUUAACUAUGAAAAUGCUACUUUGUUUGAUAUUGCUCAAAUGAUUGGAUUGUAAUAAGAGUAUUAAUUCACCAUCAAGAAAUUAUGUUAGUCCUACUAUUUUUAUUAAAUAGAAGAUUACAUUGAUUUUAGAAGAUUGCUAUAAAAGGCCAAAAUUGUAAAGUAGAAUGCAUCCAAAAUAAUCAUCAUGCAUAGAGUCUGAUAUUUUUUUUAAGAAUUGAUUUUCAAACUUUUGUAUUCUAAUUUUAAUACACUAUAUUCAUUUGUAUGAUACUUGGUAUCUAUAAACAUAAGAAUCAUUUCCUAUGCAUUGAUAUUACAUAUUUCAUGUGUAUAACAUAAUCUUAAUUUCACUUCUAUCCCUUUUAUAUUUUCUUUUUCACUGUUAUACGACUAACUCCUAAUUUAUAGAUUGAGAUCUAUUUACAUUAUUGAACAAAAAUUUUAAGUUGUAAAAGAGUUUUAAAAGAGAUUUGUUUUAGCUUUAGUGCAAUAAGAUAUGCAUCUUAAUUUAUUAUUGUGCUUAGCUCCUCCAAGUUGUCUUUGCAAGAUUUUGUAAAUAAUCUUUAGUAAUUUUUUCUCUUAUUUGACUUAAAGCUCCUAUAUUUUUAUUUACAAAAAUUUGUGCAAUAUUUGUAUUUGUGUGUUAGAUGUAUGUAAUUUUUAAGAUAGUUUAAUUCAAAAUUCGAGUAUGUAUAAGCCAUACGAAUUUGCUAGGACUUCAUUGUUUGUUGUAUACUAUUGAAAAAAAAAAAAAAAAAAUGCAUCUAAAUUUGCUAUGUUUAUUUUUUACAUAAGUUAUGUAGAAUUGUAAGUUUCAAUAGUUGGUACAAUGAUGAUUCUGCUUAUCAAGUUAAAGUAACUUUGUACAUCUAUAUUACAAAUCAUAAAAGAAAAUAAAAUAAAAAUUAUAAGAAAAAAAAUUAAAUAAUAUAUACAACAUAGUUUUUAAAAGGUUACUUUUUUGGUUGCAUCAUAUGUAAAACUAUAGAUAUUAUGUGCAUAAGAAAGUAGUUUUAUUUUUUAGAGAGUAGAAAUACAUACAUAUAUGAAACUCACCUACAGCAAAUUUAAAACUAUUUCUUUUAUAAUUUCUUUAAAAAAACUCUUUUUGGCUUGUCAUAAAGCUUAAUUAUGAUUUUUCAAAUAAUUUACAAACUGUGAGGUUUUUUUCCUUCUUCUUUCUUUAUCAAAAACUUGACUUGUAAACUUCUAUGAUGCUUGAAAUUUUCAAUUUUAUAAGAAAAAAUCUAGAAAAUCAAAAGUUAUCUAAUUUAUGGAGUAAUAUCAACCAAACAUAUUUUCAUACUUAUCAUUUUUAUUUUUAUUUUGGCAUUCAUAGUGCAAUGCAAGUAGGAAAAAAAUAAUAGAGAGAGAUAAUAGGAGAAUUAAAAGUGCUACUUAUAAUUGACCAUCAAUUACAUAAAUUUCAAUUAAGAUACAAAUAGCACCAAUUAAAGAAAAAAAAAAUUAUAUUUAUUAUUGUAUAAUAUCCUAAUAGCAGUUCGUACUAUUUUGUAUAGCAUACACUUUGUAAUGAACUAAUAGUCUUUCAUUAUAAAAUUUAAAAAUAAAUAAAAUAACAUGUAGUAAUUUCUUAAGUUCAAAAAGAAAUGAUGUUGUACUUUAAUUAAAAUAGAUGUUGCACUUUAACUAAAAUAGACAAUGGAGUUUUCUGUUUCAAAAACUUUGAUUAUUCAACAGCAAAUAUAUUACAUUGCAAUGCCAAAAAAAAGAGAGUUUAAUUUACAAAACUAUAAUCGUCACAAAUUUCAUUGUAUUUUUUUUAAAAAAUAAAAUAAAACAAUUCUAUAUUUUAAACAUUUCUUGUUUUUGUGCUUUUUUACUUUUUGACUUAGUAUUGUUUUUACUUUCAUGUGUAAUAUUCUUUAUGGAAAAAUGUAGUUCUAUAUUCCAAAGAUAUAAUUAUUUCUUACAAUUAAUAAGAUGAAACAAAGUUAAUUAAUCUAAUUUUGUAUUUGUGAAGAAGUUUUUAAAAUCCGAUUAAGUAUUAACAUAUGCAAUAACAAAGAUAAAAAAUAUUUAUAAAAGUUAAAAUCACUACAAUAAAGUAGAUUAUCUAUUUUUUUUUGUUCCAAUAUAUAAAAUUCUAUCUAAAAGUAAUUAUAAAGAUGUUAUUUUGUUAUUUAGGAAUCAAUAGUUGUUUUUUUUUUUUUUUUUUUUUUGUAAGAUGUCAAGCCAUUGAAAACACAUGGUCUAAGCUUUAAGAAGAAUGAUUCUUCAAUGAUUACAUGAUUGAAGGUAAAAAAAAAAUCAGUUCAAUUUAAUCUUAAUUUUAAUUGAAAUAUCUUUAAAUUAAUUAAAUAAUGAAGUAUAGCAUUAUGAUAGUUCUUUUGUUAAAUUAAUUUCAUGCUUAAUUAAAAAAAUAAAAAAUAAGAGUAAAAAUCACAAAAUAAUUAUAAAUUCAAGACAUUUUCUAAUGUGCCAUAACAUCUGCUUGAAAUUUUUAGAAGUUUCUCAUAUAAUUUUAUUAUUUAACCUAAUUUCUGAUGUUUAAUUUUUUUAAAAUAAUAUUUAAAGAUAAUUUCUUAUAUUUUUAAUAGAUACAUAUUAAAAAUUCUUAUUAUCAAUUUAUUUUGAAGGAUAAAAUAUCAUAUUGUAAUAUUUAUGUUUUUUGUAAUACCAUCUUUUAAUGGAUAAGUGUAUUUGUACAUGUAAUAAAUUAAUUAAUUAUAAAUAUAUUAAAAAUAAAUAAUCUUUAUUAAUUUAUAUAAAACAUUUAAAAAAUCCUCAUAUAAAAUUCAAUUUUAUUGUAAAAAUGGAAUUCAUUAAUACAUUAUUUUAUAUCAAAGUUUUGAGUGAUAUUUAAAUAUAUGAAUGGAAUUAUUUAGUUUUUCUUUUUUCAUUUUGCAUAAUAAAUCAAAUAUUGACACUAGUCAAAGAUCGCAAAGAAUAAAUAAAUAUUAAAUCCUCCUUAAAUAUUCAUAUUAGUGAGAAAAAAAAUUAUAAAUGUUAUUUUUUAGAAAUUAAUGUAUUUUUAAAAAAUUAGAAAUGAAAAAAAUUCAGCUAAAAUAAAAAUUAAUGUUCUUUUCAGAAAUAAAUCAAAUAUAUCUAUUACAAAAAAAAAGGUUUAUAUAUAUAUAUAUAUAUAUAUGUGUGUGUGUGUGUGUGUGUGUGUGUGGGUGUAUAUAUAUAUAUAUAUAUAUGUGUGUGUGUGUGUGUGUGUGUGGGUGUAUAUAUAUAUAUAUAUAUAUAUAUAUACACAUUAUAAAUCAUUAGUUACAUUUUUUGAAGCAAAUAUUCACAAUAGUGUUUCAAAAGACCAUGUUAUAUAUAACUUUUUAUAUAUUCAAAUAAUUUUUUUCUUAAAUUAAAUUUCAUUGUACUUAAAGAGGAACUUUAAACAAGUUAUACAUAAUUACAGGUUUACAAUAAAGAAAUUUAACAUAAACUAAGAGUGGAAAAAUAAAUAAAUAAACAAAUAAAUAAUAAUUUAAACAAUUUCAAAAUUUUGGUGCUAUUUACAAAGUAAUUAUAUAUAUUUUUUUUAUUUUUUCUAACUCAAAAUAUACUAUUAAAAAAAUUAGAAAUAUAAAAUAUAUACUUAUUGAAAUAAAUAUAUUUAUAUUUUAAGACAAGUAGGUAUAAGCUAUGUUACAAUAUUCUAACAAGGUAUAAAUUUGUGGAUUAUUUGUUUUAAAAAAUGGAUAAAAUUAGAAGAAAUGUAUAGCAUUUUCGUAAGAUGGCAUUCAAAAUCAUUCAAAGAAGUUUAUAAAAAAAUCCAAAUUAAAUAAGAUAUUAUAAUAUUAUAUUAAAAAAUAAAUUAGUAAAAUAAUUCAAUUACUUAAAUGCAAAUAUAAUUAUACAAUAGAAAAAUUAUCAAUAUAGAAUAUAGAAGGUUAAAAUAUAUCAUUCAAAUAUAUAUAUAUAUAUAUAUAUAUAUAUAUAUAUAUAUAUAUAAAUAGAUUAAUUCUAAAAGAAGUAAUUAAUAAUUUUAAAAGUUUACACAAUAUCUAGUUACAUAUAUUUGAAAUAGAUGUUUAAGCAUCAAUAUAAUAAAAAAAUAAUAAAUUGGGAAAAAAUAAAUUAAAAUAUAUUAUCAAUUAAUUUUUAUUAAGAUCAAAAUAUGGAUUAAGAAAUAAUCAUAAUUAAAAAUUAUAUAUAUAUAUAUAUAUAUAUUUAUCUUAAUAUACAUAUAUAUAUAUAUAUAUAUAUAUUAUAAAAGAUAAGAACUUGAUGAAUGCAAAUACAUAAGUGAGAUGUUUUUCAAUAAAAAGAAGACAAAAGAAAAGUAAAGAAAUAUGUAUAUUCAAAAAGAAAUUAGAAUGGCUAUUGCAAAAAGACAAGAAAAACUAAAAACCUUAAAACUAGACUAGUUUCUAACCUAUCAAUCAAUUAAAAAAAUAUAUAAAGUCAAAAUUGCAUUUAUAGAGCUUCUAAAAAGCUUUCUUAUAAGAUUUUAUCAAAUUUAUCUAUUUUAAUGUACUUCUACAUAUUCAUAUUAUCUAAAAAAAAUAUUAGAGUAAAUAUAUAUGUUCAAGAUAUUAUCUCCUUUUCUAAGAACAAGUACCACAAGGAGUAGUGAUCAUAUUUUGAAGAAGUCUAAGAUACAAUGAAUUAUAUUUAUUGUAUAUUUUGAUCUUUAUUUCCUUUAAAAAUAGUUGAUAAGUCCUCUCAGCUAUUGAUAAUAUUCUAUUCUAACGCAACAUUGAUUUGAGUCUAAUAUUUCAAUCUAACUCAAUAUUAUCUUGAGUUUAAGUUUUCUUUUAUCUCAAAUUCUUAAUUAUUAUGCAUUUCUAUAAAAAAUUGUGAUAUUUCUCUUUUUUGCAUGAUGUUUACUAUCUUAUAUGGCUUAAAAACAAAUACAUGAAAUACAAUAUGGAUCUUCAUAGACUUUGGUAGAUGUGAUUGAUAUGCAAUUUAACUAAUUUUUUCAUAUGUUAAAAAUGGUCUAAGUCUAUAAUAAUUCAACUUCUUAUAAUGGUGGCUAGUCUUGAUAUUAUAACAAAGUAAUCAUAUCUUAUCACUAACAUAGAAUUAAGGUUUUUUCUUACUAUAAGAAAUUAUAUUGAUUUCUUUUUGUUCUUGAGUCUUUUUUAAUUGUGCCUUCAUUAUUAUAUAUAGCUUUGAUAGAAAAUUUGUCAAAUCUUAUAUCACAAGAUUAUCAAAUUUUUAAAAAUUAAAAAUAUCAAGUUAUAGAUAAUAAUCAUAAUUAAUUUAAAAAAUUAUUUAUUAAAUUAAAUAAUAUAUUAUAUUAUCAUAAGAAAACUAUGCCAAUAGCAAAAGAGUUGUCCAAUCAUUUUGAUGGUAGUUGAUGAUACAUCUCAAAUACUAUUCUAAAACUUGAUUCAUUUGUUUGGUUUGUCAAUCAAUUUGAAGAUAAAUAAUCAAAGAUAAUUUAAUAUUUAACUUCAAUAUCUUAUAAAAAAAUCCAAAAUCUUAAUACAAAUUGGAUUUUUCUAUUAGUAUACAAAUUAGAUAUAAUAUACAUAAGCAAUCCUUGAUAGUGAUAGAUGAUGUCAAUAAAAAAAAUAAUUUUAUUUUUAUCUAUAAUAAAUUUUGUACAUGAUAUAAAAUAUGCCAUCUAAGUAAAAUAAUCUACUAUCACAAAUAUAGAAUCAUAUGAACUUAAUAUUAAAAGAUUUGUGAUAAAAUCAAAAGAAAUAUAAGAUCAAGAUUAUUUUGAUAUAAGUAAUGGUUGUAGAAGUCUAUAAGGUCAAUGACAAGGAGUUUUUAAUUAUAAAUAAAUAUCACAUGAUCAUAAAAAGUCUUAUAUUGAUUUCUAUAUUUGAAGCCAUAAAAAAACUAUUAAAAUUAAUUUCAAGAUCAUCUUAUAUUCAAAAUGUUAUAAAGUUAAAAAGUUAUAUAGAGCUUUAGAAGCACAUAGUUUUACUUCAUCUUUUAAAAUAUACAAGUAUUUUUUGAAAUAGAAUAGAUUAUUUUUGAAUUCAAACUUGAAAGUAUCAUAAGAAUUAGAAGAAUUUUUUUUAAUAUCACAAACAAGACAAUUAUAUGAAAUACUGAAUUAAAAUUACUUUUAAAUCAAAAUUCAAAUAACCAAUGAAUACACUUCACAAUAAAAUUGAUUGCUUGAAUUAAUGAAACAGGACUAAACUAUCUCAAAAAUCCAAGAUCCUUCUAAUCCAUAGUAAUAUAAAGCCUCAUUACAAAAUAGGAUAAAAUAGACCAAAAUAAAACUAAACAAAAUUAAACAGAAUAUGAGAUGAAAGACAAAACUAAGCAAACAAAAACAAAACAAAACAGAUUUGAACAAAAAGAUGCAGAACCAAACUUUGCUAAGAAAAAGGAUCCAAAGCCAUAUCUGACGAGAUGUUCCAAAAGACCCUAGCCAAUCAUAUUUAUACUUUAUCCUACCACCCUAGACUUUCUAAAAUAUUCUUAAGUGAUAGAUCUUAUAUAGAUAAUUACCUUAAAUUCCUUUUUUAGAAGGUUCUAUAAUAAGCUCUAUCUAAAUAGCCACCCUAAGUUUUUUUUAGAAAGUUUUAUGAUAGGCCCCACCUGAAUAAUUAUCCUAAAUUCUUUCUAGAAUGUUCCACGAUGAAUCCUACCUAUUCCACUAAGCUAAUUUCAAUUCUAAAAACUUCCAUGGUUUUAAUUACCUAUACAAUCAUCUUAUCUAUACCUUGUUACAGUUAAAUUCCUUCCACCAAUGUAGAACGUCCUCAUUUUGCUCCCAAUGGUAUCUCCAAAUUGUCUCUUAGCAAUGGAUGAGAAUUUGUGCAAGUUUCCACAUUACAUCAUGAUUAGGAUAAUCUUUCCAAAGAACUUUGUAUUGAAGUUGUGAAUAUCCACUCCCACAACGAACGUAGUAAUGCUCCAAAAUAUUAUCCACUUCAUAUUCUUCUUGGUCAUCAACUAUAACUGGUAGUGGUAGUGAUUGGUGUUAAUCUGGAAAGUCCUUUGGCUUGGUAUGAAAUUCCUUUAGUUUCAAAACAUAGAAGACUCCAUGGAUUUGAAUAUAUGGUGGAAGCUUGAGGUGGUAUGUGACAUCAGAAAUCACUAUAGAAAUGAAAAAAGGUCCAAGCCACUAAGGUGCUAAUUUACGGAUUUGGACUAAUGUAACAAGUGGCAAGUUGGCAUUGGAGAGUAAUAUCUCAUCACCUUCCUAAAAGGUCUUAUGUUGCCAAUGGUUAUUUGAAUAGUACUUGUGUCGAUUUUGUGCAGUAAAGAGGUAGUGCCAUGCCUCUUGUAAGGCCAUUGUAAGUCAUUAUAUAAAUUCUUCUAUUGUUGGAUUAUUAGUAUCGAUGGGAUGAUAAAAAAUUAUUGGCAUAAUUGAAUGCUAAUCAAUAUCAAAGAAAAAUGGUAAAUGAUUGGUAAAAAGUGGUUUGAAUAAUAUCACUAUAAGCAAAUUCCAAAGAUAUCAAGUAUUCAUCCCAAUCAUUAUAAUGAACCACCACAAAUGCCCAGAGCAUAUCUUUCAAGGUUUAAUUUGUAUGCUCUAUUUGCCCAUUUGUUUAGAGAUGGAAGGUUGUAGAUAUGACAAGUCAUGUAUUUAAUAGCUUCAAUAAGGCUUUUCAAAUACUUCUCAUGAAGCAUGGAUCUCGAUUUGAAACAAUGAUACAAGGUAAUCCAUAAUGACAAAAGAUGGUAUCAAAGAAGACUCGUGCAAGCGUUGAGGCAUCAAUAUCCAAGUACAUUGCAACUAAAUGAACUUACUUUGAGAGUCGAUCGACAAAGACGGCAAUUGCAAUAUAAUAAUGAAGUGUCUAUGGUAAACAUGUAAUAAAAUCUAUAGUCACUUACUUCCAAUAAGCCAUAGGUAGCAAAAUUAGCUGCAAUAAUUUACGAGACACUAUAUUGCGUACUUUAUUAUAUUGACAUGACUUGCAGGAUCGUACAAAGGUUCAAACAUCACAAUCCAAACUUAUCCAAAACCAUAUCUUUGAGAUUUAUUCUAGGGUCUUCUCUUGCCUUAGAUGUCCAAAUAUUAGAAUAUCAUGCCCUUUUUGAAGUAUAUAUGUCUUAAAUAUAGCAUAGUUGAGUAUAUAAAUCUAAUUCUUGAUAUAGAGCAAUCCAUCAUUAAGAAUAAAAUCGUAAUUUUGUAUAUUUUCUACUUUUGGCCAAUCGCUAACCAUCUUGAAAUUAGCAUCCUGAUGCAUAGCUUCCUUCUAUUCUACAUCUUUGGUUAGAUCUAAAAAGAAAUUGCUAAUAAUAGCGAUUUAUGUCUUGUCUUUCAAUUUGACCUUCAAGUCUAAUUUCUACGAUAAGCAUUCUAGCACAAUAUGUUGUCGCCCUUGCUUAUACUCAAACUGAAUAUCAAAAAGCUGUAAUUGUUAUUUUCAAUGCUGAUGCUAUAAUUUCAUAUUUUCCAAAUCCAAAUCAUAUAAUAAGGAUUGAUGGUUAGUCCAAAAAAUCACUUGCUUUUCUAAUAGAUAGUGUCGCUACAUCUUUGUAGCCUAUACAAUCACUAAUUACUCUCGAUUACAUACAGAGUAAUUGUACUCUAUCCUACUGAGCUUAUGUGAUUCAUACGCCACAUAUUGAAGAUCCCUACUAAAGACUUGUUGAAAGACUACUCUAAUAGCAAAGUUGGAAGUAUCAAUGUCUAGCAUAUAAAGAAGAUAAGGAUGAUAUGGUUGUAAUAUUAGAGCAGUAAUGAGUGUCUUUUUCAACUUAUCAAAGGUAUUUUUUUAGUCUAGUUUUUAUUCAAAUAGAACACAUUUCUCUUAUAAUUUUGUCAAUGAAGUAACAAUGUGAGAAAAUCGCCUAACAAAAUGGCAAUAGUAUGUAUCAAGGCCUAAAAAUGAGCAAACUUUAUAAACAUCCUCAGAAGUUGGCUAAUCUUCCACUGCUUUUACCUUAUCUUGUUCCAUAUACAUGCCUUUGGAAGACACCUUAUGCCUCAAAAAGAUGACUUUUAACUUCCAAAGUUUAAAUUUUGAUUGCUUGCAUUAGAAGCAACUAUCUUCAAGUUGACGCAAUAACUCUCGUAGGUAUUGCUCAUGCUCCUCAAGGAUUUUAUUAUAUAUAAAGAUAUCAAUGAAGACAACUAUAUACUUAUCUAAAAGGUCUUAAAAUAGUUUGUUCAUCUAAUCCAUGAAAGAAGUUGAAGCAUUGGUGAGGCCAAUAGAAAAAAACAACGAUUUAAAAUGUCCAUAAUGACUUCCAUAACUCUUCAAGUUUCUUUGGUGUUAGGCAAUAAAUUGGUCGACUUGCUGGUUUGGCUCCAAAAAAUAGUUCUAUUUGAAAGAGGGCACCUUGAUCAAGAAGUACGCUACUAGGUAGGUCAAUUGAAAAGACAUCAUGAUAUUUCCAUAUGAGCUGUUCAAUCCAUUCUAUCUCUUCAUUUGUCUUUUCUACCAUUGAUGCAAGAUUUGAAACCACCAUAUAUAUUAAUUAUUCAUGUUAUAUUUACUUCUUCAUAAAGGUAGUUCCUACGAGUAAGUCUUUGAUUGCAUAUUAUCUUUUCUCUUUACUUGAUGUGGAGGUGCAAAGAAUCACCUUCCAUCUACUAUCUUUAAAAGAGAUUGUCCUUAUUAUCCAAUCAACUUGCUUAUUUUUCGUCUUUAGCCAUAGCAUACUUAAGGUAACAUCAUACAUUAGCUUUGUCACCUUAAAUCUCUCUCUUAAGUUAUAGGUGUUUAUCAAUCUCAAGGUUUCUUCUUCAUAUGUCUCACUCAAUACGUUCUUUCAAUCAUCUGCAAGAUAUAUACUUCUUCCCUUAAUUGCCUUAGUUUUAAUUCCAAACAAGUCGUAAAUUUCAAUUAAUAUGCAAUAUUUUGUAGAGCCACAAUCUACAAGCAUUCAACAUAAUUGUCUUCUUAGUAGUCCUAUUAGAUGCACUAGUCGACUCUUUUUAUAGUUGUCCAAGGCCAUGCCAUUUGUCUUUGAGAUACAAUAGCUAUCCCUAGUUCUGGCCCUCAGUGCCAUUAUUGACGAGCUUUAUUUUCUUGCUCUAACUCAUUAUUGGCUUGAUGAGUUUCAAGAUUAUAAACCCGCCUUGUCUUGCUAAUGCUUGAAUUUUGAUGUUUUGAACAACGUCCAAUCUGAUGGCCUAGCUCCCAACAAUAGAAACACAAUCCCUUUUACACCAAUAUUUUUUGUCUUCAUGGUGUCAAUCAUUCUUGUAGGGCAUCAAUCUCCAUUGGCAUUGGUUUUUAUUCCAUAGUAUUAGAUAGCGGUGUCGUAUUAGGUGUUGUCUUGUUCGAGAAUACACUAGGUAUCUGGCUGUGGAAGGUAUAGUUAUUUUUGUAAAUAACAAAGAAACCCUCGUAGAUUUUAUCCAUAUAUGAAGUAUAUAAUUGAAAUAUCAAUUUCCAAGUAGUUAAAAACACUCUUCAUAGUCAUUUUAACCAUACAAUAUUCCAAUUGCUUUAUUUCUUUUAUAAUUAAGUUGUUUUUGUUUUUCUUAACAAGCCCUAACCUUAGCCAGUGAGCUUUGACAAGCUGUAACUUUUGAUCCAACCGUCCACUUAGUGUGAAAUUUUGCACCCAAAUACCAGUAUAAGCCUUCUAUAUGCUCAGAAAAUUUCAGCCCAACCCAACUUACAGAUUGCAAGAAAACGCCCAAAAACCGCACUGAUGACACUCGGCCGCAACCUUGAAAUUUGAUGUAGAAACUCCAGAAGUGAUUUCUCCUUUGUCAAUUGUUAACUCCAUCUCAAAAUUGAAUAGCCGCUUGAUCUCCAAAUCUUCUAUUAUCAAGCCAAAAAUUACGUCGAUCCAAUUAGUAGAUCUUUAGAUAUCAUAGAAAUCCUAUCCAACCCUAGACUGCCAACUUCCGACAAUCCUUUGUACUAAAACCCAGAUAUCUCUUAAUUGCAUCGUUAGAUUAACACAAUUUUUUGUAUACACUUAGCACACCCAACUAUCCAGACAAUACCAAAUUUUGAUCCAUAGAUGCUACACGACUUGCACAAAUCGAUUGAGAAUGCGAACCAUCAAUGUUUUAUAUAAAAUCCGAAACACCAAAAUAAACACUGACUUUGAGCAACGAUUGCUCUCUCCUCACAAAUCCUAAUGAAACCAAACUAAUGACCUUGAAAAGAGCUUGAAGCUAGCUCUUCGAUCCAAAAACCCCUAAUGAAACCAUCCUAGUGACCUUGAAAAGAGCUUGAAGCUAGCUCUUCGAUCCAAAAACCCGAUCUGAAAAAAAAAAACCCCCCACUGAAAAAAAACCCCACUGAAAAAACCCCCCUCAUUUCUUAACCUUCUUCCCCUUUAACCCUAAUUCUCCCCUCUUUCAAACCCUAGCCUCUGAAUUUCUUCAAUCUUCCGUCUUAGAUCCGGAAUUGGCUCCUUCCGUCUUGGAUCCGGAAUUGGCUCCUUCCAUCUUGGAUCUGGAAUUGGCUCUCGCCGUCAGAGCUUUUUCCUCCAUUUUUACCUUUAAGAGAUCCUUUUACUGAAAACAACGUUCCCUGAAACGGUACAGAGAACAGGACAGCCUGAAACAGAAUCGAAACCUCGUAAUCGGGACCACAUUGAGUCGCUCGACCAAAUCAGGUCUCAUAUUGGCUAAGAGUCCAGUAGUAAGACCCGGAUGUUCCCGUAAUUGGAUCAAAUUGGUCCUUCACGAUAGAUUGGCUGAGGCCUGCAGUAAGACUUGGAUUUUCCCGUAAUUAGACUGCAUUGGGUUGCCUGACCAAUUCAGGUCUCAUAUUGGGUAAGAGGACCCGGAUUAGAUUCUUGAAAUUGGAUCCAAUUGGCUCUUCAAAUAGGCUCACCCGUCGUGUAAAUUGGUCCUUUCCUUUCCUGCUGACUCCCGUUAUUGGAAUCGAAUGGAACAUUUCAGUAUGCCCCGGCUGACUGUAACGGGGUGACUGAACCUAGCCUCUCAAUAUUUGCACUGGAAUUGGUCGUUGCUCCCAAUAUUCGAGGUAACUGAACAUUAAUAAAAAUCCUCUUCCUUUAUAUUUUCACAAUAUAUUCGUGUUACAACACGACAUCCACCCCCUCUGAACCUACACAUCCUUCGGUAUGUGCCAAAUUUAGUACACCAUUAUUCUUUAUCCAAUACAAAAAAUCCAUGUAUCCAUCUUGUACAAGUAAAUUGGAAGCAUCCAACUUUGUACAUGACCAAACCAUUGGCGAGGUACAAAUUUUGAAAUGGAAAGAUUUAAUUGAAACUUCUUCCAUAUGGCCACAUACAUCUUGCUUGCAUCUUUUUUCUUGUUCCUUUGAUUCCAUGUUUGAUUUAAGACGUCUAUAUAAUCCUUAAAUCCAUUGCCCAUGUCUUUAUGUUUGAAGAUUUUUAGAUUUUCAACCUUUGAAUUCAACACUUCAUGAUGAAUUUUUUUCUUAUCAAAAUCCAAUUGUACCCCCAAUACAUGUGCAUUAUCCAUGUAACCUUGAUCUUGGUCCAAAAGAUUAGUACUCACAAUUAACUUGAUUAAAGCCAUUGAUUUAGUACCUUUACUUUUGAUUCCAUAAUCUUCUUUCACCACAUUAUCUUGUGAAAUAUCUAUCAUUUCUUCUUGAAUGUAUCCUUGUAAAACAUCCUUCAUUUCUUCUUAAAUCCAUCCUUGUGAAACAUCAUAACCUUGUGUUAUCUCAAUAUGUUGUAUUACUUCAUAAUAUUAAAAAAUUUCAUAGCCUUGUGAAACCUCAUGUUCUUGAAAAAUCUUGCAACUUUCACCAUAAUCUUUUUUAUCACCAUGAGAUGUUCCAUCCAAAUUACCAUCAUCCACUUGCAUAAACAUAUUCAAUGUAGAAUAGCUAUAAUUUUCAUCCUUAUUGUCAUUAAUUUCUAAAUCCUUGAGUUCCAUAUUGCCUUCAAUUUUUUUGAUAUUCUGACCUUCCAUAGUAAUAAUUUGAUCAAAGUCUUUGUUCUUUCCUUCACCAUCCUUGAUAAAAGAUCCACUUUCUUUCAUUUGCAAAAAAUUGGCUCCUCCUUCAAAGUCCUCCAGUUGCUGUUCCAUUUCUCUUUUUUCAAGAUUAAUCCCUUGUAUUGAUAAAGAUGAUAUAGAAGCCAAAGUAGAAGAUUUCUUAGACCAUACUCCAACUCUUUUAGCUUGUGCUCUUUGUUGCUUUGCUAAAAGAAUUGUUGUUUCUUUUAACUCUUCCCAAUUGUUAGUACAACCACUCUCCGUAGACUCAUCUGCAAGAAGUAUAAAAAGUUUGUCUCCCAUGGCAUCAUCAAGACCAUUUAAAAAUAAUUCUAUUUUUAUAGCAUCCAAUGACUGUCUCUCUGAGGAUGACAGUUGAUAAAACCUCUUUUCAAAUUCUUUCAAGAAUUCAUAAAGAUCCAUAUGCAUGCCUGGUUGUAAUUCUAUCCAAUCCAAAAAUUGUCGCUUGGUAAUCUUAUCCUCAUUUACAUCAAUAAAUUCUUUCUUCAAAAGUUCUUGAAAUUUUGACCAUGUCUCCACACCCCUUUCAAGUAAUCUCUUCACCUUUCUAUGAAUACCAGGUUCAAUAGCCAAAUAAAAGCUUGAAAUCAUCUUUGCCUCAGGAAUUUGGCAUGUCUCCAUCUCACAUGUAUAAACUUGUAAAAACUUAGUGAUGUUGCAUCUGUUAAACCUCCCAAAUUUGUUGAAAAUUCCUGGUAAUGCCUUUGUGAUAUCCCUUUCAAUUGCUUGUAUCUUUUGUUGUUCUUCCAUAAAUAUAAAAAAAGCCUCAAAAAACUCUUUAACAUUUGGUCCAUCCAAAGUAUUCAACCUAUCCAAAGACUUCAUUGAAAUAUCUUCCAUUUUCUUCCUCAAUGUUAAAAAAAUAUCCCUGGAAAUGCUCCAAUAAAUAACUUAUGAUACCUCAAAAUGCCCCAAGAUGUCUAUAAGCCAUAAUAUACUCCAUAAUAAUCCAAAUAUCACCAUUGCUUUUCAAAAUAUCCUCCAAAGCUCCAAGUCUUCCAAAAACUCUAAAAUCAACCUUGUCAUCUUGCACCAUCAAUCUAAAUAACCACAUACAAAAUCCAAUACUUUCCACCCCAAACUUUCACAUCGGGUUCACCACUUAUGUCGUAUUACGUGUUGUCUUGUUCGAGAAUACACUAGGUAUCUGGCUGUGGAAGGUAUAGUUAUUUUUGUAAAUAACAAAGAAACCCUCGUAGAUUUUAUCCAUAUAUGAAGUAUAUAAUUGAAAUAUCAAUUUCCAAGUAUUUAAAAACACUCUUCAUAGUCAUUUUAACCAUACAAUAUUCCAAUUGCUUUAUUUCUUUUAUAAUUAAGUUGUUUUUGUUUUUCUUAACAAGCCCUAACCUUAGCCAGUGAGCUUUGACAAGCUGUAACUUUUGAUCCAACCGUCCACUUAGUGUGAAAUUUUGCACCCAAAUACCAGUAUAAGCCUUCUAUAUGCUCAGAAAAUUUCAGCCCAACCCAACUUACAGAUUGCAAGAAAACGCCCAAAAACCGCACUGAUGACACUCGGCCGCAACCUUGAAAUUUGAUGUAGAAACUCCAGAAGUGAUUUCUCCUUUGUCAAUUGUUAACUCCAUCUCAAAAUUGAAUAGCCGCUUGAUCUCCAAAUCUUCUAUUAUCAAGCCAAAAAUUACGUCGAUCCAAUUAGUAGAUCUUUAGAUAUCAUAGAAAUCCUAUCCAACCCUAGACUGCCAACUUCCGACAAUCCUUUGUACUAAAACCCAGAUAUCUCUUAAUUGCAUCGUUAGAUUAACACAAUUUUUUGUAUACACUUAGCACACCCAACUAUCCAGACAAUACCAAAUUUUGAUCCAUAGAUGCUACACGACUUGCACAAAUCGAUUGAGAAUGCGAACCAUCAAUGUUUUAUAUAAAAUCCGAAACACCAAAAUAAACACUGACUUUGAGCAACGAUUGCUCUCUCCUCACAAAUCCUAAUGAAACCAAACUAAUGACCUUGAAAAGAGCUUGAAGCUAGCUCUUCGAUCCAAAAACCCCUAAUGAAACCAUCCUAGUGACCUUGAAAAGAGCUUGAAGCUAGCUCUUCGAUCCAAAAACCCGAUCUGAAAAAAAAAAACCCCCCACUGAAAAAAAACCCCACUGAAAAAACCCCCCUCAUUUCUUAACCUUCUUCCCCUUUAACCCCCUCAUUUCUUAACCUUCUUCCCCUUUAACCCUAAUUCUCCCCUCUUUCAAACCCUAGCCUCUGAAUUUCUUCAAUCUUCCGUCUUAGAUCCGGAAUUGGCUCCUUCUGUUUUAGAUCCGGAAUUGGCUCUUUCUGUCUUGGAUCCGGAAUUGGCUCCUUCCAUCUUGGAUCUGGAAUUGGCUCUCGCCGUCAGAGCUUUUUCCUCCAUUUUUACCUUUAAGAGAUCCUUUUACCGAAAACAACGUUCCCUGAAACGGUACAGAGAACAGGACAGCCUGAAACAGAAUCGAAACCCCGUAAUCGGGACCACAUUGAGUCGCUCGACCAAAUCAGGUCUCAUAUUGGCUAAGAGUCCAGUAGUAAGACCCGGAUGUUCCCGUAAUUGGAUCAAAUUGGUCCUUCACGACAGAUUGGCUGAGGCCCGCAGUAAGACUUGGAUUUUCCCGUAAUUAGACUGCAUUGGGUUGCCUGACCAAUUCAGGUCUCAUAUUGGGUAAGAGGACCCGGAUUGGAUUCUUAAAAUUGGAUCCAAUUGGCUCUUCAAACCAGGCUCACCCGUCGUGUGAAUUGGUCCUUUCCCUUCUUUCUGACUCCCGUUAUUAGAAUCGAAUGGAGCAUUUCAGUAUGCCCCGGCUGAUUGUAACGGGGUGACUGAACCUAGCCUCUCAAUAUUUGCACUAGAAAUGGUCGAGGUAACUGAACAUUAAUAAAAAUCCUCUUCCUUUAUAUUUUCACAAUAUAUUCGUGUUACAACACGACAACGGCAUAGGACAUUGUACUAUAGGUCAUGCUCCACAAUUUUUGAAAUCUAUAGCAUCGACUUUUUCAACAAUCCAAGUUGCCUCUUUAAAUGUUUAUAGAUUCCUUAGCUCCAUCUCUUGUUGAAUCCUAGGUUUCAAACCUUAUAGGAAUCAAUCUACCAUCUCUGCCUCUAAAACAUUGUCAGUUUAGAGAUAUAGGAAUUUGAAUCAGGACAUAUAAUCUUAUACGGAUCUAGCUUAUGUAAGAUUUGCUAAUUGAUCGCGUAUGAUUUUUUUCGCAUUGAUGGGCCAAAAUUAAUUCCUAACUUUGUCUCAAACUCCUCCAAGUCAUAAUAUCGACCUUGAGCUCUAUAGCUUUGAACUCAAUGUUGCGACUAAAUAGCUGCCACAUCUUUCAAAUAGUUCGCUACAUAUAUAAUUCUUUCAAUAGUAUUUGCUCUAGAUAGUUGGAAGUAUUGUCGCAUGUUGAAGAAUCAUUGACAAAAAAAUUUCUUAUUUUGAAGUUUCAAAGUAUGUAAUAGACUUAUUCAAUUUCAACCAAGCAAAUGUCAGCUUUCUUAUCCUCAAGGCUUUUAUUUGUCCUUACAAAGUAGCUAUCUGGCCCAAGAGGUGUUGUAUUUGAGCCUCUAUCUAGGAUUACUUUGUUAUAUCUCUUAUAUUGUAAUUUAUUCAUUGGACUCUACUAUUACAAUAUAUUUUCACCUUCCAAUUGACUUUUUAAGAGCAGCUCAUGGUAGCCUCAACAUAGUAUCCAUUGUGACCACAAAAAUUGAUCUUGAAGUAAAUGAUGACUAUUGACAUGUUAACAAAAUAAAUAGUCUAACACUCGCUCUGAUACUAAUUAAAUAAGACUAGACUAUCUCAAAAAUCCAAGAUCCUUCUAAUCCACAACAGCAUAAAGCCUCAUCAUAAAACAUGAAAAAAUAUACUAUAACAAAAUUGAACAAAACUAAACAGAAUAGGACACUAAAGAAAAAACUAAGCAAAUAAAAAUAGAACAGAAUAGAUCUGAACAAAAAGAUGCAAAAUCAUAUUUUACUAAGAAAAAAGAUCUAAAGCCAUAUCUAAUUAUAUCCCCAAAAGGCCCUAAUCAGUCCUAUUUAUAUCUUGUUCUAUCACCCUAGACUUUCUAGAAUGUUCUUAGGUGAUAGGCCCUAUCUAGAUAAUUGCCUUAAAAUCCUUUUCUAGAAGGUUCUAUGGUGGGCUCUAUAUAUAUAACCAUCUUAAGCUUUUUUUAGAAGAUUCUAUAGUGGGCCCUAUCUUAAUAACCACCCUAAUUCUUUUUAAAAUAUUCUAUGGUAGAUCCUACCUGGUCCACUAACCUAAUUUCAAUUCUAAAAACUUCCGUGGUUCUAAUUACCUAUAUAAUUACCUUAUCUAUAUCUUGUUAUAAUAAAAUAUCUAAAAAUUAGAUAAGUUUUGCAUUAAUUUUUUUACCUCAUAUUAUAGUUUAUAAAAAAAUUAAUUAAUAAUUAUAGCAUCAUUCUACUUCAUAUCAAUUGCAAGUCAAAUUUUGAAGCAUUUAACAUUAUUAAUCAAAUACCUUAUUACAAAAUAUAUAUCUUAUUGGUUAAAAGACAAAUUGCAUUAUAUUUUGCAUAUAUGGAAUUAAAUUCUACCAAAAAAGCAUCCAAAUUAUUCAAUAGUAGAUCAUGUUGUUUAAAAAAUGAUAAAAAUUAAGAUAAAGAAAACCUUGAAAGUAGUGUUUUAAUAAACUUAACUUGUGAUCUUAAAAUUGGAUAGCUUUAAAAUUGAACUUCAAUCACUAAUUUUACUUGAUUAAUAAAUCUUUAAAAUUUGGAUCUUAUACCAUCAAAUUUCUUAAUUUAGAUAAUUUUUAGUUCUCAAAUAUUUGAAAGAUAUGCUACCAUGAGAGAAAUAACAUAAUUUGAUAGAUGUUGAAGCAACUCCUAUCAUCUCUAUAUAUUAAAUUUUUAUUAAUCUUCUUGCUCUUUUUAGUCAUAAAUUGAAUUAAUGCAUUCCUAGCAUUAACUCUAUCAAUUAUUCUUAUAUUUUUGCCAUUAUAUUCUUUAUUUUAAUGAUCUUUUCUAUAAUAAUAUAAGAAAAAAGAAGAUAUCUAAUAUAAUUUAAGAGAAAUAAAAAAAGACUUAAAAAUAUUAAAAAUAUUAAAAAUAAUAUAAAUUUUGAAUAGUAUAAUCUAAAACUUUUAAUAUGCUUAUGUCUUAUAAAAAAAUAACAUUACACUUUUAAUUAAAAAAAGACAAAGCUUUAAUAUUAUAAAUAUAUUCUUGUCAAUCUAUCAAGAACAAGAAUUCAAUGAAUGCAAAUAUAUAAGUGAGACCUUUAUCAAAGAAAGAAGACAAAAUAAAAAUAAAAAAAUAUAUAUAUUCAAAAAAAAAUUAGAAUGGCUAUUGCCAAAAGUAUCAUGGACAUACAUAUUUAUUCCAAUAGUUACCUAAAAAUAAUGAAUAAAUAAAAAUAUGUUAAUUAGAUAAUAUUUCGUAGGAUAGCUUCUUAGAUUUGAUUUUACCUUUAUACAUGUGUAUAGGUGAUUGAUAGGUUAGAAACUUAGCCAACAAGUUAGCCAUGUGUUGCAUGUAAAGAUAGCUUGUGGUACAAAUGAACCAUGUGGCGCAUAUAUAGAAAACUUGCCUUACAAGUUAAGACAUAUAUUUUUCAAAUUGAAUAUGUAUUAGAGGUCCUAUAGAAUAUUAUUAUAUAAAUUUUAGUUAGAUAGUAUAUAUAUAACACAAGAAUGAAGUCUUUACUCUUUACUCUUUACUCUUAUCAACACCUUUCUAGUGCUUAGUCUUGUUUUAAGUUUUUAUAAUAUUCUUGUCAUUAGCAAUACCCAUUCUAGUUUAAUAUCAUGCCAUCUUUGAGUGAUUUUUUAGCCUUUUUGAAUGACACAAGAAUAUUGAUCUUUUAAUUCUUUGAAAUUCAUAUCCUUGAUAAAAAAAAAAAAAUAAGAAAAAUUAAAAAAUCCUUGAAACUAAACUAAAAGUAAGAAAAAAAUUGAUAAGAAUGAAGAAGGCCUCACUCUUACAUUUAUAUAUACUAUCUAAUUAGUAACUAUAUAGCAAUGCAAUAUAAAACCUCCAAUACAUUUUCAACUCACAUGACACGUCUCUAACUUGCAAGAGAAGUUUCUUAUAUGUGCACCAUGUCAUUAGCUUAUACUUCCAGCUACCAAUAGAUGUAAUACAUGACUAAUUUGUUGGAUAAUUUUUUAACCUAUCAAUCAACUACAAACAUGUAAAAAGUCGAAGUUGUAUCUAAAAAGGUUUUUUAUAAGAUAUUAUCAAAUUUAUCUACUUUAAUAUAUUUCUACCUACUUAUAUUAUUUAAGUAAUUAUUAGAUUAAAUAUAUGUAUUUGUAACAUAUAAAUAUAUAUAUAUAUAUAUAUAUAUAUAUAAUUAUUUACUAUCAUAUAUUAAAACUAUAUGUAAGAUAUUAAGAAUAUUUUAGAAUUUAUCAAGUAUUUAAUUUUAUGCUAUUUAGAUAUGUUUUAAAAAUUAAAAAAAAAUCUUUAAUGACUAAAACUAAUUAUUGAUUAUUUUACGACCAAAAAAUAUAAUAUUAUCUAAAUAAACUUUCAAAAAUAUUGAAAUUGAAUCAUUAUACAUGAACUGAUGUGUGUAAGUAAACAAUUCUUAAAAAUGCUUUUAUACAAGCUUAUAUUAUGUCUUUUAUUAAAUUUAUCUUUUAUAGAUAUUUUUUUAUUUUUAUAAUUUAUAGUUUAUAAAAAAAAUAAGCAAACAAAUAAAUAAAAUUUUAAAUAAUAAAUAUUAAUAUUAUUAUUUAUACUGAAUUUUCUUAAUAAAUAAUAAUCUUAUUUUAUUUUAUAUUUUUAUAUAUAUUAUGGUCUAUGGUCUAUGUUAAAUCUAAAGUCUAAAGAUAUCAUACAUGAAAAAAAUCAUUAUAAGAUUUACUUUUAAAAUAUACUAUAAAAUAAUUAAAUUUUUUAUCAAUGAAUAAACAAGGUUAUUUAGUUUAUUGUAGAAGAAUUAAAGAGCAUUUAAAGUUUCUAGGAAGUAUUUUAUUAUAGAAAUAUAAUUAUUUAAUACUCAAAAAUAAUAAGUUAAUAAAAACAUAAAAAAUAAAAAACAAAACAAAACAAAAACUACUAUUCUAUUUAUAAUACACUAUUUACUUCAAAAUAUAUAUUAAAGCAUAUUUGUACAUAUGUUUUCAAAAUAUGCAAGGUAUAUCACAAUCUCAAAGCUAUUGUCACAGACAUAUAAAUUUACCUCAAUAGUUAGUUAUAUGAUUAAGUAGAAGUAGGUAAAUAUAGAAUAAUUUCAUAAAGUCUUUUAUAAAAGCUUUUUAGAAGCUUCAUAGACGGGGUUUUGACUUUAAAUGUGUUUGUAGGUUAGAAACUUGGACAAAAAGCUAACCAUAUAUUGGUAGCUUGUGGAACAAGCCAACUACGUGGCGCAUACAUAGAUAACUUACCUUACAAGAUAAGACAUAUAGCUAGCAAAGUCAACACAUGUUGGAAGUCCUAUAUGACAUCACCACAUAGCUCUUAGUUAGAUAGUAUAUAUGGAAGCAAGAGUGAAGCCUUCUUCAUUCUUGUUAACGCCUUUCUAGUCUUAGUCUUAUUUCAAGACUUUCUAAUCUUCUUGUUUUUGACAAUAGCCAUUCUAGUUAAUAUUAUAUCAACUUUUGAAUGACUUUCUAGUUUUCUUCAGUGAUAGAAGAGAGUAUUGAGGAUUCUCUUUCUUUAAGAUUCAUAUCUUUGACAGUUUGAUAAGAGUGCUAACAUAUUGUUUUUGUCUUAUUUUAGAAGGGAGUGGAUUAUCCCACUUCUUUUAUUGUAUUUUGAAGGUUGCGGAUUAUCCACCUUCAAACAAAAAAUCUUAUUUUUUAAGAUUAAUUUUUUCCUUAAAGAAAGUGAAUUAUCCUCUUUAUGGGAUUUAUUUUUAGAGGUUGUAGAUUACCUUCUAAUUUAACUUUUGAAUUUAUUUGAGUUGUCUAUGAAAAGAAAGAUUAUAGAUGCUACUCUCAACGGUGGUGAGAAUAGAUUUGUAACUAUGGCAAAACUUCAUGAGCUUGUCAACACUCUAAGAGUCAAAAUCUCACGUAUUUCCAAUGUAAAUCAUGGAAGUACUAUGUCUAUGCCUAUAGAAGAAGUUCAGAGUCUGUGGCAAGAAGUUGUGCAGUUUAAAGAAACAAGAAGAUCAAUGUCACAACCAAAUCCAGGGAGUUUUGCUUCUACAAGUAUGACAGGGACAAGGAUUAAUAUUCUUGAGAAGUUUGAUGGAACAAUAUCAAAAUUUUGAGGAUUUUUGCAACAAGUCAAGCUCUAUCUAAGGUCGAACCCUUUCCAAUAUCUUGAUGGAUUCAUCCAAGUCGGAUUCAUAAGCACACUACUAUCAAGAAGUGCUCAUUUUUGGUUUGCACCUUUAAUGGAAAAAGAUUCACAACUCUUUUAUGAUUUGAAUUCAUUCGUAGAAGUAUUUAUGGCCACAUUCGGAGAAAGUAAUCAAGAACGAGUAGCAGAGAUGAAGUUUUUUUCUUUACUGUAAGGAUCACGAUCAGCAAUUAUAUAUGCUAUCGAAUUCCAAAACCUCACAUGUAACGUGGACUUGAAUGACAAAGCACGUAUCAACCAAUUUUGAUAUGUGUUGAAAAAUAGUGUCAAAAUUUUUUUAUUAACAAUGCCAAAAGUAGAAUCUUUGAAAUAAUUUAUUACUCAAGCCAUUGUAUGCAACAAUCAUUUAUUUGAAAGGCAUUAAGAAUAAAGAUUUGAUUGGAAUAAGUCAAGUAAUGGCGGCAGCUCCCAAGUUUUCUGAAACGUAUUUGUCAAAGUCAGAACCAAUGCAAAUUGAUAUGAUAUAUUUCAAACCUCUUACGAAGCAGAAAAAGACUCAAUGUCGCCAAGAGGGAUUGUAUUUAUAUUGUGGAGAAGCUAAGCAUACUGCUUAACAUUGUCCAAAGAAACAAGGCAAUUAUAAAAUGAAGAGCAUAAUUACCAAACAAGAUAAUAGAUGAAAAAAUGAAUUUUUCCAGCUACAAUAGGAAUCGUUGUCGUGUUAUAACACGAGUAUACCGUGAAAAUAUAAAGAAAGGGGACUUUUAUUAAUGUUCAGUUACCUCGAAUAUUGAGAGCAACGACCAAUUCCAGUGCCAAUAUUCAGAGGCUAGUUCAGACACCCCAUCACAGUCGGUCAAGACAUACUUACCAGUAACAAAAUGCUCCGUUCGAGUCCAAUAGUGGGAGUCAACAGAAUUGAAAGGAUUAAAUCGAUGACUAAGUGAGCCUGACGCGAAGGACCAAUUUGACCCAAUUACGGGAAUAUCCAGGUCUUACUACGGGCCUCUUAGCCAAUCUAACGUGAAGGACCAAUUUGACCCAAUUAUGGGAACAUCUAGGUCUUACUACGGGCCUCUUAGCCAAUAUGAGACCUGAAUUGGUCGGACAACUCAAUGUGGUCCUGAUUACGGGGGUUUCGAUUCCGUUUCAGGCUGUCCUGUUCUCUGUCCCAUUUCAUGGAAUGUUGUUUCAGGAAAAAGAACCUUUUAAAAGGCAAAAAAUGGAAGAAAAAGCUCUGACGGCGGAGCCAAUUCAUGAUCCAAGAUGGAAGAUUAGAGAAAUUCAGAGGCUAGGGUUUGAAAGAGGAGAGAAUUAGGGUUAAAGUGGAGGAUAGGUUAAGAAAUGAAGGGGGGAGAAUAAGCUUUUUUUAAGGGUCAGAGAGCUAGCUUCAUGCUUUGGGAGGGAAAAAAAGACAGAGAAUUGGAUUUUUUUUCUUCAUAGGGUUUUGGGAAGAUUGAGGCAAUCGUUGCUGAAGUCAGUGUUGUACUGAUGAAUCGAGAUUUUAAUGAAGUGGGUGUGAUUACUCUUCACUGUUUUGUAAAAUCGAAGUUACGUCUGUGAUUGAAGAAUUAAAAGGGUGUCUAUAGGAUUGGGUAUGCGGAGUGAAUGAAAAUUUUUGGAUUAAUCUAACAAGACAGUCAGUGGAUACAAGGUCGUGAGUAUAAAGUGGUAUCAGAGAUUAUCAGAUUGAGUUGUUCGGGGUUCUCUGUAACAUCUAGAGACCUACCGACUAGGGCAAAAAGGACUUUGGCGAGCAGUCGAAGGACAUCCGUAUAGAUUUACGAUAUAUUCUUGUAAUCGUUUAUAUUCUAACAAUCAAAAACCAAUAGACUACAUGAAUAUUAGUGAAUCUGCAUACUACCUUUUACAGUCAGACGCCUGACACGUUCUCGAGCAGGAAAGCAUGUAAUACAACACAAGUGGUGAAUCCGACGUGAAAGCUUGAGGUGGAAGGUAUUGGAUUUCGUUUGAUUUUAUUUUUAUUUUUAUGGAGAACGAAAAUAAAAGUUUUGAAGGAUCUUUGGGAGGACUUUCUAGUAGGGGUUCUUCUAAAGGACAAGAUAUGCACAUGGAUCCAUCUAUUGCUAGUAUGUUUCAAGCCUUCUCAUUAUCAAUGUAGCAAUAGCAAAGCAAUGAUCGAAAAGAAGCUUUGGCAACCAAAGCAUUGCAAGCAGUGGUCAAUAAAAUUGAUCAAUUUGAUGGGAGGAAUAUUUCAAGGUAUUUAAGAUGUUAUGUUCAUGAAAUGGAAUUAAAUCGAGUUUCUAAGAAGAAAAUGGUUGAAUUAUUUGGACUUGCCAUGAUACCGGAGAUAAGAGACCAUAUUACAUCGAUUACGAAUCAUUAUGGGAAUUCAUGGGAGGUUUUUUCACAUGCAUUGAAAGACGAAUAUUUCUUGGAAGAUGCUGAUCACGUUACUAAGAAGCUGUUUCUGGAAUGGAUUGAAUGGCCUAAUAAGAAUUCGCAAGCAACAGAGCUACUAAGGAAAUUUGAGAGGCAGUACUCUCAAUUAUCGAAGGUAGAAAAAUUGACAUUGGAGCCGAACAAAGUUGAACUAUUUCUUCAAGCUGCUGAUGGACAAUUGCAAGGGAAAUUAGAACUCCUUCUUGAAGACAAAGAAGAAGAUGAAGGAUUGACAACAAAGUGGAAGAACGUUGAAGAUGCGAUGGGGUUGCUUACAAAAAGAGAAAGGAGGAAGGAUAGGAGCAAUAUUCCGAAAACAGUACAAGCACCUAAAGCUCGAGUACGUACAACACUACCAACAAUGCCUACAGUUCAACCUUCGACAUCCUUAUCAAAGAAAGCAGAUAUGGAGAUGGAAGAAAUUAUACGAGGAAUGCGAGAUCUUCAAAUCAAAUUGGCAAGACUUGAAGAGAAUACUUCUACAAACAAUUUGAAGAAUGUUUCAAAACAAGGAUAUGUACAAAGUUGCAUUUGGUGUGAUAAUGCUUCACACACUAGAAAAGAUUGCAAUGAAUUUAAUAAUAUGAUACGGUAAGGAAUUAUUUGCUGGAAAGAUGGAAAGAUAGCAUUAAAAGAUAGGGAGGAUCUUCUUCAAACCAAUUUUGACAAGGGAGGAAUGAGAGCAUUGGUUCAAGAUUAACUAAAAGAGCAUGAAACAACAGCACAAGAAAGUGCAAGUUAUGGUGCUAGAGUAGAUGAUGACCUUGGUGGAAGAACGGAAACUAGUGAGUUUUGGGCUUCUGCCAUUUCUACAAUGCAAGAAGGGAAAUUAUCUCGAGAAGCGUUAUUGAGGACUGCAGCUACAAUACGAGGUGCAAUAGGUUGAGAGGAUCCUGUUGAGUCUCUUUUAGUUCAUGCAUAUAUUGCUAAGAGCCAACAAGAAGCUUUGAUGGAAGAAAAAAGACGAGAAAAUUUUGAUGAUACGAGAGAAGGAAAUUCUUCUAAGAGGCAAACUCGAAGAGACAAGGCUCGGGAGGCAACUUCACAAGAAUUGCCUGUAAAGGAUACCUUAGCAUCAUUGGAAGAAAAAACAAGGGAGACAAAAGAUAAGGGCAAAUCAAUUGCUUAUAAGCUACUUUCUGACAUUAAGGCGGCAACAAUUUUGAAAGGGGUGUUGGAAGAACGUAUAUUAAACGCUAAAGUAGAAUUCACAUUGAAAGAAGUUUUGGGAAUUACAAAGAAGGAAUUUCAUGAUGUUAUCAUUGACAGCAUUAAGCGAAAGAGGCAGUUAAUGGGCAAAACUGGAAUGAGUCAUGCUAUUGAUGCAAGAAUAUAUAAAGAUGAAGAAGAGGUUGAUAUUGGUUACAAGCAACCAACAAAUGAAAGGAUUGGGUAUAAUCAACGAGUACGUUUCGAAGAUUAUAGUGGUAAGGAAAUGGAAACUUUGAGCCAUUAUACUCGAAAGCAUUGGGCAAGGGCAACUACUGAGGUAUUGGUGAAAGUAGGAGAUAUAGAAGAACCAAUAGUUGCUUUGGUCGACCAUGGUUCUGUAAUAAAUCUCAUGUCUAAAGAUCUUUAUAAGAAGCAAAAAUGGCCAAUUGAUAUGGAACAUAGAUGGGCAAUACGAGCAACUAAUAAAACACGGGGCGAAUUAUAUGGAGCUUGUCCAGAUGUCAAAAUUCGGAUUGGGGAUGUUGCGACGGAGCAACAUUUCUUUGUUCAAGAUACAACGUCUUAUCCGUUGAUUUUAGGACAACCUUAUAUUACGACAACACGGAUGGAAACAAAGAUACUUGACGAUGGUUCUGCUUAUGCAAGGGUACGGAGCGAAGAUGGGAGGAAAGCUGUACAAUUUCUAACAGUACCUCCUAACCAUGAACGGAAUCGAGAUAGGUUGAGGGAGAAACCAUUGUCAAAGAUUGUUGAAGGAUUUAAGGAUUUUGGGGAGGUACCACUGUAAAGCGAGAUUAUGGAGGUACAAAAGAGGAGGUACUUUCGCGAGAUGAAGGUGCCUUUGAUGCGAGUUUUAUUGGUAUAUUGGAGAAUGGAAAUAUUAUGUAUAAGAAAGUUGAAGAUUUUAAAAGAAAAGAAAGAAAAAGAUUAUAUGAUAUUGAAGGACAGUUACGCAAGAUAGGUACAUUGCAAGAUGAUGAGAGGAUUUUGGGUGUUUAUAAAGAAAAUGGGCUGGAAGAUUCAUUGGAAUUGAUUACAUCUAUUGGGUUAGGAGAUAAUGAUAAGAUUGUUGAGAUUCAUUCGAGAGAGGUUUAUACCAUGCUUGAAUCUUUUCAAGCACCAGAAGUCACAGUCGAGACGAGAUAUAAAACGGCAGAUAAGAAGGUAAAGCCUGUUGCCGGACCAUUACCAGAGGAUUCUAAAGAACAAAUGGGAGAAGCAUCAAAAGAAGCAAGUUUAAGAGAUCCAAUGAGUAUUGGACAUCAGUUUACUGAAUAGACUUUUGAAGAAUUGAAGAUUGGUUCUGAUGGUUCUUUAUUGCCGGAGGAAAUUACUUGCUUCGAAAAGAUGUUGACUAAACAAGGUAGAUCGUUUGCCUUCGAAUCUCAUGAAAUUGGGUGUGUGGAUCCAAAUAUUAUAACACCUAUGGUUAUCUUCACUGUACCGCAUGUACCUUGGAAUCUAAGACCGAUUCCAGUACCGAGGGCACAUUUACCUAAAUUGGUCGAACUAUUGAAAGAAAAGAUAAAGAUGAAAAUAUUAGAACCUUCAUUUGCGCCGUAUUCUAGUUGAUGGUUUACGGUACCUAAGAAGAAUGGGUCACUGCGGUUUAUUCAAGAUAUGCAGCCGGUGAAUGCUGUAACUGUCAGGAAUGCAGGAAUUGGACCUAUUGUGGAUGAAUUUGCUAAGGCAUUUGCUGGAAGGGCGAUCUAUUCAAUGGGUGAUUUGUAUUCAGGUUAUGAUCAAUUUCAACUUGCCGAAGGAAGUAGAGAUAUGACAACGAUGAGGACACCGCUUGGAUUGGUUAGAAUGUGCACUCUUCCUCAAGGCGCGACCAACUUAGUUGCGCAUAUGAUGAAUGGGAUGAAUAAGGUAUUGAGAGAUUUUAUUCCGGAAAAGACUAUGCCUUUUCUGGAUGAUGUUCCUAUAAAAGGGUGCAGAGAAGGAGACAAGGAUGAAACUUUAGAUACGAAGGGAUGUGGCAGAUAUGUUGUUGAUCAUAUACAAGAUUGUGAAAAGAUUUUAACUUGGCUUGGAGAAGUUCAUCUUACAUUAUCGGAUAUGAAGUCCGUAUUUGGAGUGCGAGAGGUUGUAAUUGUUGGACAUUUAUGCGGAUCUUACAGAAGAAAACUAGAUCCGACUAAAGUUGAUGCAAUUGGAAGGAUGAAAGAGGAUUGUGGUUCUUUAACAGAGGUUCGCAGGUUUUUGGGUGCAUGUGUAUUUUAUCGAAUCUGGAUCCCUCAUUUUGCUCACAUAGCGGAUCCAUUAUAUGAACUGUUACGCAAGGGUUACUGAUUUGAAUGGGAAGAAAGGCAUAUUCAGGCAAUGCAAAGAUUGAAGAAAUUUUUGAUGUCACCUCCAAUAUUGAGGAAGGUUGAUUAUAAGUGCAAUAGACCAGUGAUUCUUACUAUGGACGCUAGUCCAAUUGCCAUUGGAUGGACUGUGGGUGAAGAUGAUUCCAGUGGGAAUAGAUUUGCAGUUCGAUUUGGAGCUAAAGUUUUAAGUAUUCGUCAGCGUGCAUAUUUGCAAGUCAAAAGAGAACUUUGGGGAGUCGUUUCGGCUAUGAAAGCUGAAAAGGACUAUUUGAUUGGGGCAGUAGUAGUAAUUGAAAUAGAUUGCUUGCCAUUGCUUGGAAUGAUUAUUAGCUGUUCAACGCCAGAUAUUGCAAUGUUGAGAUGGAUUGCUUAUAUUAAGUCACUAAAUCCAGAAUUUAAGCAUAUCACUGGAAAGGACAAUUUAGUAGCAGACAUGCUAUCUUGAGCAAGAUACGAGAGGGAGGACGAAAUGGUUGAAGACAUUGACGAUGUCGGAUUGAAAUUCUAUUCAAUAUCAAAUCUCAACAGAGAAGACAAGCUAUUUCUUGAAGAAUCUUAUGAAGGAGAUUUAUUGGAUAUUGGUCAUUAUUUGAAUACCUUGUCUAAGCAGGGGAAUUGGUCUACAGAAAAAUUCAAACAAAUAAGAAAAAAAGCAUAUGGAUUUUUACUUCGAGAUGGAUUCUUAUGGAAGAGACCGAAGAAAGGAAUUGGGAUGCCACAACGAGUGAUAGGCAAAAGGAAAGAAAAACUAAAAUUAUUAAAGGAGUUUCAUGAUAGUUUAUGGGCAGGCCAUAGAGGAAUCUGGGCUACUUUUGCUAAACUCAAGGAACGAUAUUGGUGGAAAAAUAUGUAUCGAGAUGUGCUCUCAUUUGUAGAGUCAUGUGAAAUCUGUCAAUCGUAUUCUAAUAUCCGACAUCGAGAUGGUCUUCAUCCUACGUAUCCUCUGGCUAUUCAUUUUAAAUGGGUUGUUGAUUUGGUUAUUAUGCCGGUUGGGUUAUGGCAGAUGAGAUAUUUGGUUUUAGCUCGUGAAGAUUUAUCAAAUCAAGUAGAAGGAAGAGCAUUGAGGACAAAAUCUACAGAAGGGAUUUGUAGGUUUUUGCUUGAAGAUGUCAUUUGCCGUUACGGGUGCGUAGGAAAAAUCACUGCAGAUCGUGGAGAAUUAAAUGCACAAGAAGCUCGUAAGUUCUUUGAAAAAUGUGGAGUUAAACUAUCACUUACUACUGCUUAUAAUCCGGAAGGGAAUGCGAAAAGCGAACGCGGUCACCCGCCGAUUGUGAAAGCAUUGGUUAAAGCUUGUAAUGGGAAGGUUAAAGAGUGGCCACGGCUUUUGUCAUUUGCAUUAUGGGCUGAUCGAAUAACACAUAGUUCGGUGACAGGAUAUAUGCCAGUAGAACUUAUGACAGGUCAAAAACCAAUUAUGCCGAUUGAAGAAAAGAUACUUACUUGGAGUAUGCUACCAUGGGAAGAUGGAUUGACAAGAGAAGAACUUCUGGCUAUUUGGAUUCGACAAUUGGAGCAAAGAACGGAAGAUGUCCAGAUAGCAUUGAAAAGGUUAAAAAGAGCAAGGUUACAAAACAAGGCGCAAUUCGAUAAGCAACAUCGAUUGAGACCAAAAGAAAUCGAGGAAGGUGACUGGGUACUUGUUUAUGACAAUAGUCUGGAUAAUCAACAUAGUACUUUGCGGAAAUUUUCAAAACGUUGGUUUGGACCAUAUGUUGUAACAACUGUUCAUGAUAAUGCGACUUACUCAUUACGGGAGUUAGAUGGUACAAAAUUGAAAAUACUAAUUGCAGGGAAGAGAGUAAAAAUAUUUAAACGAAGACAUGCACAGAUGAAUAUGGAAGACCUUAAUGAAGGUACAGAGAUUCCACAGCAAGAAGAUGAAAGUGAUAUGGAUAAUGAAGGUGACGAAGACGUACUGGACAAAGACGUAGGGGAUAUAUUCUGAAUCAAACAGCAAUUGGGUAAAUUGGUCCAUACCGGAGGAUGCACAGGUUCAGAGGGGGUGGAUGUCGUGUUAUAACACGAGUAUACAGUGAAAAUAAAAAGAAAGGGGAAUUUUAUUAAUAUUCAGUUAUCUCGAAUAUUGGGAGCAUCGACCAACUCCAGUACAAAUACUGAGUGGUCAGGUUCAGUGACUCCGUUACAGUCAGCCGGGGCAUACUGGAAUGCCCCAUUCGAUUCCAAUAACGGGAGUCAGUAGGAAGAGAAGGACCAAUUCACACGACGGGUUCGAGGAGCCAAUUGGAUCCAAUUUCGAGAAUCCAAUCCGGGUCCUCUUACCCAAUAUGAGACCUGUAUUGGUGGGGCAAUCCAAUGCAGUCUAGUUACGGGAAAUCCCGAUUACUACGAGCAUCUUUCCCAAUAUAGGACCUGAAUUGGUCGGGCGACUCAAUGUGGUCCCGAUUACGGGGUUCGAUUCUGUUUCAGGCUAUCCUGUUCUCUGUGCCGUCUCAGGGAACGUUGUUUUCGGUAAAUGGAUUUCUUAAAGGUAAAAACGGAGGAGAAAGCUUGAGGUGGGAGCCAAUUUCGGAUCCAAGCUUGAGGUGGGAGCCAAUUCCGGAUCUAAGACGGAAGAUUGAAGAAAUUCAGAGGAUAAGGUUAGGGGGGAUAUAGUUUUGGAGUGGUGUGGGUUUUUAUUUUGGGGGGAUGGGAGGUUUUUGAAGAUCAAGGGAAUUAGAGAGAGGAGCUUCAUGCUUCGGAUCGGGGAAGGAAAGACAUAGGAUUUGGAUUUUUCUUCUUCGUAGAGUUUUGGGGAAGACUGAGGCAAUCGCUGUUGAAGUCAGUGUUGUAAUGGUGAAUCGGGAUUUUUAAAUGAAGUGGGUUUGAAUACUCUUGACUGUUUUGUGAAAUCGAGUUACGUCUGUGAUUGAAGGAUUAAAAGGGUGUCUAUAGGAUUGAGUAUGCGGAGUGAAUGAAAUUUAUUGAGUUAAUCUAACAAGACAGUCAGUGGAUACAAGAUCGUAAGUACAAAGCAGUAUUGAAGGUUAACAGUUUGGGUUGUACGGGGUUCUCUGUAACGUCUAGAGACCUACCGGCUGGGGCAAAAAGGACUCCGACAAGCAGUCGAAGAGCACCCAUAUAGAUUUACGGUACAUUGUUGCAGUCGUUUAUAUUCCAGCAGUCAAAAACUGAUAGACUGCUUGACUAUCGGCGAAUCUCCAUACUACCUUCUACAGCUAAACGCCCGGCGCGUUCUCGAGCAGGAAAGCACGUAAUACGACACCGUUCGAGUCCAAUAGUGGGAGUCAACAGAAUUGAAAGGAUUAAAUCGAUGACUAAGUGAGCCUGACGCGAAGGACCAAUUUGACCCAAUUACGGGAAUAUCCAGGUCUUACUACGGGCCUCUUAGCCAAUCUAACGUGAAGGACCAAUUUGACCCAAUUAUGGGAACAUCUAGGUCUUACUACGGGCCUCUUAGCCAAUAUGAGACCUGAAUUGGUCGGACAACUCAAUGUGGUCCUGAUUACGGGGGUUUCGAUUCCGUUUCAGGCUGUCCUGUUCUCUGUCCCAUUUCAUGGAAUGUUGUUUCAGGAAAAAGAACCUUUUAAAAGGCAAAAAAUGGAAGAAAAAGCUCUGACGGCGGAGCCAAUUCAUGAUCCAAGAUGGAAGAUUGGAGAAAUUCAGAGGCUAGGGUUUGAAAGAGGAGAGAAUUAGGGUUAAAGUGGAGGAUAGGUUAAGAAAUGAAGGGGGGAGAAUAAGCUUUUUUUAAGGGUCGGAGAGCUAGCUUCAUGCUUUGGGAGGGAAAAAAAGACAGAGAAUUGGAUUUUUUUUCUUCAUAGGGUUUUGGGAAGAUUGAGGCAAUCGUUGCUGAAGUCAGUGUUGUACUGAUGAAUCGAGAUUUUAAUGAAGUGGGUGUGAUUACUCUUCACUGUUUUGUAAAAUCGAAGUUACGUCUGUGAUUAAAGAAUUAAAAGGGUAUCUAUAGGAUUGAGUAUGCGGAGUGAAUGAAAAUUUUUGGAUUAAUCUAACAAGACAGUCAGUGGAUACAAGGUCGUGAGUAUAAAGCGGUAUCAGAGAUUAUCAGAUUGAGUUGUUCGGGGUUCUCUGUAACGUCUAGAGACCUACCGGCUGGAGCAAAAAGGACUUUGGCGAGCAGUCGAAGGACAUCCGUAUAGAUUUACGAUAUAUUCUUGUAAUCGUUUAUAUUCUAACAAUCAAAAACCAAUAGACUACUUGAAUAUUAGUGAAUCUGCAUACUACCUUUUACAGCCAGGCGCUUGAGACGUUCUCGAGCAAGAAAGUAUGUAAUACGACACCGUGCGGCUGGAAUCAUAUGUAACACCUAGUAAAGGUCCUAUCCUCUCCUCAGAUCCCUUACCUUAUUUUAUAAUAGAAGUAUAUUUAGGACCUAAUAAUCACAAAGUCUUUGCCUUGUUAGAUUCAAGAGCCUCGGCAUGUUUUAUAGAUGAAGAUUUUGCCAAAAAUCAAAAAAUAUCUUCAGUAAAGAAAGUUAAAUCUGUACAUGUAGAAGUAAUAGAUGGUCGUUCGUUGUCUUCUGGAAGUAUUACCGAUGAAACUAUUUCUUUAGAUGUAACAAUUAAAGAUCAUAAUAGUGUAGUAGUAUUUAAUGUAAUAAAAUUUUCUUCUAAUUUGGUUAUUUUAGAAUUAUCAUGGCUAGAAAAAUACAAUCCUCAAAUAGAUUGGAUUUCUUGUAACUUUAACUUUCAUGAUAGUAUAACCCAAGAUUGCAUUAGUAAAGUACAAGUACGUAAGUCCAAUACAUCUAAACCUUUACUAAUAUGUGCAAAAGCUUUCAUGCAUGCUGCAAAAGAAGGAUCAUCUUUUGUUAUAUAUGCUACACUCAUUUCUAAUGGUGAAACAACAUCAAGUAGUAUUCUUAACUAAUAUCAAGAAUUUCAAGACGUUUUUGAAAAGAAGAAUGCAGAUAUUUUUUCCGAGUAUUGACCUUAUGAUUGUUCAAUUGAUCUGCAAGAAAGAGCUCAACCACCAUUUGGACCAAUCUAUAACUUAUUACAAAAUGAAUUGGCUGCAUUAAAGGAGUACAUUGAUGAGAAUUUGGCAAAGAAUUUCAUACGCCAUUCUAAAUCUCCAACAGGGGCUCCUAUCUUAUUUGUGAAGAAGAAAGAUGGAUCUCUGUGAAUGUGUGUGGAUUAUCUAGGACUCAACAAGAUCACCAUCAAAAAUAGGUAUCUUUUCCUUUUGAUUUCAGGACUUUUUGACCAACUCAAUCAAAUAAAGAUUUAUACCAAAAUAGAUCUACGAGGAGCAUACAACUUAAUUCGUAUCAAAGAAGGAGAUGAAUGGAAGACUACUUUUCGAACUACGUAUAGAUAUUUUGAAUAUAAUGUCAUGCCUUUUGGACUCACAAAUGUAUCGGCCGCUUUUUAACAUCUUAAGAAUGAUGUUUUUUGUGAGUUUUUAGAUGAUUUCAUUGUUUGUUAUUUAGACGACAUUCUAAUCUACUCUAAGAACACAAAAGAACAUGAGCUUCAUGUUUGUCAUGUAUUAUAAAAAAUUAGAGAUGUAAGAUUAUAUGUCAAGUUAGAAAAGUGUGUAUUCCACACUAUUCAAGUUGAUUUUUUAAGGUAUAUCAUUUCCAAUGAAGACCUCAUGAUGGAUCCCAAGAAGGUUCAAACUAUCAUAGAUUGGAAGAUUCUAAGAAUAAUAUGAGAUGUACAAUGCUUUUUGGGCUUUGCUAAUUAUUAUUGAAUCUUCAUCAAUAAUUUUUCGCAAGUUCACAUCUGACACGUUUGACUUGUAAAGACAAACUUGAGUAGAAUAAAGAAGUAAAAGUAUCAUUUGAUGGUUUAAAGAAGGAAUUUAUUUCUGCACCAAUCUUAUAUUGCAUUGACUUUUCCAAAGCAUUUUUUUAUAGAAACAAAUGCAUCAGAUUUUGCUAUAGAUGUCGUAUUGUCACAAAUGGGGAACAAAUGAAAAAUUCCACCUAAUAGCUUUCUAUUCAAAGAAAUUUUUAGUACCCAAGAUUAAUUAUGAAAUCUUUGAUAGAGAGCUCUUUGUAAUUGUGGAUUCAUUUCAAGAAUGGCAUCAUUAUCUAGAAGGCACCUGAAGUCCAGUUAUCAUGUAUACAUACCAUAAGAACCUUGAGUACUUCAUGUCAACACAUGUCUUGAAUCAUUGUCAAGAAUGUUGAAGCAUGUCUUUAUGUAGAUUCAAUUUCAAGAUCAUUUAUCAACUCAAAAAAUAAUAAGGUCUAUUAAAUGCUCUUUCUAAACGUUCUUAUCUUGCACCAAAAGAAGGAGAUGCAUCUUUUGAUCAACAAAGAUGAAUUCUCUUAAAGCCCAAGCAAUUUCAUCUUCUAGCUAUAAAAUCAACAUUGACUAUUGAUUCAACAUUUGUGAAGCAAAUUCAAUCAAGCAUGUCAUCUGAUCUUCUUAUUUAAGAUAUCAAGAAUACUUCCUCUAAGUCCCAUGAUACUUCCAAGUUUGAAUUCAAGAAUAAUCUAUUAUAUUUUGAAUGACACUUAUAUGUUCCAAAAGGUGAAGCUUGAUUACGUGUUCUUCAAGCUCGUCAUGACUUUCUAGUAACAGGACAUUUUUGGUACAAUAAAACUUUGGAACUAAUAUCUAAGAAUUUUUGGUGGCCGCAAAUGUGGAAGGCAGUCAAAGAUUUUGUACAAUCUUGUGAUGUUUGCUCAUGAUCAAAAACUCCUCGUCAUCAACCUUACAGACUUCUUCAACCGUUAUCCAUUUCAAAGCAACCAUGGUCUUUUGUUUCUAUAGAUUUCAUCACGGAUCUUCCAAUUUCAGAUUCUUAUGACUUUAUAUUCGUGAUAGUAGAUUGUUUUAUCAAGAUGGCACAUUUUCUAUUCGUCCUUGUGAUAAAUUAGAUAUGUGGUCUUUUGUCAUUCUUGAGCUUCUUUUAAUUGUAUCUUCAUUGUUGUAUGUAGCUUUAAGAAGUGAUUUACUAAAUCUUCUACCGCAGGAUUAUCAACUUUUGAAAAGUCAAAAGUAUCAAGACAUGGAUGAUAACCAUAAUUAGCAAAGAAUGGUGUUUGUUGAGUGGAAGAAUGUAUCAAAUUAUUAUAUGCAAACUCUCCCAAUGGUAAAAGAGUUAUUCAAUCAUCUUAAUGAUAGUUAAUAAUACAUCUCAAAUAUUGUUCCAGAACUUGAAUUACCCAUUCUAUUUAUCUAUGAGUUUGAGGAGGAAAAGCUCAAGAAAGCUUUAUAUCUAUUCGUCUUUGUAAUAAAUUAGAUAAUCAUAAGAUGAGACCUUUUCCUAUUUAUAAAAAAAUCAAUCAUGUUGCCUAUUGUUUACAUCUACUAGAGUCUAUGAAGAUCCACCCUAUAUUUCAUAUGUCUCUUUUGGAGCUGUAUAAGACAGUAAAUAUCUUGAGAAGAAGACAAAUGCCACCUCUUGCUAUAGAAGUGAAUAAUUAUCAAGAGUUCGAGGUGGAAGAAGUCUUAGACUCAAGGUGGCACUGAAAUAGGUUGGAAUAUCUUGUUCAUUGGCACGGAUAUGAUAUUAGUGAACGUACAUGGAAGCCAUUAAAGAAUCUUGCAAAUGUAAUAAAGAAAAUUGAAGUCUUUCAUCAACGACAUCCAUCAAAAUGAGGAUGAAGAAUAGCAAACUUUUAUUAUAAGAGAAACAAGAUCAAAAGAAAAUAACAUUCUAUCUUCUAUUUUUUAUUGUAGCUUUUGUGUAUUUGUGAUGAGAUGGUGCACCAACAACCAGCAGAUUCAAUUCAAGAGCUUUCAUUUGCGGACUUACUAGACAAGUCAUUGUGAUUGUCACAACCUUCAAGAUGAAAGAAUCGAGAUGAAGAUCCUCAAGAACGACAUGUCUUUUCUCAAAUAGAUGGCAAAAUAUAACAUGUUUGGUAUUACGACCUUGGAAGUAAUUCUUGUUGUUUAGUGAUUUUAUUCGAGGUAAAAACAACUUCUAAUGGUGUUCCAAAUGUUUUAUUUGAAGGAAGUUAUGAAGGCCUCAACAAUGACCAAAUAACAGGGUGGUCUUCUCGCCCUAGUAUAGAACACUAUAGAUGGUUCAAGGGACCUAUCAACUAUCUUCAAAGAGAGCAAAGAUCGAAAUAUGUAGCAAAUACAAUUCGUCGCAUCUUAGACUUUCUCAACAUAUAAAGACCGCUCCUCGUGGAACUUGUCUCUAGAAGAGGAAAUAAUGUCACGGACAUAUACAUUUACCUCAAUAGUUACUUAUAUGAUUAAAUAGAAGUAGGUAAAUAUAAGGUAAUUUUAUAAAGUCUUCUAUUGAAGCUUUCUAGAAGCUUCAUAGACGUUGUUUUGACUUUAAAUGUGUUUGUAGAUUAGAAACUUGGCGAAAAAACUAACCAUAUAUUAGUAGCUUGUGGAACAAGUUAUCUCUGUAUAGUAGCUUGUGGAACAAGCCAACUACGUGGUGCAUACAUAGAUAACUUGCCUUGCAAGAUAAGACAUGUGACUAGCAAAGUCAACACAUGUUGGAGGUCCUAUAGGAAAUCACCACAUAGCUCUUAGUUAGAUAGUAUAUAUGGAAGCAAGAGUGAAGCCUUCUUCACUCUUGUCAACGCCUUUCUAGUCUUAGUCUUGUUUCAAGUCUUUCUAGUCUUCUUGUUUUUGACAAUAGCCAUUCUAGUUAAUAUUAUAUCACCUUUUGAGUGACUUUCUAGUUCUCUUCAAUGAUAGAAGAGUGUAUUGAGGAUUUUCUUUCUUUAAGAUUCACGUCCUUAACAGUUGUAUAGAAUGUUUCAAAAUAUCCAUAAAUAAAGAAACAUUAACUUGUAGUUAAUUUGUAUUAUAUUUUUUAGGAAUGUAGCAAGUGUUAAAUAAUCCAAUUAAAAAUGGUUAAAUAUAUAUUUUAAUGUGUAGAUAACAAAUUGAAAUCAAAUUUCCUAAAAAAAUAAAAACUUGAAAUAUUUUCCAAUGCAUGUGUUUCUAUAAAAACUACUCAAUGAUAUCCAUAUUAAAAAUAUUACCAAUAUGUUGUUUACAACAAAGUUGCAAUAAAAUGGAAAAUAUAUCAACAUGGAUUUAUAAGUAAUUUAUUACAUUAUUCUUACUUUAAUGCAUGUGGCACAUUUUUUUUUAGUUUUUACGGUUUAAUUAUUUUAAAUUCUUAAUUUUUUAAAAAUUUAUAAAAAAUUAAAAAUUAAAAAUUAAUUAAUUAAUCUAAAUAUAAUUUAUUUUUAAAAUAAAUAAAAAUUCCUUAAAAAAUAAUCGAGAACAAAAAUCAAUCAAAAAUUGAGAUUAUUAUUUAUUAUAAUUUUAUUAGAGUACAUGUCAACCUAUUUUUAAAAACUAUUAAAAUAAUUCAAAAUAAGUCUUUGUGAUGAAAUAUGCCGUGAAUUUUUUACAAUUAAAUGACUUUAAAACUUUUUUUUUAUGUUAUUUUAACAAAAUUUAUUGGGCAUUAUCUUUAUUGAAGAAGUAUAACACUUCAUAUAUUAAAAAUUCUACUUAAUGUGAAAAAAGUUAGUAUUAUAUUAUGUCUUAAAAUAAUACUUAUAUAAAUACUUUGAAAAUAAUUAUUCUAAUAAUUUGGAAUGAGAUAUCAAAUGCAACAUUGUUAUUAUAUAUAUAUAUAUAGAUAGAUAGAUAGAUGUAAACUUCUUAAAGCCACAAAUUGUCAAGAACAUGAAUUAAAAGAUGAUGCAAAAACCAAUGAAAUCCAUGUCAAAGAAAGAGUGAAAAAAUAGAAAUAAGGAAGUAUGUAUAUUAAAAGAAACUAGAAAGGCUUAUUGCCAAAAGACAAGAAAACUUGAGACUCUUGAAACUAGACUAGAAGCAAGAAAGGAGUUGACAAGAAUGAAGACAGCUUCACUCUUGUCUCUGUAUAUACUAUCUAACUAGGAGCUACAUGGCGAUGUUCUAGAGGACCUCCAAUGUGUCUUGACUUUGUAGGACACAUGCCUUGACUUAUAAGAUAAGUUUUUCUAUGUGUGGGCCACAUAGUUAGCUUGGUCUUCAAGCUAACAAUAUGUGUGGCACAUGGCCAACUUAUUGACUUCGUUUAUAAUCCAAAAAGUCAAUUAAAGACACCUUUAAAGUCAAAGCAGCGUCUAUAAAACUUUUAGGAAGCUUCCAUAGAAGAUAUUAUAGAAUUAACUUAUUUUUACCCACUUCUAUUUACAUCUACUUAUUUAUACAAGUAAUUACUAGCUUUCAUGCGUAUGUCUAUGACACAACUUCCUUGCCAUCUCAUGAUCCAUUUUGUAUAUGUCUUUUGUCCUCAACUUGUUCCCAAUCCUUGUACUUAGCCACCAUCCCCACCCUAUGCCAACUCCACUGUUGUUCCCACCCCCAUCUCCAAUUCCAUCAUUGUCUUGACAUCACCCCAUCCCCACCCUAUUCUAAUCUCAAUUCCAUGUCCACCUCCAUGUCUAACUCCAUCCUUAUUCCAUCCCCACCAUGUCCCCACUUUUGUCUCUGAUUCGAUCUCUACCCUCAUAUAUAUGGUUGAUUAUGCUGGUGUAGAAUAAUUAGGGUUUAAUAUGUUUUUCAUGGUGUAAGAGUAAUUAUGGUAAUCAAAUGCAAUGGAAGUGGUGAGUGAAAAUUAAUUUGGAAGUUAAAUAAAAUAUUCAAGUAACCAAUAUUUUCAUUAUAAUUAUUUUAAAUAAAGAAUAUUUAUGCAAUAAAUAUAUUUAUAUAAUAAAAGAUUGGAUAUAUUAAAUAUAUAUAUAUAUAUAUAUAUAUAUAUAUAUGAUUCAUCAAAAAAAAAUGAAAAUGAAAAUAUACAAAAAAAUCAUGAAUUAUGUAAUAAAAUUAUAUAUUAAAUAUGCCACUUAAACAAAAUAAAAUAGAGAUUAAAUAUUCUUUAAUUUAUAUUAUUUUCAAAAUUAAAAGCUUGUUCUUUAAAUUUUUAAUUGUAAAAUAUUUUUCUUUUUUAAUUGAUAGUAAUUUAAAAUUAUAAAUUUUUAUUUAGAAUUAAACAAAUUCCUAGACUUUGAGCUUAAAUAAUUAUAAUUUUUUAAAUCCUAUAAUUCUAUUUUUACUUUAGGAAGUUGAAUAUACUUAUUUGAAUACUUAAUGAAAUUAACAAGGAAUUCUAAAAUCAAUGAAAGUUUCCUCUCAAAAAUAAAAAUAAAAACAGAUCAAUGCAAUUUAAUUUAAGCAAUUAAAUUUUAAAAAUAGUUAAAAAGUUUGCACGAUUUUGUUGCUGAAUAUUUAAAUUUAAUAUUUAAAAUAUCUAAAAUAAUACUUCUUUAUAUCUCAACAAAUCAAUAAAAAUAAGACAUGCAUGUUUGUAUUUAUAUAUUUAUAAAUAAAAUAUUGUAGUUAAAUUUUUAUUACCUAUGAAUUUAGUGAUUUAGAAAAGAGAUUAAAAAAUAGUUAAAAAGUUUGCACGAUUAAAACUAAUCAUAUACAAAUCUUUUUAUUUGUUUCCAUUGCAUUUGUAUAUCGUAACCACUCUUAUAUCAUGGAAAACCUACUAAAUUCUAAUUACUCCACACCACCAUCCUCAAGCAUGUGUAUGGGGGUAGGAGUGGAGUUUGGAACAUAGGUUGGGAUAGAGUGGGGAUAGGACAAGGUGGGGACAGUGGUUAAGAAUGAGGGUUGGGAAGGAGGUUGGUAUCAAGGAACAUGUACAAAAUGGAUCAUGAGGUGGGAAGGAGGGUGUGGCUUUAACAAAUUCAAUUAUAUAUAUAUAUAUAUAUAUAUAUCAUUGUUAAUUGAUGGGUUCUAAAGUAAUAUUUGGAUUAAACUUGUUUAAAUCAAUUAUUUUAGAUUUGGGUAUGAAAUUUGUUGCGUACGUGACACAAUCACUAACAGCUUGAGACAUAUUAACGUAGUUGUUAUUAUUGAUUUUUUUCAUUCUGAUACCAAAUGAAUAAAUAAAAAAAAAUAAAUCACUUACAAAUUGAAGUGCCACACAAUCUGCAUGGAGCAGUUCAAUUGGCCCGGACCUCACGAAAUCCCAUCUGGUAUUCCGGGAAUCUCCACGUCAGCUGUGCAUGCUGACAAGGAUCCUUGCUUCGGUGGCAGCCAAUUGAUGCUGACAUGGAUCCCAGAUUACCACAAUCGGGGGGAUAUGCUCGCUAAUGCACGAAAACCCCCAUCCACGAAUAAAUGACAUGGCAGAAUAUUCAUCUACAAAUCAGCAAGUUUCCUCGUUGCUCACCCGAUUCACACCGCAGGUUGCGAACGCCGACCUUUUGCCGGCCCACCCAAUGGGAUUGCAGGGAGAACUGACUCUGCCUUGACAUACAAGUCAUCAAGGCCGUUCCCACGUUCCCACAUUCUAACGUUCCCCUGCAACGCAAGAAGGCAUCCAAACGAAACACUCUGAUCCAGUCAGACGGGAGAGAUCUCAACCGUUGGAUUCCUUCCUAGAAAUAAGUAGAAAUCUUAUCUGCUGAGCUGGAUGUGACCAUCCUCAUGUUCCUGGUAUAGAAUAAAUAAAUAAAUAAAUAAAAUAAAAUAACUCCCCUUCUCGAUCUAACUCCGUGGAACCUUCUGGAAUCAAGGAAUUAUUAGGAACCAAUUAAACAUUCGAGAGCAUAAUCCACUUGGAACGCAUGCUGUCGCUGCACUCCACAACCAUGAUCUGGAUGCAUAACACUAAAUUACCCGUUUGUAUAUAUAUAGAUAGAUAGAUAGAUAGUAGGGUUGGAAUAGAAAUCAAUUUUGUAGAUGUGUGAUUGCACCAAACAUUAUUAGAUCUUGCGUUGAAACUUUGCCCAGUUGGGUAAAGUUUUUGAACUUCAUGUCUUGAGGUGAAAUUUGAUUUUGUUCAUACAUGCACACACACACACACACAACACUCACUCACGUUAACUUGAUUGAUAGUUUCAUUCAUAGUUCGCAGGUGAUUGCGAUCAGAUGUCAUUUACAAACACUUCUGGUGAUAACGAAAGUUGGGUAAACGAGAUUUAGGGUUUAGGAAGGAAAAAAGGAAUGAUUCCUAUUAACUGUGGAGAUUUUUUUUUCACCAUGCACUUUUUAACUUUGUUCGCUUUCGAGGCAUGAACUUGCUUUCCACGUGGAUGCCAGCUCAGUUGUAGAUUGCCAUCGAUCAACGAGUGCCGUCGAUUUCGAUCCAUUGAAUAUGGAUCACGAAUUGCACAAUUUGACAGUUUCCGUUGAUUAGAUGGAUGAGGAUUGGUCGGUGCAGAUAAACUCAACUCCAUUAAAGACGAAGCUUUCGGAGAUGAACUUGUAGUGUGAAUCUCAAUGUCUGAUAUCCUGCUCGAUUUGCUCAAAAUUUUCUUAAAUUUUGUACUGUUGUUAUUAUUAGCAGCAAUGCACUCUUUACACAACUUUGCAUUUGAAAGUGAUAGAAAAAACAGCUCCUCAGAGUUCCUGGAGAGUUGUGACCAUGGGAAGGACAAUAAAGCAGAUUAUUUUUUAAUACCCGUUUCUAAAAAUGCGCCCAUAAUUCGCAAGCUUAGUUUUAUAUUUUUUUCAAAUGUGACAUUUGAAAAAAUAUAAUUAUUUUUAAACAUAAAAAUGUGACUAAUUAAUCUUAAAUCAAUUCAUAUUUGAUUCUUCUCUGUGUGCAUAUUGCAACAAUUGUGUUUGAUCAUUUUUGGUUUGUAAGGGAACGUGAGUUUUACAACCCCCAUAUUUGUGUAGACUUUUUAUUUUGGAUGAGUACAUGACUCAUGUUGUGUAUGUGUCAUUGUUGAAUUGUGAUGUUUGCUUGUAUUGUCAUGUAUUUCCUGAAGAGUAAUUGUGAUACAAAGAAGACCAAAAAUAAAUAAAUAUAAAUAAAAUGAACCUUUGACAUUUUGAUGAACAAAAGUAUGAGAAUAACAUACCUUGUGUCCUUAGAAGGUCAAAUGUCAAAGGAUCCAUUUUUUGCAGAUGUUGUUGAGAAGUCAUGGAUCACCAAAGAUGUUGAUGAUUGGACAUGUUAAAUCCCUACAAAAUUGUCAAACUUAUUGUUGUUGUUGAUAUUGUUUUGAUUUUUUUUUUCAAUUUACUGAAAUUCUAUAAAUAAAAAAAAUUAUUUACUUGGUCAUCAUGUAGCAAAUAAAUGGUGAAAGAGUAUGUGUUUGUAUUAAUUUAGAUUUAUUCAAGCUCAAGAAUGCCUACAAAUAUUUAGUAGAGUCCAAGGAGGUAGUUUCUUUCCUUAACACUUGUAAGUUAUCAUGAGAUUUUCAAACAAUCAUAAGGAAGUAUCUCAUAUUGGUGCCUCAAGAUUAUUUGGUUCUACAUACAGUAAAUUUAUGAAAUGAUCGUAGUUAUCUAAAAAUGAUUUGACUUCCAUUUUAGAACACCAUCACAACUUUAUUUAAUUUAUUUAUUUUUUGGAUUAUGUGUUGUUUUUUUCAAUCAUCAUUGGAUAAUUCCAUGGGAUGAGAAUAGAAGAAUAUGGAAUAACCAUAUAUAAUGAACAGUAAAGUGAUUAUGAUACUUACUGCAGUUUAACUAUGAAAUGAAGUAAUACCAAAUCUUGAGUUUGAAAAGAUAUUUGUGCAUCUGUUUUUAAUAUAUAUAUAUAUAUAUAUAUAUAUAUAUAAUCCAUAAUUAUAAAAAUAAAACACAAUGUGAUUUGAAAGAUGUAUUAUUGGCUUUUUUAACUUUAUUUUUAUUAAAAAAUCUUAAAUAUUUUUGACGAUUUUUAUUCUAUGUCAUAUUAUUAUUAUUAUUAUUACUCCUACUAUCAAUAUAAUAUUACCUAUCAAUAUAAUUAUAUUUAGUCAUAUUUUCAAGUUUAAAAUAUAUAAACUAAAAAUCUUUGUGUAAUUUAUUUCAUCUCAAUCAAUGAUUUAUGGUUUUGAAUUUUUUUGAAAUAAUUUUUUUUAUCAAAGUAUUAAAAAAAAAUUCAAUACAAACUUCAUUAAACUAAAAUUAUCUAAGAUAUUUAAUUUUAAAUAGAUUUAUUGAUAAAUUAUCUGUAAGAAAAUUUUGUUUCAAUUUUAUUUAUAAUUAUUAUUAUUAUUAUUAUUAUUUUAAACAAAUAUUUGAUUUGUACUGAAUCAACAUUAUGAAUAAUUUUUUUUUAUAAUAACAUAAUUUUUUCUUUGAAAUUUUCAUUUGUAUAAUAGAUGUUUGUUUAAAACUUAAUAAUCGUAAUUCCUUUGUCAUUUUAGAUCUAUAAGCCUAAAUUUGUUUUUUUGGAUGAAAGUUGUGUUAAAUGACAAAGCAAAAAAUAUUCAUAAUAUUUUAUUGAUAUUUUAUAUUGUUAGAUCUUUGUGUAAUCUUAUCAUUUUAGGUUUAUUGUUGCUAAAAAAAUAUAAUCCUUAGAUAGAUUGCAUUUCUUGUAAUUUCAAUCUUUUUUAUAGUAUAAUCAAGAUUUUUGCUAACUAAGUAGAAAGUUAUAAGUUUUAAACAACCAAACCUUUAUUUAUAGAUGUAUGAGCUUUUAUAUAUAGUACAAAAGAAGGUCCAUCUUUUGUUAUUCAUGCCACAUCUAUUUCUAAUGAUAGAAAGACUUCAAGCCUUAUUCCAAACCAAUAUAAAGAUUAUUAAGUUAUUUUUGAAAAAAAAAUAAUAAAAAUAUUCCUUAACAACAUCAUUCUUAUGUUUGCUUAGUUGAUCUUUAAGAAAAAAAAUCAAUUGCUAUUUGAACCAAUUUAUAAUUUUUUUAAAAUUAAAUUAAUUUCACUUAAAUUAUAUAUUAAUAAGAACUUUGUCAAGAACUUUAUACAUUAUUUAAAAUCUCCAAUAGAAGCUCCUAUUUUAUUUGUAAAAAAAAAUUUGAUCAUAGCAAGUAAAUGUAGGUUAUCAAGGAUUCAUCAAGAUUAUUAUUAAAAAUAGAUAUCUUCUACAUUUGAUAUUAAGACUUUUUGAUCAAUUAAAUCAAAUAAAGAUCUCUAGCAGUAUAGAUCUAUAACAAGCAUACAACUUGAUACACAUAAAAGAAAUAAAUGAAUAGAAGACUACAUUUUAAACUACGUAUGUACAUUUUAAAUAUAAUUUUAUUCCUUUUAGACUAAAAGAAAUAUUCUAUUUACUUUUAAAUAUUUAAUAAAUGAUGUUUUUUUUGAGAAUUUUUAGAUGAUUAUGCUAUUUUUUUAAUCUAAAUAAUAUUUUAAUUUAUUCAAAGAAUAUAAAAAAAUAUAUAAACUUUAUGUUUGUUAUGUAUAAUAAAAAAUGAGAGAAGAAUAAUUAUACACCUAGAUGAAAAAGUAUGAAUUUUGUACAAUUUAAGUUGAUUUUAAAAAAAUAUACUUUUUUAAAUGAGAGUCUUAUGAUGAAAAAAAAAUAUAUAUUCCUAAGAAAAUUUAGAUUAGCAUAGAUUAAAAGAUUUUAAGAAUAAUAAGAAAAUUUUAAUAUUUUAAAAAAAAAUUCAAUUACUUCAAAAAUAAACUUAGAAUUUUUAGAAUUUUUUUUGUUUAAGUUGCAACUCUACUUAUAUGCUUGUAAGAUUCUAAGAAUAAUAAAAAAUAUUUAUUUUUUAAAAAAAUUAUUAUUUAUUAUAAAAAAUAGAAUUUUUAGCAAUCUUUUUUUCAAGUUACAAAUCUACUUACAUGUUUAUAAAGAUAUAUUAUGGAUAUACAUAUUUAUUCUAAUAUUUACCUAUACGAUUAAGUAGAAGUAGAAAAAAAUAAAUUUAUUUCAUAAUAGUUUUUUAAAAUACUUCUUAGAAGCUUCAUAGAUGCUAUUUUAAUUUUAUAUGUGUUUGUAAUUGAUUGGGAGGCUAGAAACUUAGUAAAUAAAUUAACCAUGUAUUAGUAGCUUGCGAAAAAAGCUAACCAUGUGGCUCAUAUAUAGAAAACUUAUCUUAUAAGUUAAGAUAUGUGUCUUUCAAAGUCAGCAUGUUUUGGAAGUUGCAUAGGACAUUGCCACAUAGCUCCUAGUUAAGAGUAUGUAUGGAGGCAAUAGUCAAGUCUUCUUCACUCUUAUGAAUGCCUUCUAAUCAUUGGUCUUAUUUUAAGACUUUCUAAUCUUCUUGUCUUUGGCAAUAACCAUUCUAGUUUAAUACUAUAUCAUCUUUGAGUGAUUUUUUAGUCUUCUUGAAUGACACAAGAGUAUAUUGAGGAUUUUUGUUUUGAGAUUCAUGUCCUUGACAGUUUAACAAGAGUGCUAAUUCAUUGUUGUUGUCUUGUUUUAUAAGUGAGUAAAUUAUUCCACUUUUAUUGUUGUAUUUUGAAGGUUACGAAUUACCCACCUUUAAAUAAUCUAUUUAAUUUUCUAACAUUGAUUUCUUUUUUCUUAAAGAAAGUAUAUUAUCCCUCUUUUGACAUUAGAGGUUAUGGAUUGCCUUCAUCUAAUUUGACUUGUGGAUUUAUUAAUUUGUUUGAAAUGGAAGGAAAAAUUAUGAAUGGUUUACUUGGCGGAAGUGAAAAUAGAUUUGUAAUUAUUACAGAUCUUCACAAACUUGUUAACACUCUUAGGAUAGCAAUUUCUCUCAUUGCUAGUACCAACUAUGAAAAUACUAAUUCUAUGCCUGUGAAAGAGAUUCACAAUGUAUAUUAAGAAGUUCUACAACUCAAAGAAGCAAAUAGAUUAAUUUUAUAACCAAAUUCAAGAAGUUUUUCUUCUACAAGUACAAUAGAGAUAAGGAUUAGUAUGCUCGAAAAGUUUGAUGGAACAAGAUCAAAAUAUCUAAGAUUUUUGCAACAAGUUAAGUUCUAUUUAAGGUUUAAUCUCUUCUAAUAUCUUAAUAGAUUUAUUCAAGUUAAAUUUAAAGGUACAAUUUAAUAUAGAAGUGAUCUUUCUUAAUUUAUACCUUUAAUAGAAAAAGAUUCAUAACUUUUUUAUAAUUUGAAUUCAUUCCUAAAAGUAUUUACGGCCACAUUCAAAAAAAAUGAUCAUAAAAGAGUAGCAGAGAUCAAGAUCUUAUCUUUAUUAUAAGAAUCAUGGUUAGCCAUCAUAUAUGUUGUUGAAUUCCAAAAUCUUACUUGCAAUCUAGACUAAAAUGAUAAAGUCUUUAUUAAUUAAUUUUGAUAUGGAUUGAAAGACAAUAUCAAAGAUUAGUUAUUAACAAUGUCAAAAGCAAAAUCUUUGAAAUAUUUUAUUGCUCAAGCCAUUGCAUAUAAAAAUUGAUUAUUUAAAGACAUCAAGAAUAAAGAUUUGGCUAGUGAAGAGUAAGUCAAGUAAUGACAAUAAUUCCUAAGUUUUCAAGAACUUAUUUAUUAAAGUAAAAAUCAAUACAAAUUAAUAUGAUAUGUUUUAAACCUCUUACUGAAUAAGAGAAGACUUAUUGUUGUUAAGAAGGUUUGUACUUAUAUUGUAGAGAACCUAAACAGACUGCUCAACAUCAUCUAAAAAGACAAUGCAAUCACAAAAUAAGGAUUAUAAUUGCCAAAGAGGACAAUGUGAUUGAAAAUAAGUUUUUUCACCUACAAUAAGAAUUGUACAAGUAGAAUCUUAUAUAAUUUCUAGUAAAGAUAUUAUUUUCUUCUCAAUUCCCCCACCUUAUUUUAUAAUAGAAGUUUAUUUAGAAUCAAAAAAUUACAAAGUCUUUGCCUUAUUGGAUUUGAGAGCCUCAAGUUGUUUUAUAGAUGAAGACUUUGAAAAAAAAUAAAAUAUAUUCUUAAUUAAGAAAAUCAAAUCUAUGCAUAUAGAAGUAAUAGAUGGUCGUUUAUUUUCUUUUGAGGAUAUUAUAUAUAAAACUAUUCUUAUAAAAAUAGCAAUUAGUGGUCAUAAUAGUUUAAUAAUAUUUAAUGUGAUUAAAUCUCUUUUUAAUCUAAUUUUUUAGGAUUAUUGUGGUUAAAAGGUAUAACCAUCAAAUAGACUAGAUUUCUUGCAAUCUUAAUUUUUUCCAUGGUUUAAUUCAAGAUUCUACUAAGAAAAUAAAAACCUAUAAGAUCAAUACAUCUAAACCAUUAUUGUUAGAUGCAAGAGCUUUCAUGUAUGUUGUAAAAGAAAUGUCAAUUUUUGUUUAACAUGUCAUACUUAUUUUUAAUAGAAAAAAGAUUUCAAGUGACAUUUUGAGCCAAUAUCAAGUUAUGAAGAUAUUUUAAAAUAAAAAUAAAAAUAUUCUUUCAAAACAUCAUCUUUAUGAUUGUUCUAUUGAUCCUGAAGAAGGAGCUCAACCACCAUUUGGACCAAUAUAUAAUUUAUCUCAAAAAAAUUAUCUACAUUCAAAAAAUACAUUGAUGAGAAUUUAGCUAAGAAUUUUAUAUACCAUUUUAAAUCUUUGAUUGAGGCUCCUAUCUUAUUUGUGAAGAAAAAAGACGGAUCUCUAGAGACAUGUAUAAACUAUCAAGAAUUCAACAAGAUCACUAUUAAGAAUAAGUACCAUCUAUUUUUGAUUUCAGGACUUUUUGAUCAAUUAAAUCAAAUAAAGAUUUAUGAAAAAAUAGAUCUAUAAAGAGCAUAUAAUCUGGUAUAUAUUAAAAAAGGAGACAAAUAAAAAAAAUACAUUUUGAACAAAAUAUGGAAAUUUCAAAUAUAAUAUGAUGCUUUUUGGACUCACAAAUGUACCAGUUGCUUUUCAACAUCUAAUGAAUGAUGACUUUUGUGAGUUUCUUAAUAAUUUUAUUAUCUAUUAUUUAGAUGACAGCUUGAUGUACUUUAAGAAUACAAAAAAGUAUGAACUUCAUGUUUGUCAUAUGUUACAAAAACUAAAAGAUGUAGGAUUUUAUGCCAAGAUAGAAAAGUAUAUAUUUCACACUAUUCAAGUUGACUUCCUAGAAUAUAUCAUUUCAAAUGAUGGUUUUAUAGUGGAUCCUAAGAAAGUUUAAAAUAUCAUAAAUUAGAAGAUCCAAAAAAUAAGUAGAGAUAUGCAAUAUUUUUUUAGGUUUGCCAAUUAUAAUUGGAUCUUAAUCAAAUUUUUUUUAAAAGUUGCGGCUCUUAUUUUAUGUUUAAUAUGUAAAGGCAAACUUAAAUAGAGUAAAGAAGCUGAAACAUCUUUUGAAGCCUUAAAGACAAUAUUUAUUUUUAAACCAAUUUUAUAUUGCAUUGAUUUUUUGAAGGCAUUCUUCAUAGAAUCAGAUGUAUUAGAUUUUGCCAUGGAUGUUGUUUUGCCACAAAUAGAAGAAGUUGAUAAGCUCCAUCUGAUAGCUUUUUAUUCUAAGAAAUUUUCAAUAAUCAAAAUUAACUAUUACAUCUAUGACAAAGAACUUCUUAUAAUUAUAGAUUCAUUUAAAAAAUGGCAUCAUUAUUUAGAAGGCACCUCUAAUCCCAUUAUAUAUAUGGAUCACAAGAACCUCAAGUACUUCAUAUCAAUACAUAUUUUGAAUUGUUGCUAAGCUUGUUAGAACAUGUUUUUAUGAAGAUUUGAUUUCAAAAUCAUUUAUUGACUUGAAAAACAACAAAGUUUGACAAACACCUUUUCUAGACAUUAUUAAUUUGUAUCAAAAGAACACGAUGCAACUUUUGAUCCACAAAAAAUAAUUUUCUUGAAGUUGGAGUAUUUCUAUGUUUAAGUAAUAAAAUCAACAUUAAUUGUUGAUUCAAUAUUUUUCAAGAAAAUUCAAUUAAGUAUGUUCUCUGAUCUUCUUGUUCAUAAUAUCAAAAAUAAUUCUUUAAGUCUCAUUAUAUUUUUUAAUUCAAGUUAAAGAAUAAUCUAUUUUAUUUCAAGGAAUAAUUAUACAUUCUAAAAGGUAAAGCAUGAUUAUAUAUUCUUCAAGCUCAUAAUGACUUUUGAGUAGCCAAAUAUUCUAGACACAAUAAGGCUUUGGAGUUAAUAUCAAAAGAUUUUUAGUGGCCUCAAAUGUAAAAGGCAGUUAAAGACUUUUUCCAAUCAUGUGAUAUUUUUUUAAGAUAAAAAACUCCUUCUUAUUGAUAUUAUCAACUUUUUCAAUUAUUACCUAUUUUGAAACAACCAUAGUCUUUUAUUUCUAUGGAUUUUAUCGUAGAUCAUUGAAUCUCAUGUUUAUAUGAUUUUAUAUUUGUGAUAAUAGAUUAUUUUAUUAAAGUAGUAUAUUUUAUACCACGUAUAAAAUAUAUUAUAAUUAAAAAAAAUAAUUAGUAUUUUUCUUAAAAACAUCUAUUCCUAUCAUAGAUUUUUCAAAGAUAUUAUAUCAAAUAUAGAAAUUCAAUUUGUAUCAAGAUUUUAGAAUUUUUUUUUUUAAGAUUCUAAAGGUAGUAUGAAGAUUUCUUUGAUUUUCCAUCUUCAAAUUGAUAGGCAAAUGGAAUAGAUGAAUCAAGUUUUGAAGUAAUAUUUGGAGUAUAUCAUCAACUAUCAUGAAGAUGAUUAAAUAUCACAGACAUAUGCAUAUAAGCCAAUAAUUACAUAUAUAAAUAGGUAGAAGUAAGUAAAAGUAGAUAAAAGUAAGUUAAUUCUAUAAUAUUUGCUAUAAAAGCUUUCUAGAAGCCUCAUAGACAUUAUUUUGACUUUAUAGGUGUCUUUAAUUGACUUUUUGGAUUAGAAACGUAAUCAACAAGUUGGCCAUGUGCCACACAUAUUGUUAGCUUAAAGACCAAACUAACUUUGUGGCCCACACAUAGAAAAACUUGCCUUGUAAGUCAAGGCAUGUCUCCUACAAAGUCAACACAUAUUGGAGGUCUUAUAGAACAUUGCCACGUAGCCUCUAGUUAGAUAGUAUAUAUAGAAAUAAGAAUGAAGCCUUCUUCACUCUUGUCAACUCCUUUCUUACUUCCAGUCUAAUUUCAAGGAUGUCUAGUUUUCUUGGCUUUUGGUAAUAGCUAUUCCAGUUUCUUUUUUAAUAUAUAUAUCAAGUUAUUUCUAUUUUUUCAUCUUUCUUUGAGAGAAAGUUUCACUUAUUUAUUUAUUUUUAUAAAAUUUUUGUCCUUGACAGAUUGACAAGAGUACACCUACAAUAUCAGAGCUUUGUCUAAUCUUGAUUAAGAGUGGAUUACCUCUUUUUCUUAAUAAGUCAUAAGCAUAUUAGAAGUUACGGAUUAGCCUCUUCUAAACUGAUAUUGUCCUUAGUAUUUUUUUUAUUCUCAAGUCCUCUCUUUUAUUUCUCUUGAGCGAUAUUAGACAUCUUCUCUUUUCUAAGUAUUAUCAUGGCAAAACUUGCUGAAAUAAAAAGUGCAAUAGCACAAAUACAAGAGCAAUUGAGGGAGUUAAUGCUUGCUAUGCAUCAAUUCAAUUUACCACGACAAAGAACAACAAGAUUGGCAGGAAGUGAAGAUAUAGAAAUGAUUGGAGCUGCUUCAAUAAUUGCACCAAUUCAUAUCUCUUCUCCUAAAGUAGAACGUCCUUCAAAUAUUAGAGAACCAAGAAUUGCCCUACUUCAGAAGUUUGAUGGCACCAGAUCAAAAUUUAGAGGAUUUAUCAAUCAAUUACAACUUUUGAUUGAACUUCAAUUCCAAAGCUAUUCAACUCCAAGAUUGAAAGUUAGAUUUAUUGGUACUCUUCUUUCAAGUUCAACAUUAUCAUGAUUUUUAUCUUUUCUUCAACGAUAAGAUUCAAUAUUGGAUAAUAUAGAGGUGGAGUUUUGAUCCAUGUAUGGAGAACAUGAUGCAAUUUGUGUUGCAACCAAUAAGAACCAUAUUUUACAACAAGACAAUCGAUUAGUAACAUUGUAUGCUUCUCAAUUUUGACAACUUGCAAUUGAUAUCAAGUGGGAUGAUGCUGCACUUAUUAGCCAAUUUUUCUAUGGAUUACAAUAUGAGGUAAAAAAAAAUUAAUACUCAACUUGUCUGAUCCUCAAACAUUGAGCCAAGCAAUUGACUUUGUUGUGAAGUGCGACAAUCGUCUUUUUGAAUUUUGAUCUGAGAACCGUAUAAGUAGACCUCAACGUUACUAUAAUUCAAUGGCAACACCAACAUCUCUUCAACACAUACAUUCGAAAGUAGAGGAUAUGCAAAUUGAUGCAGUAUGUUUUAAACCUCUUACUGAGCAAGAAAAGUUUCAUUGUCAUCUGGAAGGAUUGUGCAUAUAUUGUAGAGAAUCUAAGCACACUAUUCAACAUUAUCCAAAGAAGUGGGGCAACCAUAAAAUGAGGAGUACGGCAAUCAAAGAAGAUAGCAUGUGAAGAAACAAAGUUCACGAGCUAUAAUAGGGAUUGUGUGAUUGAAACCUUGUACAACGCCUAGUGAAGAUCUUAUCUUCUUUUGAGUACCCUCUCCAUGAUUUAUGAUAAAUAUUAUUCUAGGACCUAAACAUUACAAAGCCUCUGCCUUGCUAGAUUCAAGAGCCUCAGCAUGUUUCUUAGAUGAAGAAUUUGCUAAAAGACAUAGCAUACUUUUAGUAAAGAAAACUAAAUCUAUUCAUGUAGAAGUCAUAGAUGGUCGUCCAUUGUCUUUAAAAGAUGUUACUCAUGAAACCCUUCCUAUAGAAAUAGCAACUAAUAGUCAUAGUAACUUUAUAAUAUUUAAUAUCAUUAGAUCUCCUUCUAAUCCAGUCAUUUUAGGUUUAUCAUGGUUACAAAAAUAUAAUCCUAAAAUAGAUUAGACUUCUCGUAGUCUUGACUUUUCUGAAAGUAUAAUUAAGAGCGUAGUUAAUCAAGUAGAAAGUUAUAAGUCUAGUAUAAUUAAACUUAUAUUUUUAGGUGCAAGACCUUUCUUGCAUGCUACAAAAGAAGGAUCACCUUGUGUCAUUUAUGCCACACCUAUUUCUAUUGGUGGAAAGACUUCAAGUGGCAUUCCAAGCCAAUGUCAAGAUUUUCAAGAUGUAUUUGAGAAGAAGAAUGCAGAUAUUCCUCUGAAAAAUUAUUCAUAUGACUACUCAAUUGACCUUCAAGAAAGAACACAAUCGUCAUUUGGACCAAUCUAUAAUUUAACUCAAAAUGAGUUUGCUAAACUCAAAGAAUAUAUUGAAGAGUAUUUGGCCAAAAACUUCAUACGCCAUUCCAAAUCUCCAUCAGGAGCUCCUAUUCUAUUUGUGAAGAAAAAUGAUAGAUUAUUGCGGAUGUGUAUCGAUUAUCGAGGACUCAACAAAAACACUAUCAAAAACAGGUAUCUUCUAUCUUUGAUCUUUAAACUUCUUGAUCAAUUGAAUCAAGCUAAGAUCUAUAAAUAAGUAGAUCUACAAGGAGCAUACAAUCUUGUACGCAUCAAAGAAGGAGAUAAAUAGAAGACUACGUUUCAAAUAAGGUAUGGACAUUUUGAAUACAACGUCAUGCCUUUUGGACUUACAAAUGCACUAGUACCAUUCCAACAUUUAAUGAAUGAUGUCUUUUGGGAGUUUUUAGAUGAUUUUGUUGUCUAUUACUUAGACGACAUCUUAAUCUAUUCUAAGAAUAUAGAAAAAUAUGAACUUCAUGUUCGUCAUGUAUUAUAAAAACUAAGAGAUGCGAGAUUCUAUGCUAAUUAAAAAAAAUAUGUAUUUUACACUAUUUAAGUCGACUUCUUAAGAUACAUCAUUUCAAAUGAUGGACUUAUGAUGGAUCCUAAGAAAGUUCAAACUAUUAUGGAUUGAAAGAUCCCAAAAACGGUAAGAGAUGUCCAAUACUUUUUGGGAUUUGCCAAGUACUAUCGGAUCUUCAUCAAAGACUUCUCUCAAGUUGCAGCUCCACUUAUACGUUUGACUUGUAAAGACAAACUUCAAUGGAAUCAAGAAGUACAAGUAGCAUUUGAAGCUUUGAAGACAGCCCUUGUUUCUGGACCAAUCUUGUAUUGCAUCAAUUUUUCUAAGCCAUUUUUUAUGGAAACAAACACAUCAAACUUUGCUUUCGGUAUUAUAUUGUCACAAAUGAGAACAGAUGAUAAACUUAACCUAGUAGCUUUUCAUUCCAAAAAAUUUUCAACAACCAAGAUCAACUACGAGAUUUAUGAAAAAGAACUUCUUGCAUUCGUGGAUUUGUUUCAAGAAUGGCACCAUUAUUUAAAAGGUGCUUCUAGCCCAGUUACACUGUACACGGAUCACAAGAAUCUUGAAUAUUUUAUGUCAGUACGUGUUUUGAAUCGUCACCAAGCCCGUUGGAGUAUGUCUUUGUCAAGAUUCAAAUUCACGGUUACUUAUCGACUAGAGAAAUAACAAGGUUUAUCAAUUGCACUUUCUAGAUAAUCUUAUCUUGUACCAAAGGAAGGAGAUGCUGCUUUCGAUCAACAACGGACAAUUCUCUUGAAGCCAAAACAUCUUCAUCUUUGAGCAAUGAAAUCAACACUAAUUGUUGAUUCAACUUUCAUUAAACAAGUUUAGCCAAGUAUGUCUUUUGAUCCUUUUAUUCGUGAUAUUAAGAGAAAUCCUUCAAAGUCUCAUGAUACUUCCAAGUUUGAAUUCAAAAAAAACCUACUAUAUUUUGAGGGACGCCUAUAUCUUCGAAAAGGUGAAGUUGUCACGGACACAAAAUACAGACUUGAAAUCUAACAAGAAGUUCAAGAAGAAGUGGCAAAACUAGAUUAAACAGAUGAGUACAAGAACAACACCAGAAAGGUGAGCUAGAACUCCAAGAGAUGUGUUGUCGAGAUUGAAGAACUCUUCAGCCUCGACUCCUAUAUAUACUACUGGCCUAUAGUUCUAAGGAAGUGCAUCAAGAAGCUUCCCAAGAACUAUGAAGCUUCUCGAGCAACUACCCAAGAGCUAGGAAGCUUCUCAAGUAACUUCUUAGAAUCUACUAGAAUAUUCUAAGAAUCUUCUAGAGCCUUCUAAGGGAAUCUUUAGGGAAUCUUCAAAGAAUAUUCUAAGAGAAUAUUCAAGGAAUCUUAAGGAAGUUUCUAGAGACUUCUUUCUAGAAGGUUCUAGAAACUUGUCUCUAGAAAGGUCUAAGGACUAUGUCCCUAACAGAAGCUCAAUUACGUGUUCUUCAAGCUCAUCAUGACUUUCCAGCAGCAUGACAUUUUGGGUACAAUAAAACUUUGGAACUAAUAUCCAAGGACUUUUGGUGGCCUCAAAUGUGGAAAGUUGUCAAAGAUUUUGUACAAUCUUGUGAUGUUUGCUCGAGAUCAAAAACUCCUAAUCAUCGACCUUAUGGACUUCUUCUACCAUUAUCCAUUUCAGAACAACCAUGGUCUUCUAAUUCUUUGGACUUCAUCACAGAUCUUCCAAUCUCAGGUUCUUAUGACUCUAUAUUCGUGAUAGUAGAUUAUUUUACCACGAUGGCACAUUUUGUACCAUGUACAAAAUCUAUCAUAGGUGAAGAAACAGCUAAGUUCUUUCUUGACAAUAUCUAUCGCUAUCAUGGAUUACCCAAAGAUAUUAUAUCAGAUAGGGGAAUUCAAUUUAUAUCAAGAUUUUGGUGGACUCUUUUCAAGAUUUUAAAAGUGGAUAUAAAACUAUCUUCGACAUUCCAUCCUCAAAUUGAUGGACAAAUGGAGCGUGUUAAUCAAGUUUUGGAGCAGUAUUUAAGAUGUAUCAUUAACUACUAACAAGAUGAUUGGACAACUCUUUUGCCACUGGCAGAGUUUGCUUACAAUAACACGGUACAUUCUUCUACAAAACAAACACCUUUCUUUACUAAUUAUGGUUAUCAUCUAUGACUUGAUACUUUUGACUUUUUAAAAAUUGAUAAUCUUAUUGCAAAAGAUUUAGUAAUUCAUUUGUUAGAGCUACAUGCAACGAUGAAGGCGUAGUUAAAAGAAGCUGAAGAACAGUAAAAUGUCAAUGCGGAUGUCUAUCGAAAGGAACAACCACCAUUCUACAUGGGUGAUAAGGUAUGAUUACUUCAUUGCAAUAUCAAGACCACUCAUCCUUGUGACAAAUUGGACUAUCAAAGGCUUGGACCAUUUUCUAUUUCUGCACAAAUCAAUCCAGUUGCAUAUCAUUUACAUCUACUAGAGACAAUGAAAAUCCAUCUAGUAUUCCACAUGUCUCUUCUUGAACUAUACAAGAUAGUGGACAUACCAAGAAGAAGAUAAACUCUACCUCCUCCUAUAGAAGUAGACAAUAAUAAAGAAUUUAAAGAGGAAGAAGUCUUAGAUUCAAGGCGGCACCAAAAUAAAUUAGAAUAUCUUAUCUAUUGGUGCAGACAUGAUAUUAGUGAAUGCACAUGGGAGGUAGUAAAGAAUCUUGUAAAUGCAGCAAAGGCGGUGGAGGCUUUUCAUCGAUGACAUCUAUCAAAAUUAAGAUUAAAACCUUCUUUAUAUAAGAAACAAGAUUUAGGAAAGAUAACAUUCUACUUUCAAUCCUUGUUUGUAGUUUCUUUAUAGUUAUGAAGCUUAAGAGAUGGAGAACCAACAAUUAGUGGAUUUGACUCAAGAGCCUUUCUUUGCUGACCUGUCAGAUGAGACAUUACGAUUGUGAGAACCUUCAAGACGAUGCAAUCGAGAUGAAGAAUACAUUUGGUAUCACAACCUUGGAAGGAAUUUUUGAUGUUUGGUGAUUUUAUUAGAGGUAGAAACUCCUGACGGUGUUUCAAAUAUUUUAUUCAAAAGAAGUUAUAAAGGCCUCAACAAAAAUCAAAUAAGUAGAUAGUCUUCUUGCCUUGGUAUAGGACACUACUGAUGGUUGAGAGGCCUUAACAAUCAUCUUCGAAGAGAACAAAGACCAGAGUAUGUGGCGAAUACAAUUCGUCGCAUCAUAGAUUUUCUCUAUAUAUGAUGACCGCUCUUCGUGAAACUUGUCCUUAGAAAGGGGGGGUAAUGGUACGGAUAUACGCAUGUAAGAAAAUAACUACAUAUAUAAAUAAGUAGAAGUAAGUAAAAAUAAGUAAAAAUAAGUUAAUUCUAUAAUAUUUGCUAUGGAAGCUUCCUUGAAGCCUCAUAGAUAUUGCUUUGACUUUAUAGGUGACUUUAAUUAACUUUUUGGAUUAGAAACGUGGUCAACAAGUUGGCCAUGUGCCACACAUGUUGUUAGCUUAAAGACCAAACUAACUAUAUGGCCCACACAUAGAAAAACUUGCCUUGUAAGUCAAGGCAUGUGUCCUAUAAAGUCAACACAUAUUGGAGGUCCUAUAGAAUAUCGCCACGUAGCCCCUAGUUAGAUAGUAUAUAUAGAGACAAGAGUGAAGCCUUCUUUACUCUUGUCAACUCCUUUCUUGCUUCUAGUCUAGUUUCAAGGGUCUCUAGUAUUCUUUGUUUUUGGCAAUAGCCAUUUCAGUUUCUUUCUUAAUAUACAUAUCAAGUUAUUUCUUUUAUGUCAUCUUUCUUUGAGAGAAGUUUCACUCGUUUAUUUGUUUUUAUUAUGUUCUUGUCCUUGAUACUAAACAAAUCUUUUAUUAUUGGCACAAUUUGUCUAUAAUAAUUUGGUACAUUCUUUUAUUUUACAAACAUCUUUUUUUACCAAUUAUGGUUAUUAUCCACAAUUUGAUACUUUUGACUAUUCAAAAGUUGAUAAUCCUAUGACAAAAGAUUUGAAAAUUUAUUUAUUAAAGCUAUAUACAAUAUUAAAGACGUAGUUAAAAAAAACUUAAGAAAAACAAAAGAUGAAUGCAAAUGCCUAUUGCAAAGAAAAACUACAAUUCAACGUGGAUAACAAGAUAUGGCUACUUUGUUCCAAUAUCAAGACUAUUCAUCUUUGCAAUAAGUUUGACUAUCAUAGGGUUGAAUCUUUUCCUAUUUGUAAACAAGUCAAUCAUAUUGCUUAUCAAUUACAUCUAUAGGAGUCAAUGAAGAUUCGUCACUUAUUCCAUGUAUUUCUUUUUGAGCUAUAAUAAAUAAUAAAUAUCUUGAAAGGAGACAAAUAUCACUUCUUUCUAUAGAAAUAGAUUAUAAUGAAGAGUUUGAGAUAGACAAAGUCUUAGAUUCAAUGUAGUAUUAAAAUAGAUUAAAGUAUCUUAUUCAUUAAUAUAGAUAUGAUAUUAGUGAACACAUAUAGGAAUUAAUAAAGAAUCUAGCAAAUGCAACAAAGAUGAUUGAGCCUUUUCAUUAACAUCCAUCAAAACCAAGAUGAAGAAUUAUAAGAUCUAUGAAAGAUAAUAAUAGCUCUUUAAAAAACUCGUUUCUAAAAGAGAAGUAAUUUCAUGGAUAUAUAUAUAUUUACUCUAAUAUUUACCUAUAUGAUUAAGUAGAAGUAGUUAAAAUAAAUUUAUUUCAUAAUAUUUUUAAGAAUAACUUCUUAGAACCUCCAUUGAUGCUAAUUUGAUUUUAAAUGUGUUUGUAGUUGAUUAAUAGGCUAGAAACUUGGUCAAUAAGUUAAUUACGUACUAAUAGCUUGUCAAAUAAGCUUAUUAGGUGGCACACAUAUAAAAAACUUACUUUACAAGUUAAGAUAUGUGUCUUGCAAAGUCAACAUGUUUUAGAGGUCUUAUAGGAUAUUGCCACAUAGUUCCUAAUUAAGAAUAUAUAUGGAAGCAAGAGUAAAGUCUUCUUCAGUCUUAUGAAUACCUUUUUAAUCCUUGGUCUUAUUUUAAGACUUUCUAGUCUUCUUGUCUAUAGCAAUAACCAUUUUAGUUUAAUACUAUAUCAUCUUUGAGUCAUUUUUUUAGUUCUUUUGAAUAACACAAGAAUAUAUUGAGGAUUUUUUUUUUUUUUUUUUUUUUUUUUUUAUGAUUCCUGUCCUUAAUAAGAUAAAUUAUUGGAAUAUAAAAGCCAAAACAAAAUUUAAAGCUUUAAAAAUAGUUUUUAAUGUAAUAUUAAACUUAUAUUAUGUUGAUUUUUUAAGGUAUUUUUUUAAUAAAAAUUAAAGUAUUAGACUUUACUUUUGAUUUAAUAUGGUAAUAAAUAGAAAGAGAUGAUAACUUCAUGUUAUAGCUUUUCAUUUAAGAAAAUAUUCAAUAACUAAGAUCAUUUACAAAAUUUAAACCAAAAAAAAGAGAUGCAAUCUUUGACCAAUAAUAAAUGAUUUGUUUGGAGCUAAUGCAAUUUUAUCUUUAAGCAAUAGAAUCAACAUAAAUUAUUGAUUUAAAAUUUCUUGAUUAAGUUUAACUAAGUAUGUCUUCAUAUCUUUUUGUGCAUAAAAUUAAAAAUAAUUCUUCUAAAUCCUACAAAACUAUUGAAUUUAAAUUUAAAAAUAAUCUUCUUAUUUUACAUGAUAUUUAUAUAUUCUAAAAACCAAACACAAUCAAAUAUUCUUUGAAUUCAUUGUAAUUUUUUAAUUGUAAGAUCUUGUAAAUACAACAAAUAUUAAAAUUAAUAUCAAAAGAUUUUUAGUGGUUUCAAAUGUAAAAGGUAGUUAAAGACUUUAUUCAAUCAUGUGAUAUUUUUUUAAGAUCAAAAAUUCCUUAUCAUUAAUCUUAUACACUUCUUCAAUCAUUACUUAUACUAAAACAAUCAAGAUUAUCUAUUUUUAUGGAUUUUAUCAUAGAUCUUUAAAUCUUAAGCAUUUAUGGCUCUAUAUUUGUGAUACUAAAUUAUUUAACUAAAUUAUCAUAUUUUAUAUUAUGUACAAAAACCAUAUGUAAAGAAAAACUAGACACCUUAAUUUGAUAUAGGCAACAAGGUAUAAUUACUUUGUCAUAAUAUCAAAAUUUUUUGUUCUUGCAACAAGUUAGAUUAUUAUAGAUUUAAAUUAUUUUAUAUUUUUUUAGUAGAUUAAUUCAGUUAUAUAUUAAUUAUAAUUAUUAGAGUUUAUAAAGAUCUAUCUUGUAUUUCAUUUGCCUCUUUUUGAGCCAUAUAAGAUAAUAGAUAUACCAAAAGGAUAAUAAAUGCUACUUCUUCUUAUGAAAAUAGACAUCAAUCAAAAGUUUGGGAUAGAAGAGGUCUUAGUCUCAAGUCAGACCCAACAUAUGUUAGAAUAUCUUGUACAUUAGCAUAGAUAUGAUACUAAUAAAUGCACAUGGAAGUCAUUUGAAAAUUUUGGAAAUAUGGCAAAGAAAGUUGAUAGUUUUCAAUGACAAUAUUAAUUAAAAUUAAGAUAAAGAGACAAAAUAUUCUUUGCUAUAAAACAAAAUAUGUUCAAUAAAGAUUGUAUUCUAUAUUCUAUCAUUAUUUGUGAUUUUUAUGUAUUUUUGGUAUUAAAAAUAUGGAGAAUUAUUAAUCAACAAAUUCAAUUUAAGUCUUGUUCUUAACUAAAUUAACAAACAAGGCAUUGAGAUUGUCAAAAUCUUCAAAACAUCAUAAUAGAAAUAAAAAUCCUAAAAAAUAAUAUGUUUUUUUCUUAAAUAGAUGGUAAGAAACAACACAUUUGAUAUUAUAAUAUUGGAAGAGAUUCUUGAUAUUUGGUGAUAUUGUUGAAGGUAAGAACCACUUCUAAUGGUAUAUCAAAUAUUUUAUUUAAGAGAAGUUAUGAAAGCUUUAAUUAUGAUUAAAUAAUAUGAUUAUUUUCUUGCCAUGAUAUAUGAUACUACCAAUGGUUGAGAAGACCUAUCAAUUAUCUUCAAACAUAACAAACAUCAAAGUGUUUGAUUAAUAAGAAGUGCUACAUCUUGGACUUCCUCAAUAUAUGAUCACUACUUAUUGUAAAAUUUGUUCCUAAAAAGAGGUGUAAUAUCACAAGCAUCAAUAUUGAUAUUAAUAAUCAUGACAAUAAGAGAAGUUAGAUAGAAGUAAGUAAAAAUAGAUAAAUGAUAUAAUAUCUUAUAAAUAAACUUUAUUGAUGCAGAUUUGACUUUACAAGUAUUUGUAGGUAAUUGGUGGAUUAAAAACUUAGCCAAUACAUUGGAUAGGUGGCACAAAUGUUGACUACUUGUUUAGACACAUUUAGCAAUAGCUAUUUUAGUUUCUAUUUUAUAUCUAUCUAUGAUUUGUUUACUUUCAUUUUUUAAAUGCUACAAGAAUAUAUUAUUAUUUUUAGAAUUUUAUUAUAAUUUAUAUCCUUGAUAUAUAAUUACUUCUUACAUGAAUUUUUAAUAAGACUUAGGUUGUAUAUUCAAAUUAAUUGUUCUUAUUAUUGUUUGAAAUAAUAGUGCUUUUAACUCUUACAACAUUGAUACAUUUUUGUUUAUAUUUACGAUCAUUGUCAAAUUAAUCUUUAGAGAUUAGUCAGAUUAAUCUCUUACACCUUCUUUAUAUAAGAGUAUUUAUGAAACACUCUAAAUUUUGUUGAUAUUGUAUACAAUGAGCACUACUUGCUAUGCAUUAUCAUUGAUUGUUAUUAGAAGCGUUAACUUUUGUUGUAAUUAUGUAUACAUCAUUCUCCCUUAAAUACACCAAUGGACUAUUAUUUCCAUUGUCUUACUUCUUUUGGAACAAGAUAUACAAAUACUCAAUUCUUAUUCAAUUACUUGUAGAAUUCUACAACGUUUGCAAUUAUUGAUAGUUGUUGGUUGCAUGUUACAUCAUCUCCCACAUUCUAAAUCACAAAUUUUGUUCCAUAGGUUUUGCGGUUGCAAUUUGGAUUGAUUGAUGUUGAUUGAAAAAAAACUCUCAAUUUUUUCAAGAUAAUGCAAUAAAAAAUAGGGGAAUGAAAAUAUGAAAAAUGUAAAAAAAGAAAGAAGAAGUUGUAAAGAUGGCUGAUACUUUUAGAUACUAUUGUUUGGAAGUAUAUACAUAAUCAUUUAGGAACUAUAAAAUUUAAUGAUCCCACAUAAAUCAUAAAAACUUCCAUAAUCUAUAAAAUUUCCAUUCAACAAUGUUAUAGAAAUGUGCCAUCGCUUGAAUCAAGCACGUCAUAGAUGCCUGCGUGACAUGAACGGCUGAUGCAAAUGGAUGACCUGGACAGGGUACAUGGACAAUAUGACGUAGACGGGGUUGACAUGGACAGUAUGACGCAGAGGAUGAAGCCCAUCUACGAUCAGAGGCGACGGAAGACCCCGCACCAGGCAAUCGGGGUCGGCGAUGGCGAUGGCGAUGGCGGAGCAAUUCCCUCAGUCCCAAACCCCAAAUCUCACUCAACCCCAUUUUAUCGCGGUGGACCGAUCCAUACAUCGCUGGUUCGAUGGAGCCACAGCAAUUGAGGGAGACGAAUGAGGAAUGGUUAUGGGGAUUUGAGCAGCCAAGCCACCCCAUGCCUCGCCACCGCAUUCUCAUCGUCAUCGACACCCUCCCUCCCUCCCUCAGCCCCGAGCACUCGGAGAUUCGCGCGCAGCGCGCUCCGACGCAACAAUCCCAAUCGCAAUCAUUACCUAUUCCCAACGCCGAACACCGGACACCAUCCCACACCCCUCAUCUCAUGUUCUCCCUUCUCUUGCCCCCUCAUCUCCGCGCUUGACCCUUCCAUUUCUCCCCGCCAUCUCCCACUUCCCACCUCCCACCUCACCUCAUUUUUCUGGAUGCCUGCAUUCCCCUCUCAGGACUUACCUGGGUACGCUCCUUGUGGUUGGGUUUCGUUUUGCUGAAGUUUUUGGGUGGUGGGUUCGAUCUUGACACUUGGAAGAGCGCGAGUUGCGUGUUGUUGUUGUUGUUGGUUUUUGUGUGUGUAUAUGUUGAGUGUGCCGUUUGAGAGGUACGAUGAUGAGGAGUUGUUUGCGAAGUGGGGUUCUAAUGUGCGUGCUGCUGGUUUGCGUUUCUGGGUGUAUCGUGUCUGUGAUUUAAUUUUCAUAGUCUGUUUUUCUUUUUGCUCUUUUUUUUAAAAAAAAUUAACUUAAAUUUCUGGCAGAUUUAAACUGUGUGUGGGGGUAUUGCCAAGCUUGUACAGAGUAAUGGGGAAUAGGGGAAUUUUUUUGCUGUUGUAGGAGUUGAGUUUUGAGUGAGAUCCUGAAUUCUAGCGGGUGCGUGUUUUGGUCGUAUACCUGUCUUUUCUUGGUAAGACAAUGGGCAGUUGUGUUCAGUUUGAAUUGGGGCGGCGAUCUGGAGGCGAGGAUGUCAUUGGGUGUUUCAGCUACUCAGAUAGUUGGCGGCUUUGGGAGAAUAAUAGAAUUUUCUCCGUAACACAAUGGAAUAGAGCGAGUCUAGUUACAAUGGCACUAACUAAACUGAACAUUUCAUGUGCCCAAUUUGUGAGCUAGCCCUUGCUUGUCUGCUACUGCGUACAAUCGCACUAAUGUCUAUACUGCCCUUGUGAGCCACAAUUUCUUCGAGUAUUCAGCCGUCUGAGUGUGUUAUUAUGCAUCGCAGCUUGCUUUGAGUUAAGUACAGUUGUAAAUCCUUGGAGGUCGAUGUGGGGGACCAUUUUGGGUCAAAGUUGAUAUGUCCGGUUUGAUGUGAACAUUCUUCCCUUUCUUUGUGUUCCAGGGUGACUGAAAACAUUGUGUAGACAACGACAGCAGAGACACUGACUAUACCAAUCUGUAAAGACGGGUUUCUCUCUGAAGACAUCACAAGGGAUGUAGACACCGCGGAGAAAGACAAUUUCUUUUCUAUUUUUUAAAUUUUUUAUGUGGUUUAUUUCGAGGAUCUGGUGGACGGAAGCUUCGCCUUGCAGCAGGAAGAUGUAAGUAUGUGCAAUGGCCUUUUCGCGUGUAAUUGGCUUCACAAAGUUCAUUUUCAGCCCACAAUUUCAAACAAGCAUAGCUUUCUAUAAUGUGGAGCUUGAGUGUUUUCCUUCAAAAACGUAAUGAAUCUUAGAUACUUUGUCGAGACUAAAAAUCGUAACCUUGAAAUAAGGGGUUCCAGUUUUGAGCUAGUAAAUUUGCAACCAGGUGCACAACCAUUUCGCAAGAGUAAUAUAUGCCUCUCAUGUUCGAUACUAGAUUGCAUGUUGACAUCAUGAAACAUAUUAUUGUCUUUACUUGAUACUAUCGACAAUUGUCACUUCUUAGGACCUUUGAAGAUCCCCAUCGUGUGUUGUGACUGUCGAUAGUGAGUACUGUGAAUUCCUACAUCUCCGUUGCAGUAUUCCUUUACCCUUGCAUCGCCAUUUUACAUCUGAGCUAAAAUAGUGGGAAUUAGAUUCUGCUCAACUUUACUGUCGAUCUCACCGUAGACAAACCCAAGCCAGAACCAGAUAAUCUUUUCAGAAGCAUCUCUGAAAAUGAUGGCGGGUGAGUUCAUUUCUUGACGUGACGAGUUCUGGAACUUGGGAUCGAUGUGCUCUGUCUGAUGAAUGUGCUGACGGCGCAACCCAGGACUUACGAUGACGCUCUUCUGCUCUUGGCAUGCAGAUACUGUUCUCGUUAGAGACCAUCACCUGUCCAAGUCCAGUUGUUGUGAUGCAGUUGUAAGUGAUCGGAGGCGGGUGCCGUGGAUCUUGACUUCGUCGAGUGGAGGUGCAAUUGGUUGAUCAUAGGGGGCUGAGGCCGGAGUAGAAUCUCGGGGUGGAAGGAUGUCGAAGACUGUAGCUGGGUGGUUUGGACGCACUCACAGCAAGUCCUUCUCCAAGGACAUCAACAAACAUGACGGGCAGGGGUCGGAGCAGGAGGAUGAUAAGGAGAAUAAGAGCGAGAAGUCGUUGACGAAAUGCGAGUCCCUGCCGACGAGUCUGUCGUGCAUGGAAUCCGACGACGACGAGUCGCAAGCAGAUCAAGAGGGGCCGUGUGUGAAAUUUAACGAGAAGGAGCUGGGCCCGUUGGUGUCGUUGAAGGAGCAGCUGGAAAAGGACAAGGAGGACGAGAGUCUGAGGCGAUGGAAGGCGCAGCUGCUGGGGGUGGCGAGUGAGGAUGCGCCAGACGGUUUUGUGGAGCCGGAGGUGAACGUGCUGUCACUGGGAGUGAUUGCGAAGGGACGACCGGACAGCGAGUUGCCGCUGCCGCUGGGGACGAACUCGCGGGGGUACACGUUCUCGCUGAAGGAGGGGUCGACGGUGGCGCUGAGGUACUCGUUCACUGUGCGUAACAACAUCGUGUCCGGGUUGACGUGCAUGAACACGGUGUGGAAGGCGGGGCUACAGGUGGAUCAGACACGGGACAUGAUGGGGACUUUCGCGCCACAGCAGGAGGCGUACGUGCACGUGACGGAGGAGGAGGUGACGCCUUCGGGGCCGCUGGCCCGCGGCGCUUACACGGCGCGGAAGAGGUUCAUCGACGACGACGGAAGGGUGCACCUGGACUUGGAGUACUCGUUCGAGAUCCGGAAGGAGUGGUAGAGUGGAGGGGAGAAGGGCGAAUGGGACGAGGGGAGUAUCGAUUGUGUGAUACAGUAGAAGGUCGAGUGCAGCGCGGGCGCAAGCCUGCGCGCGGGAGGGAGGGAUUAAUGGAGUCGUUGGCAAGGCAGGGGGAGGAGAUGGGAAGAGGCGAAGCCGUCGCUCGGAUGAGAUGGGGUGCAGUGCCCGUCGAGAGUGGGUGGCCGGAGACUUGCGGCGCAGCGCGUGUGGAAGCGUGCAGGAAGAGAGGGAUCAUCGAAGGGAUGAUGUGAUAUGAUUUGAAGGAAGGUGUGUGGCGAUGG